UUGGUCCUUGAGAUUCAAAAUCAAUAGAAGUGGUCCAUGAGAUAGCCCACCAUCAAUCAUUUUGGUCAUUCGGUGAAAAAUUGUGUUAAAUAAGAAUUAAAAUGACAAAAUUACCCUCAGUGUAAUAAACAAUAGGCCAACAUGAUUUGACAAAAAUUGAGGGUAUUUUUAACAUUUUAUCCUUAUUUUAUGAAGAUUUGUCAUGGAAUGACGAAAAUGAUUGAUUGUGGACAAACUCAGGGACCAAUUCUAUCAAUUUCAAAUCUCAAGGACCAAAGCAAGGAGUUAUGCAAAUCUCAAUAACCAUUUUAACUAAAAAAUUAUUAUUCCUAAUUUCCUAAAGCCCUUGGGAAGAUAUCUGCCAAUUGUACCCGAGAAGAAAUGCAGGAAGGAGGAAUUUAUAAAGACAAUGGAUACCUGCUCUUACUUGCAAAAAACGACACUUAAAGGACAAUUUUCCCGAGUUUUUCACCGAUGUUUUUACUGUUUGCUGCAAAAAACAAAUACUCUCCCCAUGCAAGCUCUGUCGUCAAUUCCCCUCGCGAACUUUGAGUCCCUCUGAAAUAAUGAUUAACUGAAAUUUGAAUUUUUCAAACUUUGUGUUUGGUUAUAUCUAAUGAUCCCUAAUUUCAAAUUUAUGGUUUAGAUAUAUAAAAAAGAUAUCUCGGGUACUUCGUUGCUAUCCAUUAAGCUCCCCAAUUUCAAGCAAAGCAAAAAAUUCUAAUUGAGUUGAGUUUUGAACAUGCAAAUUAGUUAGAAAACUGAAUUACCAAUCUUUAUUAUUAUUGCAACAAACACACGGAUUACACUAAAAGCUAGUGAAUCAUACACUUGCAGAUGACUUAUCCAAACACAAAGAUAAGACAUGAGUUUAUUAUUAUUGCUAUAAACACAUGGAUUACAGCGAAAUUCAAAAACUAAAAACAAGGAAAAAAGUAGUGAUGAAAACCAAUGCCACAUUCGUGGGGAACACGAUUACAUUUGCACAUGCAACAGGCCUUUUAAACCCAUAGGUGACCCAAAUGGGACGAGUGAAGUCUCGUGAGGGUUUCCAGAGACAUUACCCACAAACAUCAUGCAUACUAAUCAUCAACAUCGGGCUUGGGAGACUGAGUAGAUAUCCACCCCUCCAGCAUCGGGUGUUUUUUGGUUGAGGCGUAAUUCGAAUCUGUUUUCAAUGAACGGCCUAGUUAAGAGGUCGCUUUGCAAGUGACGUAAUCGGCAGCGCGUGAUUAGGUUGUUGCUGUCAGGUGGUCCGACAGGCUCGACCUUGAACAAUGUGCAAGCCCAAUUGUCUUUGGUUUCGUUUCGGUCAGCAGCUGCGGCCAGGACCAAUAGUCUGUUUUGGUCCACCCUUCUCAAGUAGUUGCCGUUGUAGGAGCAUUUGAUAUGCACAUAAUUCUUGUCGGCGUAGUCCUCAUUGUUUGGCUUCUCGGUGGUGAACUUUAUGAACCUGCUAUUUUCAUUGUCCUCAGAAAACUGGACAAUCUCAUGAAGGUCACUUUCUGAAUCUAGUUGAUAGCGCAAAUACUUGUUGUUGAUAUCUGCUUUCAGCAGAAAAGGGCUUGGUACAGGUGGAGCCAUAUCGUAUAGUGUAGUUGGGAUUGGGAGGGUCUCUCUUUUUUAUUCUCUGUUGAUGAUAUAAUUUGCUUGCUGUGAAUGUGAUGCUUAGUUCGAACCUGCUAUCCUAUUUAUAAGAAAUUAAGCACAAGCUAGCUCAAGUUAUGGUCUUUAAUUAAUAUUAAUUUCGACAAAUCAGUUUCCCAUCUCUUUCAUUGAUAUGAACAUGGCUGAUCUCAUUGGUGUGGCGCAAUAUUUCUUAAAUUAGCCGUUCUCGGGUUGAUUUCGUUGUAUAACUCUUCUGCCAAUUCUGCAACUUGUAGACUUAAUUCCCAUUACAAAAUUAAAAAAUAAAAUAAAAUCCAAAACUAAUGUAAGAUAAAUAAAGACUUUUUAUAUCAUAAAAUAAGACUUUCUAACUUGUAUACAAGACUAUAGUGACAAGAUCAAACACAUUGAUGGGUGCGCAUUUUCCAUCAACAUCUGUUCUGUGCAUUUAAAUUGAGCGUAGAUUCCUUUUUAGCAAUUAAAAGUUUUGUAUCAUGUAAUUGUCUUGGUUUGAUAAGACCUACAUCUAGAUGAGCUGCUUCUGAAGACUAAUGUAAAACUUUAUGUUGAUAUUUCUUGAGGGUGAAACAUCGUUUGAGAAAUGUUUUGGGCCUCAUUACAAUUUUUUCAUUUAUUUUUUAACUUUUGGUUAAAUAUUCUACUAUAAGUACGUGGCUUUAAUAACUAGUAAAACCACUUUCAAAUAUCUCUCUUUCAGAAGAAAGGGGUUUGGUAGUACAGGUGGAGCCAUGUUGUAUGGUGUAGCUGGGAUUGGGAUGAUCUCUCUUUUUUUUUCUUUUUUUUUUCCUUUAAUUUGCAUGCUUUGAAUGUGAUGCUGAAUUCAAACCUACUAUCCUAUUUCAAAGAAAUUAAGAACAAGCUAUCUCAAGUUAUGGUCUUUAAUUAAUAUUAAUUUCCUCAAUCAGUUUCCCAUAUCUUUCUUUGAUACGAGCAUGGCUGAUGUCAUUGGUGUGACGCAAGAUUUGUUAAAAUAGCUGAUCGGAUUGAUUUUUUCUUUGUAUAACUCUUCUGCCAAUUCUGAAACUUGUACAUAUAAUUCCCAUUAUAAAAUAAAUAAAUAAAAUCCAAAACUCAUAUAAAAUAAAUAGAGACUUUUUAUACCAUAUAAAAUAAGACUUUGUAACUUGUACAUAGUUAAAAGAUCGAACACAUUGAUGGGUUAUAUAUUUGGGGCUCACUACAACUUUUUUUCAAUUAAUUUUAGGUUUUGGCUUAAAUAUACCAUUCAAACUAAAUGUGUGGCUCAAUAAUUGGUAGAAACAUUUCCAAAUGCUUUAUAAAUGUUCUCUUAAAGCUAACGGAGAAUAUUUUGGGAAGACAAAAUAUUUGCAUUUCUCACGAAAAUGUGGGUGCUCAUUAAUUUUAGUCGGUUUUGCAAUUUUGUAUAAAAUCAUCAUUAAGUAUAGUAGUUUUCACCUUUGCCUAACCGCUAUAUUUCUAUAAGUAAUGUAAGACUUUCAGCCUUGUUCAUUAGUGAGGAUCUUACCAAGAUAGAGCAGCCAUAAGAAACUCUUAACUUUGGAGGAAUAUGAAGUUUCCAAAUGAGAUUCCAUCGCCAAUUAGGAAAAGCAAUAGGCCUAAUGGCCCAAAAAUAAGCAGAUUUAACUGAAAAAUUACCAUCAUUUAUUCCACUUCAGAUACACUUGGCAGUCAAACCAUCAAAACUAAUUGGAAUGCUAAGAAUUUGUUCAACCACCUCUUUAGUUGAACAAGUAAUAGUGGAUCCAAACCAUUACUGUAACAAUAAUUAGCUACAUAGCCUUAAGCAUAUUGUCGGUGUCACGUCCCGAUCCCGACAUACGUCCAGGAUCGACACGUGAUGUCACCAAAAAUCCAUAUCUCUAACUUACCCUGCCUCCGGGAUAUGGCAAAGUGAUGAGUCAAUAUUUUACCAUAUAUUUUACCCUAAUCUUAGUAUUAAUUUGUUGGUUAUUUUGGAAGAAUUUUGAUACUUUGUUAUAUAUUUCUAAUGUAGGAUAUUGAUGUUCGUGAGUCUUUCAAGAUGAUUGUAUCAAAAUUCCAGAUUUUUCUACCAAGUUGUUUGACCGUGGCUAUGAAAUUAAGGCCCAGCGCACAGCUUUCCUAGAUUGACGUUUCUAGACGUUUUGGGUAUUUUGAAGGUCAAGAUGUCAUAUUUUGAGGAAGAUUCCUUCUGAGGAUUUGUAUGGGACCUCUCUAGCUUUCAAAAGAGACCUUUUGUGACCAACUCCGAAUUCUAGUUCAAAUAGGAAACCUUUUAUUUUCUAUUUUAUUAUUUUAUUAUGUUUCCUAGUUUUAUUCUAAGACCUUUUAGGUUUUUAUUUUGUAUUAGUAUAAAUAAGAUAUUUAGCCAUUAGGGUAUAAGAGGAGGAGAGAAUAGGAGGAGCACGCACACAAUACUUUGGAGGAUUCAAGUUUAUUUUCAAGGUGUUUUCUAUCCAUGUUCUUAUUAAUAUUUUGUUUUAUGGUUGUUAGUAACUAGUUUCGUUUGCUAGGGCGAGGCCACGAGCCUUAGUAUGAAUAUGUAGUUUCUUUUCAAUUUGCUUAUGAUAUAUAUUAUGCAUGCAAGUUUUGAAUUAUUAAUCACUGUACUUUAAACUAUCUAAUUGUCUUGAUGAUUGGCCACCAUUUGGAUAUGUAGAAAAGUAAUUUGAUGCAAUUUUGGUGGAGGGCUAUCCCUGGAAUUUGUGCUGGCUUCUUAUGGUUAAUGUGUGUAACUUCUUAGGAUGGACGACAUGUCUUAAGGGUUAUAUGGUUUUUCAAAAGGAUUUCACAAAACUUAAUGAGUCUUGCAUGUUCACAUUCGAUCUGGACACCACAUACGGGUUGCAUGUUAGAUAUACGUUCUAUGUUCGAGGUUCCAAGUAGGGCAUACAUUAGGAAAACCAAACCUUCAAAAUAUGCAUGUGUAAUUCAUAAGUAAUUGGAAGAACUACGUAGGAUUGUUAAGGUGACGGUGAAACCCUAGUGCUUAAAUUUAUUUUCAAAAACUAUCUUCUUUGGUUUUCUUUACUUUCCCAAUUUAUUUAAUUGUUUUCAGUUAAAUUCGUUUUUAAUAUUUUAGGUCAUAAAAUCAACCUCUUCUAAACUUUAUUUUCAAAUAAUUAAUUAAGAUUUGGUUUUAACAUAAAUUAUUCAUUCAAUCCUUGUGGAAAACGAUCUUACUUGAGUUGCUAUACUACGAUAACCUUGUACUCUUACAAGUAUUUUUAAGUGUUUUUAUUCCUACUUUUGCAAGUGAUAAAAUCCCUAUCACAAAGCACAACUCAAGAAUCGAAUCGCAUAGUAAUUUUUCGUAUAAUUUAUGACUGCAUCUAAUCUCCUCGUAGACUGCCUACGUACCCUAAACAGAGAUCAAGCUAUUCGUAGUUCACCUCACUCAAACAUUCACCGCAUAUCUCACUACGUCUCAUCAUAAUACCACAAUUCAAGCAUGUAGCACCUCAAGGAACAUUCUACGAAGCACAAUAAUAUUCUCUAGUCAUCUUGCCAUUCACCCACACAUAUGCAUUCCAACACUAUCCAAUAAUCACACCAAUCAAUAACACAUACAAUACACCAAAAUGCAGGGCUAGAGUGACGACCCAAGCCUACAUCUCUGAAGCUGAAAUCAAAGCCAAGGAACCAACAUGUCAAAUGAUGCGCUUUCAGACCACUCAAUGAAAUCCAUCAACAUCGGGUCGCGGACCACUCAACGGAACCAAAACACCAAGUGGGAUUCCUAACCACUUAACGGAAUCUAUACCAGGAUAUGAUUUCGAACCACUCAACGGAAUCGCAGAGUAGAAGGGAUUCUGGACCUCUCAACGGAAUUCGGGUGGAUAUGAUUCCGGACCACUCAACAAAAUCGCGGAGUACAAUGCAUAUCGAACCACUCAAUGAAAUCUAAGCUGGAUACGAUUACAAUCAUACCUUCUGUCAGUUGUCUGUCAAUUCUGUCAGUUGUUGCAAUGACAUUGAAACUUUUUAAAGAUGAGGUACUAUUAAUGACCAAAUAGUUGAGGUAGUUUUAGGUAAUUUACCCUAUUUUUUUUACUUAUUUUUUGGGUUUUUCUAUUAGAAAUACAUUUGUGGGUCAAUAAUUGGUAACAACACUUUGAGAUGCCCUAUAAAGAUUUGCUUAAUGCUCACGAAAAAAUAGAAAAUUUUCAUUUUCACACAAAAAACGUGGGUUAACACUCACGAUUUUUAGGCCAUUUUUCAAUUUCGUACAAAAAUCAUUAUUAAAUCUAUUUGUUUUAACUUUCGCCUCACCACAAUGUUUUUAAAAUUAAUGUAAUACUUUUCGUUGAUAUUUCUUGAGAGUGAAACCCCAUUUUAGCAACAUUUUAUGCCUCACAUAUAUGUUUUCAGUUGGUAGAACUACUUCCAAAUGCCUUAUAAAUAUUCCAUUAAUGUUAAAAUUUUGCAUUUUACCCUAAAAAGGUGUCACAAUUUUAAAACUUAUUUGUUUUCACCUUCGCCUCUCUGUGAUGUUUCAAUACUAAGUUACUUAAUUAUAAUUCUCUAGUUGCGAAAUUGACAUUUUGGCAAAAAAUUAGGGGAAAAAUUUUACCCAACGAAUAUAGAAGUGAUGGCUGACAAAUCAUUAUAUGUUGGUCUAACAACUUGCACCUAAUUCGUCAAGCAAAACUGAAAAAAUUAUUUAAUUUCAAAUGGUAAAUCAUCGAAUUUGAUGAUUAGGACAAUUAAGUGUGUGGUUUUACUCUAAAUUACUGUUUUUCAAAAAAAUUAUGAAAACCAAAGGUCCUAUAUAUAGCCUUUAAAUCUUGAUUUUUCGUUUCUAACAUGCGAAGGAUUUCACCUCAUUACCAAAUCUUGAAACGUUUGUUUUGGAUGAUUUUUGGUAUAUGCGGUCUGGACUAUAUACAAACAAGUUUGAUAGUUGGAUCGUGGAAACUAGUUUCGUAGAUUGCGUAUGCCAUCAAAACAAUAGAUUCAACAAACAUUUAGAAUUUAUUUUGAACUCGCAUUAAGUAGAAGGUAAGCUUUUGAGGUAUCUAGUAGUGUAAAUAUUUUGAAGUUGAUGAUCGGGUUCAUUCUUUAUAUUCUUCUAGGAUUGAGGAAUUUAGUUUAAAAUAUUCAUCAAAAUCGGAGCUAAAUGACCAUUAAAUUGUGAUUUCCAUUUCUAACUGUCGAUGAUUUCAUUUCAUUACAUAAUCUUUGAACGUUUACUUUUGAUGAAUUUUGGCGUCUCUAUGUCAUGUUACAUCAGAACUUACUUUUUGGUUUAAAAAUACUGUUGCUAUUUGAUAGACACAUAUUUAUUACAAUUGUUACCCUAUUAUCUAUAUUUCUUAGUGCCUCAUUCAAACUAUUUUUAUUAAAUUACUUUAGUUUUUGUAAUUUAUAAGGAUUACGAUGCUUAUUGAUAAAAGUGGAAUUCAACAAGUUUUUGACACAUCUUAUAUGUUUUAGUCUUCCUAAUUACAUUGGCUUCAUCCAUUUAAUUAAAAGCAGAUAGGGUAGUAGCGGCAGGGAGGAUUUGAUUUGGUUCUUCUUCUCUAGUUUUAUUUUAUGCAAAAUUUCCUUCUUAGAAUUACUAUGAAUUCUUCGUUCAUGGGGUUCUAAUGUCACAUCCCGGCUCGGGUCCACCACAUUCUGGGCCCGCUCUACCACCGUAGCACGAUAUUGUCCGCUUUGGGCUUACCAUUCCCUCACGGUUUUGUUUUUAGGAACUCACGAGCAACUUCCCAGUGGGUCACCCAUCCUGGGAGUGCUCUGGCCUCCUUCUCGCUUAACUUCGGAGUUCCUAUGGAACCUAAAGCCAAUGAGCUCCCAAAAUGCCUUGUGCUCGGAGGGAUGAGAAUAUACAUUUAAGGAUCACUCCCCUGGGCGACGUGGGAUGUUACAUCUAAAUUCUUAGUUAAGGCUAAGAGGAAGCCCUAAUUAUGAUUAUUCUAGUUAUUUGAUUGUUCAAUUUGUGAAUUUCAGAUUGAUGAUUAGUUUUCAUUCACUAGUUGGCUUGCAAUUUUGAUAUUGGGUUCUUUGUUCUUGACCAUAGCCUAGGAUUUUGAUAUUGAAUUUAUUUGCGUAUGAAUUUAUUUAUGACCAUUAAUUGGAUUCUAUUGAUUCUUCAUGAAUGAGAAUCAUGAACUUAUAUUUUGAUCCGACCAUAGACGAAUAUUGGUUUGUGUGGCUUCCUAGAAAAUUAGCUAUUUGUUUGACGUGACCAAGUUGAUAAGUGGUUAAUUUGUUUCUCACCAUACUUAAUUGGAUUUCUACAUGUUUGUGUAUACCGGACCAAGGAUAUGUAGACUAUAGAAAUAGUUGAGUUUAAGCUUGACCAUGGUAAAAUUCACAUCUCUUUGGGAAAUUAUUGGCAUGUAUACCUGACCACGGACAUAUGCACGGAAGUUGUUUUCAUUAAUUUGAUAAUUCAGGAGUUGACAAUUUGAUACUAGGGUAUGACAAUUAGUGGUGGAAUCAAAGCCUUAGUGUUUUCUUACAUUUGUUCUCAAUCAUAUUUCUAUUUAAGCAUUGUUAAUUUUAAUUAUUCUUUGAUACAAAUCCAAUCUUUAUUUCAAUUUGUUAAGGAAUAGUUAUAGGAUUAAAUUGUAAAAUCAAUUUCGGUGGAUUUGAUCUCGUAUUUACAUAUUUCCACUACAACUGAUUCGUGCACUUGCGGGUAAAUUUGGUUUGAAUUAAUCUAUUUAUUAGGUUAGUUUAAAUUCACAUCAAGUUUUUGGCGCCGUUGCCGGAGAUUGUUUUUUCCAAUUUAAACUUUAAUUGUUGCUUAUCAUAGUUUGUUUAGAAUUUUAUUUGUUAGUAAUUUUUUUUUCUGUCCUUUCUUCCGUGUGGUCUUCUUUCUUAUGUUUUGUUUGGUUUUUUUUAGGUACUGCUUAGUUUUGUUCUAUUACGGUAGAUGCAAGGACAUCGUUCACUCAAUCUAGCACUUAUUCCUAUUGAUCAUGAACUUGAGCAGACUUUACGAAACCAGCAACGGAAACAUUUAUCUCAAGGAGAGGUGCUCAAAACUCCACCAAUUUCUGAAAAAGAAUCAGAAAUGGCUGGGCAAGAUCAGGAAAUUAUGCCGGUUAGAAGGCCGAAGAAAGAUUCUUUUGACCCUCAGGAUAUGUUGAUGCAAAUUGACAAAUUUUAUUAUCUGAUGGACUUUAUUGUUCUUGAUACAAGGCAUGUGUGUUAUUCAUCUACUGAAAUUCCGAUUGUUCUUGGACGUCCCUUUCCAGCUACUGCAAAGGCUAAUAUUCAAUGUGACACUGGAAUUUUAACUUUGUGUUUUGGGGAUAUGAAGGCUAAAUUCGACUUGUAUCCUGCUCAUGGCCUUGAAUCUGGUGCUGAUCAUGUUGAAAGUAUUCAUCUUGCAGUUCAUGUGUACAAGAACGACUAGAACAAAGUAAUGUCUGGCUGAAGACUGUAAACUUAGCACUAUUGGGAGGCAACCCAAUUUCUUUUCCUUAGUUUUCUUUCUUUAAGUUUUAUUUUUUGUUAGUUUUUCCAUUAGAUUGCUUCGCUGCUGCUGCUUAUUUGCUCGUUGAUGUUUGUUCUGUUUGCAAAUCUGGCUCUCUAUUCCAAUUUGACAAAGGAAAUUCGAACAAAGUGGUGUAUUGCAGCAUGUUUGCUUGCAAUUUGGAUGAGAUUAAGUUGGUCAUUGUUGUCAUCCCCAAAUUUUUCCACAACAGCAAGCAUGCUCUGAGACCAUAUCAUUCGUGCACCAUUCAUAUCCAUUGGAUGAUUUGCUAAAAAGAGCUGCAUUUACAAACAUGGAAGUUCCCUGACUUUUCUCUUUUUCUUUUGUUUUCUUUGUUUUAUACUCCUAUUCCAUAUCACUUUGUAUCCUAAUUACAUGUUCGAUUCCAUAUUUUUUAACAUUGAGGACAAUGUUGGAUUCAAGUUUGGGGGUAGGAUAUUUUAGUUUGGUGUUUUUUAAAGUUGAAAAAAAAAAUUAAAAAAAAAAGCUAAAAAUAUUUCUUCGUAUGUUUCUUUCUCUUUUCCUUUGAGUCGCUUUCCAAAUAUCCAUGACGAAAUUGAGUAGAUAACUUGUAUAACUUGAAUGAGAAAAGUGUGGUAACAUAUGGGGUUUUAGCUUUAUUCACUUUAUAACAUGAUCGAUUCUAGCAUGAUGUGUUUGAUGCACAAUAACCUUUGGUUGAUAUUAUGUAAAUUUUAUUAAGUUGAGCAUGCUUAACUUGAAUAAAACCCGCACCCAUGUGAGUUUUUGUGCCUAAAUGUAGUGUGUGCAUUUUUCAUACACUUUUGUUCUUUUCAUGUGUGCAAUCUUAUAUGUUAUGCAUCUCCAGAACUUGCUUUGAGACCUUUUCAAGACUUUGUGUCAUGUAUUGCUUCAACUUGGAGACGAUAGUAGGCAUUAGGACUUUACCAUCAUUGCCAUAUAUGCCAGUGUCCUAUACGUUACUCCUAGUUAGCCCCUUUGAGCCUUUAAUGGAGCCUUUUCUUUGUGAGCCAAACUCCCUAUCAUUCCUAACCACUAUUUAUAUAUCCUACCCUUAAUUGUUUAGAGAAAAUGAUAGAGUGAUUGUUUUGUUGGAGCUUAAUUUGUUUGCAUAAAAGGGAUGUAUGGACGAAGGUGGUUGAUUAUCAAGGCUAGAAAUUUGUGCUUUAAUGUUAUUCACUAAGUGUUGAAAGUUGGAAGUGGUGACAUUAAAAAAAAAAAAAAAAAGGAAUCAAUGAAGAGGAUGUGAGAUUGUGUCCUGUACUUGCAUAAGGGUAAUGAAAGCAGCUCGAAUGUGUUGGUGAUGUCAAAUGCUUAUUUUCAUUUGGAUAUGGGGUAUGAGAGAACAACAUGUGCUGCUAUCUUUGCUAUGGUGAUUUACAGAAUUUGUAUUGUGCAUGAGAGAAUAUCUGAUACAAAAGAAGGAAAAGUAGACUGAAGAUGCUACGCUUGUUGAUGCUAUUUUUAGGGUGAUUCGUGUUUUGUGCUUAUGGUAAUUAGAAACACUCUAAUAUUUUCUCAGAAUUUUUGUAUUCCCAAUCCUUUCAUUUGUUUAGCCAUUCACUGUAAGCCUCCGUUACAACCUUCGAUAAAGACCUACUUGAUCCAAGGAGAGUAAUUUUUGAAUUGUGGAGAUCAGAUUGAUCUGCAAGCUUAUGGUAGAGCAUUCAUGUAAUGAUCUUUUGAGUGUAUACACUUAACCUUAAACACUUUGAGUGCUAAUUGAGUGUAUAUCUUGUGAGUUUAGGGUUGAAGUUGUGCAAAUUGAGCGUAUACUUGCAUUUGUGUUGUAUCAACUUUUGGCUACUUUUACUCGAGCAUGUUAUGUCUCUAGAAUGUGUUAUUUUGUUACUAUGGUUUGAGCCUUAUGUGUUGUUACACUUUAUUAUUCUUGGUAUGCCUGUGUGUAGACUCCCUGAGUUGUUUGGAAAGAGCAGUUUUUUUUAAUUGUGUCUUUCUGUUUUGCUCGAGGACUAGCUCAACAUAAAGUUGGGGGUAUUUGAUAGACACGUAUUUAUUACAAUUGUUACCCUAUUAUUUAUAUUUGUUAGUGCCUCAUUCAGACUAUGUUUAUUAAAUUACUUUAAUUUUUGUAAUUUAUAAGGAUUAAGAUGCUUAUUGAUAAAAGUGGAAUUUAACAAGUUUUUGAUACAUCUUAUAUGUUUUAGUCUUCCUAUCACAUUCCGGCCCGAGUCCACCACAUCCCGGGCCCACUCUACCACCGUAGCACAAUAUUGUCCGCUUUGGGUCUCGACCACGCCCUCACGGUUUUGUUUCUGGGAACUCACGAGCAACUUCCCAAUUGGUCACCCAUCAUGGCAGUACUCUGGCCACCUUCUCGCUUAACUUCGGAGUUCUGACGGAACCUGAACCCAGUGAGCUCUCAAAAAGCCUCGUGCUAGGUAAGGAUGAGAAUAUACAUUUAAGGAUUACUCCCCUGGGCGAUGUGGGAUGUUACAAUCCACCCUUCUUAGGGGCCUGAUGUCCUCGUCGGCACACUUCCGGCCAAGGAUUAGCUCUGAUACCAUUUGUCACAUCCCAGCCUGAGUCCACCACAUCUCGGGUCCGCUUUGGGCCCCGACCACGCCCUCACAGUUUUGUUUCUGGGAACUCACGAGCAACUUCCCAUUGGGUCACCCAUCAUGGGACUACUUUGGCCACCUUCUCGCUUAACUGCGGAGUUCCGACGAAACCCGAAGCCAGUGAGCUCCCAAAAGGCCUCGUGCUAGGUAAGGAUGAGAAUAUACAUUUAAGGAUCACUCCCCUGGACGAUGUGGGAUGUUACACUUCCUAAUUACAUUGGCUUCAUUCAUUUAAUUAAAUGUUAUUUUAUUCUUAGUUGAAGACCAAUGGGCGUUGGAGAUAUCUUAGGAAAGAAUUUCAAAUUGACUGGAAUUCCUAUUUUUGAGAAGACUUGGGCGCAGAUAAAAGCAGAGAGGGUAGCAGCGGAAGAGGGGGAUUUUUCUGCUGGCGUGAAGUAGAGAGGGCAGCAGCGGCAGGGAGGAUUUGAUUUGGUUCUUCUUCUUUAGUUUUAUUUUAUGCAAAAUUUCCUUCUUAGAAUUACUAUGAAUUCUUCGUUCAUGGGGUUCUAAAGGGCUUGGUAGUACAGGUGGAGCCAUAUCGUAGUGUAGUUGGGAUUGGGAUGCUCUCCCUUUUUUAUUCUCUCUUGAUGAUCUAAUUUGCUUGCUGUGAAUGUGAUGCUUAGUUCAAACCUGCUAUCCUAUUUCUAAGAAAUUAAGCACAAGCAAGCUCAAGUUAUGGUCUUUAAUUAAUAUUAAGUUCGACAACUCAGUUUCCCAUCUCUUUCAUUGAUAUGAACACGGCUGAUCUCAUUGGUGUGACGCAAUAUUUGUUAAAUUAGCUGAUCGGUUUGAUUUCUUUGUAUAACUCUUCUGCCAAUUCUGCAACUUGUAGAUGUAAAUUCCCAUUACAAAAUAAAAAAAAUAAAAUCCAAAACUCAUAUAAGAUAAAUAAAGACUUUUUAUAUCAUAAAAUAAGACUUUCUAACUUGUACAUGACUAUAGUUACAAAAUCGAACACAUUGAUGGGUGCGCAUUUUCCAUCAACAUCUCUUUUAUGCGUGUAAACUGAGCGUGAAGUCUGUUUUUUAGCAAUAAAAAGUUUUGUAUCAUUUGAUUGACUUGGUUUGAUAAGACCUAUAUCUAGAUGACUUGGUUCUGAAGACUAUUGUAAAACUUUAUGUUGAUAUUUCUUGAGGGUGAAACAUUGUUUGAGAAACAUUUUGGGCCUCAUUACAAUUUUUUUCAUUUAUUUUUUAAGUUUCGGUUUAAAUAUUCUACUAUAAAUACAUUUGUGGCUUUAAUAACUAGUAAAACCAGUUUCAAAUAUCCUGUUAAGUUUUUCUCAACGUCAUGGAAUUUUUUUUACGAAAAUGAAACAUUUGCAUUUUUCACAAAAAAAAUUUGGUUUGUCAAUUUUGUAAAUUUGUAUAAAAAUCUUCAUUAAGUCCAUUUGUUUUCACAUUCACCUUACCAUGAGGCACUUAAAAUUAAUUUAUAACUUUCCAUCGAUACUUGAGUAUAGACCCUUGUUAAGGCAAGGAGUUGGGCUUCACUACAAUUUUUUUUCAUUUAUUUUUUAGGUUUCGUGUCACAUCUUGGCCUGGGCCUCCACCACAUCCUCGGCAAGACUCCACCGUAGCACGAUAUUGUCAGCUUUGGGUCCCGACCACACCCUCACGGUUUUGUUUCUGGAAGCUUAAUCGAGAACUUCCCAUGGGUCACCCAUCAUGGGAUUGCUCUCGCGCGAACUCGCUUAACUUCGGAGUUCCAAUGGAACCCGAAGCUAGUGAGCUCUCAAAAGGCUUUGUGCUAGGUAGAAAUGGGAACACACAUAUAAGGCUUACAUGAUCCACUCCCCCGGUUGAUGUAGGAUGUUACAUUUCGGCUUAAAUAUUCUAUUAAAACUAAAUUUGUGGCUCAAUAAUUGGUAAAACUCUUUCCAAAUGCUUUAUAAAUAUAUUGUCCUAAUGCGAACGAAAAAUAUUUUGUGAAGACUAAGGAUAUGCAUUUCUCACAAAAAAUGUGGUUGUUCACUGUUUUUCUUCGGUUUUGCAAAUUCGUACACAAAUCAUCAUUAAAUAUAUUAGUUUUCAUCUUUGCCUUAGUGUGAUGUUUCUAAGAUUAAUGUAAGAGUUUUUGUUGAUAUUCUUGAGUAUAUACCCCGUUUAGGCAAUGUUGGACCUCACUAUUGUUUUUUUAAUUAUUUUUUGGGUUUGGGUUAAAAUAUUCUAUUAGAAAUACAUUUGUGGCUCAAUAAUUGGUAGAAACACUUUCAGAUGCCCUAUAAAGAUUUUCUUAAUGCUCUUGAAAAAUAGAAAAUUUGCAUUUUUCACACAAAAAACAUGGGCUAACACUUACGAUUUUUAGGCGAUUUUGCAAAUUCGUAAAAAAAUAUUAUCAAAUCUUAAGCCUUUUAUAAUUCUUGUUCUAAAUGGAUUGUUUGUUAGUCGUACAAGAUUAUAAUUACAUGAGAAACACACUGAUGGGUGUAUUUCCUGCAAUAUCUUCAAAGUGCGAUUAAAAUGAGCGAUUGUCGACUUUUAUAAAAUAGUAUGGCUAUAGGUCUUUUAAUAUUGCAAGCUUUUAUAACUCUUAUACUAAAAAUGUGUACACGUUUAUAAAUGGAUUAACAGACUAAUAGUUUGGGUAUAAAUGAAGACUAAAUGAGGGACUUGAUUCUCAACUUGCACACUACAUGUCACGCCCCGAACCUGACAUACGUCCAGGAUCGACACAUGACGUCACCAAAUACCCGUAUCUCAACCUACCCCGCCUCCAAGAUAUGUACAUAGCAUAAUUCAAGAUCCAAAUCUCAUAGAAAUUUUUGUAUAUUUUAUGGCUGUAUCUAACCUCCUCGUUAGAUUGCCUACGUACCCUCAAUAGGGAUCAAGCCAUUCAUAGUUCAUUAUUCCACUUCAAUCGAACAUUCAACACAUAGACCACUAUGUCUCCACAUAAUACCACAAUUCAAUCAUGUAGCACCUCAAGGAACAUUUAACAAAGUACAAUAAUAAUUUUUAGUCAUCUCGCCAUUCAUCCACUCAUAAGCGUUCAAACACCAUCCAAUUAUCACAUCAAUCAAUAGAACUUGACAAGCAUAAAAUUCCUAGACUCAAGGUAACAUAACAAACCCACAUGAAAAAAAAUCAAGAUUUCCCUUCCAUCCUUCAUACACUAUGACUCAACAUGAUAUCUCAAUUCACAACAUACAUCAUAUUUAAGAACCGACAACGCACAAAACCAUCUUCUAGCCACAUUAAGUAACUAAUAUGGUCAAAAUAAUAACAAUCACUCUCAUAUCUUCUAAAUUAAUAAACUAUGAAAUUAUAAUUGAAUCGUAGAAAAUCUCGAAGGAAUCCCACGGACGUACAACUGCUUUUAUACUUCAAUUCAUAAUAUUCUCAAACCCAUUAUUCACAAUAUACUCAAACGAAGGCUAAAGUGACACAGUUAAAUCAAACCUACUUCUCCGAAGAAAGGGAUUUUGGACCAUCACUCAACGAAAUCCGAGUGGAUACGAUUCCGGAUCAUCACUCAACGGAAUCGUGUAGUACAAUGUAUAACAACAACUAAAUGAAACCCAAAUCAAAUACAAUUCCGGAACAUCACUCAAUGAAAUCGCGGAGUAUAAAGGAUUCUGGACCAUCACUCAACGGAAUCCGAGUGGAUACGAUUCCGGACCAUCACUCAACGGAAUCGCAGAAGGCCAGCAACCAUACAUACAAUGGCUCAAAGAAAUGAGACAAGUACAAGUUACUUAAUUUACAAAAGCUCAACGAAGGAAAUAAGGAACAAAUACUAAAUUUAGAAUGAAUCAACGAAGCAACAAAUCCCCAUCACCACGGGUUAACGGUCUACCACUAGUUCUCACAUUUCAUCACAACAUGCCAAUCAAACCAAUCAAACCAUAUUUCAAUAUACGCAUGUCAAAUCUCAUUUCAUAAACUUAAAUCAAUGGCUAAGCAUUAAAAAUAACAAUUCAAUAGAAAACAUAUUUAUAAAACCAAGUCAUAUCCACAUAGGAUAACAAUUACGAAAAUAGGGUAAUCACCAAUAUCACAUAUAUUAAAGUCACUCACAUUUCUAUACAUCACAGUAAUCCCUAUGAAUUACAACGUAGUCUCCUACACCAUCAACUUCUCAUGGCCACCAACUAAUAUAUCACACAAGUAUAUAAGUUCUACAGAAUAUUUCAAAUAGGAUUCUAAGAUCGCAUAGCCAUAAAUUUAUCAUACUUAACCUUCACAUAACUAGAAAUAAUUAAACAUCCAUAUAUCACCAUUAUCAUCAAUACACAAGCCAAAUCAUGUUUAAUAAACAUAAGUCUAUGGCUAAAUAUAUGAAAAAUCACAUUACAAUAGAAAUCAUAUUUAUAAGUCCAAAGCACGUUGACAAAUGAUAUUAAUAUAAGAAAUUAAGGUAAUAACCAUAUCACAAUAUUCAAGUCACUCUCCAACCAAUAUAGGUCCACUAGACUUCACUUAAGUCUCUCGUAGUACUAAUUUUAUUAUUGGGAACGUUUCGAGACAUGUUGACCAAAAGUCAACUCUCGAUCAAAGGUAGGGUCCACAAUUCUACACAAUUCAGUCCAGAAGAUCCACACAUUGGAUUUCGGAUCCGUAACUGCCCAAAGUCCACAUUAUGCUCAUACUAAAUUCUCAUUGCGAUCCGACGGUCAGAUCUUCACCAAUUACUAGAAUUAAGUGGCGGUCAACAAUUUAUUUUACCAACUUAGAAAUCCAAUUAGGAAAGAUCUGUACGUUGGAUUCCCGAUCCGUAAGUUUCUAUGAUGCACAAAUAUUAUGUUUUAUCACGAAGUAAGGUUUGGUGACGAUGCAACGAUCAGAUCAUUCCUUCAUAAUUAGACCAAGUAAGGUAUCGUAAUGAAAGUAAGUCCAAACAAUCAAAUUACGUCAUACGAAUAUCAAUUAUGAAGUCAAGGCAUUUAUUUGAACUUAAAAGGACAUCUUCAACCCACUUGCCAGGCCGCCGCCACACUCGUCGCCCCGACUUGCCGGAAAAAUUCAACUAUUUUUAAAAAUUAUCAAAAUUUACAGGCAAGUAUAUCUCAGUAAAGGGAGCAACUUUCAUACAUGUGACUAAGGCCAAUUGGCCGGGAAGAGAUCCAAUUCCAUUAAAACCCGUCGAAAACCCUAUAAAGGGUAUUCUUCUAAUCACCACCAAAUUGAACCCCAACGUCUCAACAAUUGACUGGGCAUGGUUCCUGGGUUCAAGGGAAGUAUUUUGGUGAUAAAAAUUGCACCAAAUCGUUUCAGGAAUAGCGGAUUCACCGCAAUGGUGCCCUUGGCCCGACAUGAACUUUCAUCGUGAAAUCACGACCAAUGACACCAAACUUAGGUGGGAAUGGAAGCUGGGAUGACACCAUGUUGAUGUCAAGUGAAAACUGGGCAAAAAUCGCCUAAAAAAUGGUGGAAGUUGGCCGGAAAUCCCUCCAGGUCGAAACUGGGUACACGGGUCGCCGAGGAUGGGUACCCUGCACCUCUCUCCUUUCUUUCCUUUCUUUGCUUUUUCAUUGGUCACCCUCACCUCUCUCCUCUUCUGAUUCGUCCCCUCCCUCCUUAUUCCUCAUGUUCCUCCUUCUUCCCCCUCUCCCCCUCUUUUCUCCUGUUUCUCCCGCAACUCCCCCCUUCUUUUUUUUCCCUCCUUUUCUUUUUCUUGAUUGGUUUCCUUUUUUUUUAUUUUUUUUGAAGUAACUUCUAAAACUUCCGCAAAGUUCCUUUCUCGAUCCAAUUCACAUAUGGUCUUCGCUUAAGCACUUGUGAGGUCAAGCCCCAUUAAAAACAUUAAGAGUGACCCUCGAACGUCUACGGAUAUAACAAUUAUUUUCCAAAAUUCAAACUUUGUAAUUAGGUAAUUAAAAUCUAGAAUUAAUUUAAAUUCACGAAAAUACUAUAAAUCCCGCCCAUACGAAAUACAUAGAUUACAAUAGUGAAAUUCAGGAACGGGAUUUCACACUACAUAGGUGUGAAGUCUUUUGGUAUAAUUAUAGACUUAAUGUCUCGUUCAUUAAGGUAUUGGUCUGUAAAAGAACUAGAUUUAGAGAACAAAAGUGCAAUUAAAUGAGAAAUAUAUUAUUCUUUCACAAAGCACAUGACUUAAUGUCUCGUUCAUUAAGGUAUUGUGCCUAACUAAUAUGUUUUCAGUUAAUUUUUAGGUUUCAGCUUAAAUAAUCUAGAGUGAUGAUAGACCCACCCCAUUAUCCUAAUUUCACCCAUCAUAAAAAUUAAAAAAAUCAAAAUAUUAUUUCUCCACCCACCAUUAUUCCUAAAAUAACUAAUUUCUAAUUUUUUAAACAAUAAUAUUAAUAUUUAAAAAUUAAAAAAAAACAUCAUGCUUCCUUAAUUGCCUCUACCCUAAACGCACAAGAACCUCCUCCCACCCCCAUCAAAAAGAAAAACCUUUGACACCUGCUUGGUGGCAUCUCCUUUGGAAAGAGAGAGAAACUAAAGGGAAAGGAAGAGAAAAACACCGGGGGAGUUUUCCAAUACAGAGGUAGAUUUCUCCAAAGCGAUUUAUUCCAACUAGAAUUGGGUAUUCUUUGAUUUUAAAAUUUGGGUUCUCGUCGUUGUUCGUUUAUGAGGAAAAGGAGGAGAUGAUGGAGGUGUGGUAGUACCAAAAUUGAAAGGGAGAGUGGGGUGCUAUUUGUUGCUGGGGAGGGUAAUGGAUAAUUGGGGAUUUGAUAGUCGUCAGUCCAUCGUGGAUGAUUUGGGAGGAUGAUGGAUUUAUUUUUACUUUUUUUAGUUUUAGGUUUUCUUUAUUCUCUUUUAGUUUAUUUAAUUAAAGUUAUAACAAAUUUAUAAAUGUGGAUUUAAAAGUCUUUUGCUAAAAGGAUAAUUAUGUGAUUAAAAUUUUGAUUAAAAGGUGGGUUGGAAAAUAACACAAGGGGGUGGUUUUAGUAGCACUCAUAAUCUAUUAGAAAUGCAUUUGUGGCUCUGUAAUUGGCAGAGCAACUUUCAAAUGCCUUAUAAAUAUUUAAUUAAUGUUCAGUAAAAUAUUUUUUAAAAAUAAAGAAUUGCAUUUUAGACAAAUAUAUAUAUAUAUAUAUGUCACGAUUUUUAGACGGUUUUGAAAAUUUGUAAAAAAAAUAUAAUUUUUUUAAUACAUCGAUGUUUUUACACUAAGGGGAGGAGGAGUUCGGCUAUGCCACACAAAGGGCAGCCUAAUUUGGUAUCAAAUUCGCCAUCCACGAGAUUCAAACCUAAGACCUCUCACUUCCAAGUUGAGAGGAAUACCACCAAAUCGUAGUACUGAGUGACAAAAAAUCAUCAUUAAAUCUACUUGUUUUCACCUUCGCCUUUCCAUGAUGUUUUAAAACUAAUGUAAGGCUUUACAUUAAUAUUCUUGAGUACAAGUCCCAAUUUAUGCAAUGUUUUGGGCUUUACUUGACAUGUCCCAACCCCGAUAUCCCCACAUACCAGGGUAGGCAUGUGCUGGCCGACAUCCGAGGGUGACGAAGCCAUUUUAAACAUGCAUGCAAAAAAAGAAUAUGCAAUUAGAACGAAAAAUGCCAUUGCAAGAACGUGUUCAGAGCAUACAACUGUGAACACGGAAAAUUCCUGAAACGAAUGAGACAAGAAUAACGUGCACAAACAAAUAUUUGUAUUUUUGAUGAUUUUGGGUUACAAUCUCUCUUAAAUUUGAUCCUCGGAUUCAAUCUCCGUAAGGUCUGUAUUUAUGGAUGUGCGAUUGAUCCAAAGGGCCGUUGGGCUUGAUCUAAGGAUGAACGUUCUUCAAGGGCCGUGGAAUUGAUCUUGAAGGUGGAUUUGAGCGGAUCUUCAAAGGGGCUUUUGGGCUUGAUCUUUGAAGAACAGUGAUGAACGGAUCUCCAAGGGCUUUUAGGCUUGAUCUUGAAGAACGGUUGGACGUGUGGAUUUGUUGAUGUUGUUGAUCUAAGGGGCCGUCGGGGCUUGAUCUUAGAAGAACGAUGAACGAAGAACGAAGAACACUUUCUUCAAGGGCCGUCGGGGCUUGAUCUUGAAGGUGGAUGAUUGUUGAUCCAAGGGGCCGUCGGGGCUUGAUCUUGGAAGAAUGAUGAAUGAAGAACGAAGAACGAAGAACACUUUCUUCAAGGGCCGUCGGGGCUUGAUCUUGAAGGUGGAUUUGAUGAAGAACGAAAAGGGCUUUCUGGAUUUGACGAAGAACGAAGAGGGCUUUCUUGAUCCUUCGGGAUUUGCUUGAGAGCUUCGGAGUUUCAGAGCUUCAGAGCUUCAAGGUGUAAUAUGAAUUCCUCCCCCUAAAUGAGUGAAUUAGCCUUCUAUUUAUAGAAAUUUCCAAGGCCUAAUUUUGAAUAUAAUAUUCCAGAUGAAAUAAGUCGUUUAUGCCAGGUGUUGACACGUGUCCUGUUUGAUGACUUUUCCAAUUUAUUUCGAUUUUUUGUUUAGACACACGCUACGUGUAAAAUUUAUGUAAUACAUGAGCGUUGAAACUUUGAUUUAUCGGUCAACAUUUAUUUACCGAAAUUUCGAUGUCUACAAAUGCCCCCACUUCAAGGCGCGUCGUAUACAUGUGCUUGUCACGUGUAGGAGAUGCGUUUUGAAGUCCCUUAAUGUAGAUGUCGAUCCAAGGGCCGUCGAGGCUUGAUCUUGAAUUGGGCUGGAGAUUUCUUCAAGGGCCGUUGAGGCUUGAUCUUGAAUUGGGUUGGAGAUUUCUUCAAGGGUCGUCGAGGCUUGAUCUUGAAGGUUGAAAUUGGACCACAAGGAGCUUCAUGUGGUAGAUGAUCUUUGGCUUUGGUAGUGGAUGAAUCGGCACGUAUUUUGUUGCGCUUGUUGACUUUCCACAGCUUUGAUCUUGAACUAGGUUGGAGGAUUUUCUGGAUUCCUCCAAUUGUUGAUUUUCCACAGCUUAUUCUUGAACUGAAUUUGAUUUAAAUAUGGUGGACGCUUGAUCUUGAAUCGGAUUUGUGAUUUCCUCAAGGGCCGUCGAGGCUUGAUCUUGAAUUUGGCCGGAAACUUCUUCAAGGGCCGUUGAGGCUUGAUUCUUGAAGGUUGACUCGAACACAUGGCAAGCAUGCACGAGGUGAAGGUGACGGCUUGUUGCUUUGUUCAAUCUUUUUAAUUCACACCUGAGCAGUUUGGUCAACGGUAUGAUCUUCAAGAUUGAUGGGUUCUUCUUCCAAUUGGUGACUUGAUCUUUAAGGAUUUGAUCCAAGGGUGGUGAAACGGCACAUGCAGCCCACAACGCCUAGCAAGUCGACCCAAGAAUUUGAGGGUCAAAACGAGUCCUCCACCCAGAGUGAUUACAAAUCUGAUGAUAUGAGAUACUUUUGAUUUUGAAGAAGUAGCGGAUGAAUCGACACGUGCUUUGUUGUGCUUGUCUCCACAUGCUUCAAUGUAUCAUUUUCCCUUGUCUUAUCUAUUCUUCUGGAAAAAUGUAGCAUCUUCUCGAGUUCUUCAGCUCAGACUCCUUCUGCUGAGCUGACUGUGCAGGCUGCAUUCUUCUCUGCUUGUUUCUUCAGGCAGAUGUGGCAGCUUCUUGAGUUCUUCAGCUCGGACUCCUUCUGCUGAGCUGACUGUGAAGACUGCAUUCUUCUCUGCUUGUUUCUUCUGCACGUUGUCUCCACAUGCUGCAAGGUAUCAUUUUCACUUGCCUUAUCUGUUCUCCAGGCAAAUGUGGCAUCCGAGUUUGAGUGGAGGUUCCGGCAUAUUGUUUUCUUUAUCCUUGUCUUUGUAGGUAAGAACAAGGACAAAGAAAAGGAUAGGGAGAACACAUGAUAUGAGAUACUCUUGCUUUCUACCCUGGUGAUAUGAGAUACUUUUGCUUUGGUGUCAUUUGUUUGCAGAGGUACCCCAAGGAAUAAGAAACACUGAGUAACUCGAGAGGCUUCGUUGGGAAGGCAUUCUCGGAGAUGAAGAAAGGUUCUCGGAGAUGAAGAAAGGUUAUGUAUGUCUGCCUUGCUAUGGAGGGUGAAGGUGGACAGUUAUAGGAAAUUCUUUAGUACCUGUAGAGGUACUAUUCUUUUACUCGUGUCGGCAACCAAUGCGUGAUUGAUCAGUAUGGCUUCACGUGCUUUCUUCUUUAUCAGAAAUCUUCGACAAAUUGUCCGUAAUUUCCGUCAAGCUGAGUGUGCAUGUGACAGGUGUUGACGAGGCUGAAAAAGACUGGCGCCUCUUCGAUAUCUGGGAUCGGCGCUUCGACAAAUUGCCCGUGAUUUCCGCAAAGCUGAGUUUGCGCGUGACAGGUGCUGACGAGGCUGAAAAAGACUAGCGCCUCUUCGAUAUCUGGGAUUGGAGCUUUAACAAAUUGCCUGUGAUUUCCGCAAAGCUGAGUUUGCGUGUGACGGGUGCUAACGCGUCUGGAAAAGCAAGAUGCUUCUCCGAUUUCUGAGCUUGCCUCUUCGAUUUUUGAAUUGGCCUUUUCGAAUUCUGAGCUCGCUUCUUCAAUCUCUGAACUCCCGUCGAGUAUUGAUUUUUAUAGAGGCACGCAGUUCGUUUCAAAGCACACUUGAAUUUUUGCUUGUAGAAAACUCCCUUCUUGCACUUCUAAGAUCUUGAUUUGUCCGACCUCUUCUUUCUUCAACACCUUUGAAAAUGUCUGGACCCUCCGACCGUCGUUUUGACUUAAAUCUUGGUGAAGAGGCAGUCCCGCCUUCUCCAGACAACAUAUGGCGCCCAUCCUUCAUAUCCCCUACUGGUCCUCUUACCGUUGGGGAUUCGGUGGUGAAGAAUGAUAUGACUGCUGCGGUGGUGGCCCGAAACCUUGUCACUCCCAGAGAUAACAGACUACUUUCCAAACGGUCUGAUGAGUUGGCUGUUAAGGAUUCUCUGGCUCUCAGUGUGCAGUGUGCAGGUUCUGUGUCUAAUAUGGCCCAACGCCUAUUUGCUCGAACCCGUCAAGUUGAAUCAUUGGCAGCUGAGGUGAUAAGUCUCAAACAGGAGAUUAGAGGGCUCAAGCAAGAGAAUAAACAGUUGCAUAAGCUCGCACAUAGCUAUGCGACAAACAUGAAGAGGAAGAUUGACCAGAUGCAGGAAUCUGAUGGUCAGAUUUUACUUGAUCAUCGGAGGUUUGUGGGUUUGUUCCAGCAGCAUUUGCCUUCGUCUUCUGGGGCUGUACCGCGUAAUGAAGCUUCAAAUGAUCAACCUUCGGUGCCUUCUCCUUCUAGGGUUCCACCGAGUGAUGAUGCUCUGAAUAAUAACCCUCUGAUGCCUCUCCGAUCUGGGGCUCCGCCGAGUACUGAGGCGCCACCUGAUCAAUGAAGGUUUUUGUUUGUUUGCACUUUUCUUUUUUUUUUUUUUUUUUGGUAUGUAAAUGUUCCGUCUGUAAUUUUUCCAGAGAAAUCAAUGAAAUGGACUUUAUUUCUCUCAAUGCAUUUGUUUGUUUUUUUUUCUUCAUGUGGUGCAAUCAGCAACAUCCUUUAUUUAUUUAUUUUUAAUUUAUAUAUAUAUAUUUUUUAAUUUUUUAUUAUUAUUAUUUUUUUCUUUUCAGAUGGUGCAAUCCGCACCAUCCCUCCUUUUUUUAUAUUAUUUUUUUAUUAUUAUAAUUUUUUUCUUUUCAAUGGUCCAAUCCGCACCAUCCCCUUUUUAUUUCUUUAUUAUUUUUUUAUUUUAUUUUAUUUUAUAUAUAUAUUUUUUAUAUUUUUUUUUAUUUUCAGAUGGUGCAAUCCGCACCAUCUCCUUUUUUUUUUUUAUAUAUUAUUUUUUUUUUAUUUUUUUUUCUUUUGAGAUGGUGCAAUCCGCACCAUCCCUUUUUUUUAUAUUAUUUUUUUUAAUUUUUUUUUCUUUUGAGAUGGUGCAAUCCGCACCAUCCUCCCCUUUUUUUUAAAUUUAUUUAUUAUUUAUUUAUUUAAUUUUUUUAUAUUUUUUUUCCUUUUUAGAUGGUGCAAUCCGCACCAUCUUUUUUUUUUUUUUUUUUUUAAUCAUCACCCUCUCUUCUUUUUUUCCUAUAAAUACCCCCAUAGGUUGCCUGGCAAUGGGCAGAAGAUUGAGCAGAGGGAGAAUGCAGACGGGUGACAUCGUGGUGCAGUAACAGCAAGCUUUUAGGUAUUUUUUAAGCUUUUUUUUUUUUUUUUUUUUUUGACCUCAUAUAUAUAUAUAUAUAUAUAUAUAAUCUGUUUAUGAUGCUAGAAUAUAUAUACAUUCCUUCAAUCGUCCCAUCACCAUCAUUGUGUACACAUUAUAUAUAUUUGUAUAUGGAACUUGGUUGCUGUGUCUUAUAUAUAUAUAUAUAUAUAUAUAUAUAUAUAUAUAUAUAUAUGUGCACACACACCCAUAUACGCACACACAUAUAAUACCAUAUAAUGUGUCUAUUUUUAUACACAGUGUGUUUGUGCCCUCACUGAUGGAUUUCUUUGCUACUGUAACGUGUUUUGAAGGACCGUCUUGUAGCUACCCAUUUUUGCCGUGCCUAUUCAAGCUUUGUGGCUGACUUUUCCGUUGCAGUCAUGGUGUUUCUUAAGUGCUUUAAAAACAACACCAUCACCAUUCUUGCGAAGGAAGGCGAUCCACAAGAUAGUGGAACGACAUUGAAGCUUUAUGUGCCACUGACUGGCCCUAAGGCACUUGUUCUUCCCAUAAAAGACAACUUCAUGCAUAUUAAGUCGUGGUCUUCUGAGGUAUUUUGGGAGCUGGUAGACUCCGUUCGACCAACUUCAAAGAGGAAGGUGUGCAGAUCGAGGAUUCUUAUCUUGAACUCUUCGCACCAUGAUCGUGCCAACCCUUUGGUUAAGUCUAAGCUUCUUGGUGAUCGUAUCCGUAGCGGAGCUAUAGCUUGGAAUAGCACCCUGUCGACAACUGGAGGACCCGUCUUCGUUGAGUUUUAUUGGGAAUGGCUUGAAGAUGUCUUGAGCCGCUCCAAAGAUGUACUUACCAACACAGGCCUUUGUCAUGCUGUAUACGCAUCUUUGUUUAGUUAUGAUCGUCAUCCUUCCGUCAUUCGUGCAUUCUUUGAGCAUUGGUGUUCAGCGACCAACACGCUUCACACGGCUCAAGGGGAGAUGUCGAUUUCACUUAGGGAUCUCCACAAGCUAGGGGGUCUGCCCAUCCAGGGAAAAUUUUAUGACGAGGUUGUUCCUAGUGUGGAGGAGUUUUCUUGUCGCAACAGUCGAGGAUUGCAUGCUAGCUGCCGCUAUUUGUUCUGGGCAUACCAUAAGCUUUUCCAAGAGGCCCCCGGUAAGUCAGGCGUGAAGAUUUCUUCGUGGAUCCGGUUUUGGUAUUGGGAUGCCGUGAAGUACAAGAGGCCUUCGAAAAAAAAUGGUCGUAACAAAACAACCAGGCCUAAGGGAGAUUCUGAUCCGUCAGGCGUCAUUGGUCUAGCUGGGCGCCGUACCCCUAACGAGUUAAGGACAUUUGAGGAUCUUGGCGUGGCGUUAGAGCACUUGGAAGAAUCUUACUUAGCUGCAUUCUUAGUUUGUUGGCUUUGUAAGUUUGUCUUCCCUAAAGACGAUGUCAACUUGAUUCGUCCUGGAGUCUUCAAAGUUGCUAGCAAGAUGGCUACGGGCGAAUCUUUUAGCCUUGCUAUACCGGUCUUAGCCAAUAUUUACGACGGCUUAAGAGUUGUUUCGGACUUGGCAAGCACUGAAGAUCGUGAUGCGGUACUUCCUUACCAUUAUGUGUACGGUUGGUUGGGUGAGUACUUUGGUACUCAUUUUUCUUCGUCAACUUUAGACAAGUCUGGGCCUUCCGUAGUCAAGCUAGGACCUUUGAUGACGAAGUAUUCUGGCGUGUUUUCUGCGAAGAGUCUCGACGAUCAGCAGGCGCAAGCAUUAUUUAGAAGUUGUGAAGGAUUGAAGAUGGAUCGCCUGGCGAGGUUUGGCACGGUGCGGCGAGACAUCAUAGAUGAUUCACAUAUCCACUUUUCAGACUUGUCUUACCUUAUAAGUCUCCGCUCAGGGUAUGUUUCUUUGCGGCAAGAAGACCGAUGUAUUAUUCAGCCGUACAGUCCUCAUCGCUUUAGUAGGCAAUUUGGUUUUGUCCAAAAUAUACCAGGCACGUUGAGGGAUAAAGCUCGAUCAGAAUCCUUGCAAGCCGUGUAUAUGCAUUGGGAGUCGUGUACCCGUGCAUGUACAAAUGCUUCUAUCACCCUGCCGACCAAGGACGAGUUCAAGAGUAAUCCAGUAACCCGUGUUUACGUACGUUGGUGGUCAAAGGUAUAUUAUGAGAAUUUAGGGACGGCAAGUGGUACCAAUUCUUCCCAUUCACAUCAUGAUGCGUUAAAAGAGGGUUGUUCUGUGGUUCCUACACAGUUGGUACCUUUUGAUUGUGCGAGUGUCACUCCUUUGCGAGAUAGACCUGUAGCUUUAGCUCCUCAACGCCCAUGCUUGUCUCCUCGACAUUCGGAUGCUUCUGAAGAGGCAGGAGAUGAAGGUGACACGCACGAAGAUGGAUUUAUUUUGCAGCAGCGUUAACAAGUUUCAAACAAGCGACCACUUGAGGAUGCUCAGGCUGACAGUGAUGUCAAUUUUUGUCAUAAGAAGAAAGAAGUGUUUAGACCUCCUCAAUUCGAUGACCGUAGGCCAUUUGAGAGAGAUGUAUGUACUUUAUUUUCUCUCAUGAUUUCUUCUGCUUUUAUGAUUUUGGCUUUUGUUUCUAACAUCUUUCUUUGUUGUCUUUAGGUUGGGCCUUCCCGUCAUUUUGAUUUGGCAACUGCAAAUGUUUAUUCCUAUACGGAGAUGCUAUUUAUAGGCGGCCUACCUACAGAUAGAGAGAUCGGGGAUCCGCCUGGUGUAGAGCUUGUUCCAAAUCCGUCGAACUUCCCGAGUUUGCCAUGUGUAGGUGGAGGUAUGCAAGAACCUAUCAUGUGUCCAACACCUUUGCCAGCUAGCUUUGAGAUCUCUUUAAAAGGGCCGAACCUUAGCGGUACUAAGUGACUCAUCCGUCGUAUCAGUCUUGGUGCGGCAAUGGAGAUCAAGGGCCAUAUUGAAGCGAGGAUUUCUAAGUGUCCACUGGAAGACCUUACGUUGCUCAAUGAGGAUUUGUUGAAGUUUGUUUCUGCGAUUGACAACCUUAACGUUGAUUCCUCAUCCUUGAAGAUCAAGAUUGCCGGACUUAUGGCUGCCUCGACUGAGUAUUCUUCCUUGCGUGCUAUUUCUUUGGAGAAGUUGAGUCCAGAUGAUAGAGCUCAUCAACUAGCAACGAUAAACUCGUCACUGGCUCAAGUCCGGUCUUUUCAGGAAGCUGUUUCAGGAAAUUAUCAAGUCACGGAGACUUCUUUAACUUCUGUCCAGGGGCGUCUAGAUGCAUUGGUGCGAGAGCGGGAGCAGUUGGUAAUCGAAGCAUCGCAACUUGAAAGUGUUCUUGCGGAGCAGGGAACUGCACUUUCUCAGUACCAAUAGGAGAUUUCGUGCCUAGAACGAGAGAAAGGCAUGGCUAUGGAGUUGCCCAUCUUGUCUCCCAUCGAGGUAGAGACUUUGAAGACUUUGGAAGGCUCGCUUGAAGAGCGCAUUCGUAGUUUUAAGGACAUAGUUUUCAAGUAGUACCUUAUGUUUUUUUUUUUAUUAUUAUUUUUUUAAUAAUAAGGCUUUGGAGCCGACUCCUUCUUCUAGAGAAAUAAAGCACUUAUGUUCUUGAAUUUGCUCUUCAAUCUUCAAAGUUUUGUAUAUAUAUAUAUUUUUUAGAUGGUGUGACUGUACUUGAAGUUUUGAUGCUUCAAGUUGCCUACGUACCCUUUGUUGAGGAGGGAUCAAGUCAUAACGUAGUUCAAAUGAGUGAUGAAUUGAACAGUGAUUUUGAUGAUGAUUUUACCGUACACAGUUUAUGCUCUUGCGGGCCAGGAGCUUUGGUUCAUGCAGUUUAGGCUCGUGCGAACAAAGAGCAUGAGUUGUCACCUUUAAGGGGUAGUAGCGCUUCAAGAAUCUUCCAUUGAUAGGGCCGAUCUUUAAGCCGUCUUCCGCCAUGAUUAAGUAGGCGCCAUUGGUGUAGACUUCUUGUAUUACGUAUGGUCCAUCCCAUUUUGACGUGAACUUGCUCUUUGUCUUGUGAGUUGUGAUGAUAGGCCUACGCAAUGAAAGGACGAGAUCUCCCAUUUGAAAAGAACGAGGGAAAACUUUCUUGUUGAAGGCCUUGGAGAGUCGUGCUUGAUAACACUCCAAGUGUUGUUGGGCUUUGAGUCUUUUCUCAUCCAGGGCUUCCAGCUCUUGAAGGCGCAACUUUGCAUUCUCUUCGUCAGUCAAGCCUUCUUGUAGAGCCAUCCUUAGCGAGGGGAUUUGACUUUCGAGGGGUAGAACAGAUUCCACGCCAUAUACGAGAGAAUAAGGUGUAGCUUGGGUAGGCGUUCUAUAUGUCGUCCUGUAUGCCCAAAGUGCUUCGCCUAUUCUUUCAUGCCAGUCUUUCUUUGUUCUGCCGAUUACCUUCUUCAGGAGGUUGCACAAUGUCUUGUUAAAUGCUUCUGCAAGACCGUUGGCCGGAGCAUGAUACAUGGAGGAUUUGUGCUGCUUGAACUUGUAUUUCUCGCAGAGCUCGUCCACGAGUCGGUUGGAGAACUGUUUUCCGUUGUCAGUGACAAUGUAGCGAGGCACGCCAUAUCGGUGGAUGAUAUGUUCCUUGAUGAAACGGACGACAGUUUCCUUCUUGACUUCCUUCAGGGGUUUGGCUUCAGCCCACUUGGAGAAGUAAUCUGUUGCAGCCAGGAUGUAAGCUUCUCCUGCAGAUGACUUUGGCGCAAUUGGUCCUACUACGUCUAAUCCCCAUGCAUCAAAUGGCCAUGAAGUAGCUGUAGGGUGUAAUGGUUCAGGCGGUUGAUGUAUGAAGUUGGCGUGAAAUUGGCAGGCUUGGCACCUUUUGGUGUGUUCUAGGCAGUCCUUUACCAUGCUUGGCCAGUAGUAACCCAUUCUUUUGAGCUGGAAAUGAAGCUUCGGUCCGGACUGAUGCGCUCCACAUAUUCCUGAGUGUGCUUCUUCCAUGGCUUGAUUAGCUUCAUCCUCGCCUAAGCAUCUCAGAAGUAAUCCUUCAAAAGAUCGCCGGUAGAGUGUCCCUUUGUAAUAAAGGAAGCGAUGCGCUCGUCGACGUACUUCAGAACGGUAUUUUGGAUCAUUUGGGAGUAUUCCAUGCUCCAAGUAGUUGAUCAGCGGCUGUCUCCAUUCUUCAACGUUGACCGGAAGUAUAGAAAUAACAUUUGUAUCACUUAGUACCAUUUCAGUGACAGGCGGGAUUACCCAUCUUUGGCAAACUGGCACAUUUGUGGCUUCGUCUUCUCCUAACGUUAUGCUCGAGGCUAGGUUGGCGAGAGCAUCUGCCAUUUGAUUCUCUUUUCUUGGCACGUGUUCUAGUGUUACGGCCUCAAAUCUUUGUAGCAAUUGAGUUGCCAGCCGGAAGUAUGGGACGAGAUCAUCUUUCCUAACCUUAUAUUCAGUCAAGAGUUGAUUGAUUAUGAGCUUGGAGUCGCCAUAUAUCUCAAGGGCUAUGAUUUCCAUGUUGAUUGCCAUUUGGAGCCCGAUGAUCAGUGCUUGGUACUCAGCGACGUUGUUGGAGCAUAAUUCGCUUAGUUGGAAUGAAUAAAGUAGUAUUUGCCUUUGUGGCGACAUGAAUACUACUCCUGCCCCCGCUCCGUCUGCUCGUGCAGAUCCGUCGAAGAACAUCGUCCAUGUCGGAAAUAUGUCGAUGUAGAACACCUCUUCGUCAGGCAAGUCGUCUGAGAUUUUCCAAUCGGCUGGGAUUGAAUGGUCGGCAAGGAAGUCUGCUAGUGCUUGUCCCUUGAUGGCUUUAGCUGGGACAUAGAUGAUCUCGUAUUGAUUGAGAAGCAAUGCCCAUUUAGCUAGUCGUCCUGUCAAAACUGGCUUGGACAUGACAUAUUUGACCGGGUCAGCUUUAGCAACCAAGUGGAUGGUGUAAGCAUGCAUGUAAUGUCUGAGCUUUUGGAUGGCAAACAUCAAGGCAAGGCACAUUUUUUCUAUUGGGGAGUAGUUCAACUCAGCGCCGGUGAGCGUUCGACUGAGGUAGUAGAGCACUCCUUCUUUCUGGGAUUCGUUUUCCUAUGCCAAGAGUGCUCCAACUGAACUUUCCUGAGCAGCGAUGUACAAUAUGAGCGGUUUCCCUGGUACAGGUGCCCCCAAGACAGGUGGACUUGAUAAAUACUUCUUUAUGCUUUCAAAAGCAUUGUUGCAUGCUUUGUCCCAUACGAAUGGAACAUCUUUCUUCAUGAGUCGACUGAACGGUUGACAACGCCCUGCAAGGUUGGAGAUGAAGCGUCUGAUGAAGGCUAGCCGUCCUUGUAGACUUUUCAACUCGUGCAGGUUUCUUGGCUCGGGCAUGCUUUGAAUGGCCUUGAUCUUUGAUUGGUCCACUUCAAUGCCACGAUGCUUGACAAUGAAGCCGAGGAACUUUCCAGAUGUGACGCCAAAUGCACAUUUUAACGGGUUCAUCUUGAGGUUGUAUUUUCGCAACCUUUCGAACAUUACUCGCAAAUCCUUCAAGUGAUCUGGUCUUUUCUUUGUCUUGACCACCACAUCGUCUACAUAGCAUUCUACAUUCUUGUGUAGCAUGUCAUUGAAGAUCUUCUACAUUGCACGUUGAUAUGUAGCUCCAGCAUUCUUCAGGCCAAAGGGCAUCACCUUGUAGCAGUAGAUACAUUUUGGAGUGCGGAAGGCUGUUAGUUCCUCAUCUUCAAGAGCCAUACGAAUUUGAUUGUAUCCAGAAGAGCAGUCCGUGAAUGAUAGUGCCUCAUGGCCAGUGGUCACGUCCACCAUGAUUUCAAUGAUUGGCAAUGGGAAGUCAUCCUUUGGGCAAGCAUCAUUGAGGUCUCGGAAGUCUACGCAAACACGUAUUUGUCCAGAUUUCUUAAAAACUAUGACGAUGUUAGAGAUCCACUUAGGGUAUUGCACCUCUCGAAUGAAGCCUGCUUCGAUCAACUUGUCAAUCUCAGCCUCGAUUUGUGGGAUGAGCUCGGAUCGAUAGCGUCUUUGAGUUUGCUUUAUUGGUCGCGUUCCAGGCUUGACUGCAAGAUGAUGCACAGCAAUGAUAGGGUCGAGGCCGGGCAUUUCCUUGUAGGUCCAAGCAAAGACGUCCUUGUACUCUAAUAGCAGCUGGUAAUACUUCUCUAUCUCGUCUGCACUUAGUAAUGCACUUACGAAGAUAGGCUUUGGUUCCUCACUUGUGCCUAAGUUGAGUUCUUUGAGAUCAUCAACUGUGGCUUGCCCUCCAUCUUCGAGUUGUGACGGUGCUGCAAUGACAUCUUCCUCGAGGAUUUCAUCUUCUUCACCUUCUUGGAUUGUGAUGUGGAAGACGUCUUGGGCCUCUUCUUCGGUGUUGACCUCUCGAGCUUGUUGUCAUGAAGAUUGUCCAGUGUGGAUGAUGGUGCGUCUUUUCACUUUCAGUGAUCCAACUGUGUUAACCUCUAAAAUUGCUUGGCGCUUCAUUCUUGAAGGAAUGGAACUUCGAACGUCAUCCUUUUCUACCAGACGAUCGAUCUUUUCUACUUCUAGUGUUGUCUUUCUUCUUUUGGAAGGCUCUUUGGCUUCUCCAAGUCUUUCCAUAACUGACUGUCGUGGAGGAAAGCUAGUCGUAUCGCUUUGCUUCUUAGGUUUCGAUAACCUUUUGAAAACAGAGCUUCGAGAUACUGAUGUGUUAAGCUUUUUGAAUACGGAAGUUCUGUUUUGACCGCCAAUGAGUUUAGGUGCCGAAACUCUGGUCCUUGAACGGUUCAUUCUAUCAAAUACUGACGCCUGAGGGGCAGUACGAGGCUCCUCUUUAUCUUGUAUAAUGCUCACGCUGAUGUGUUGAGCGCUAGCAUUUUUUGCCUUGCUGGAGAUCUUCACCGGUGCAUUUGGUGUGAAGCCAAGUCCAGCUUUGUUGUUGUUGACCCCGUAACCAUGCUCCUCCAACUUCUUCUGAGUUUUAGUAAGAUCACGUUCGUUGUCUUUGAUGGUGUUCAAAUCCUUCUUUCCCAAAUUUGCAGAGGAGGUGAAGUUGUACCCAGCUUUCGACAUGAGUUUGUAGGCGUUUGGAUCAAAACCUUCUUCGGUCCUCUUAGUUGGGAGAAAGCUUGGUUCUACCCCCUUUGGCAGGCCUUUUAUGAAGCCUUGUGAUGGCCUUGCAACCUUAAUGUCGCUUAGCUGUGUCAGAAGGCAAAACUGCAUUUGUUUUGAGCCACUUUACAUUAUCCAUGUGCCGCUAUGUAUCGGCUUUGCUUGCUGCAGUUUCUAACGGGGAUUGACCAUUCUUUCUUCUCGACGUUGGGAUGUAUCGGAAAACGGGUAUGUUUGGUCCAUUUGAAGGCGUCCUAUUCCCUCUGGUUGUUGCAGGUUUAGCAAGCUCAUCGUCGUUUUUGUUUGAAGAUGGCAUAGCUUCUUCUUCUUGCUUCUUGGGCACGGCUUGCCACUCCUGUUUUUUAGGUGUUGCUUUGCCCAUGGAUUUGAUCUCUUUUGGAAGAGUUUCGGGCACCAUGUCUUCAUCCAUGUAGAACUUGGCGUCUGCGAAAUGUGAUUCGGCUUCGGUGAAUGGCUUGGUGUCGCCAUAGAUCACCUUUACUCCUUCUCGGUAAAAUUUUAAGCAUUGGUGAAGGGUGGACGGUACUACUCCAUUUGCAUGGAUCCAAGGCCUUCCUAAGAGCAAACUGUAGGAAGUUCUUGCAUCAAUCACGUGGAAUAUUGUGCUUGACUUAAGUUCACCAAUGGUCAUCUCUACUCGGAUCAUGCCCAUCGCUCUUUGUCCUCCUUGAUUAAAACCUUGGAUUAGUAGACGGCUUAGGGAUAGUUCAUCCACCUUGAUGCCGAUAUGGUCAUUGUUGACUUUGGCAUGAUAUUUAUGGCUGAUCCGCCAUCCACAAGCAUACGGCUGACUUUGUGCUCCCUUACGUAACCAGAGAUGAAGAGAGGUCGGUUGUGAGGCUUGGAUCCUAGCAGCAAGUUUUCGUCGGUGAAGUGGAUUACGUCCUCGGCGGCACAGCAUGUGGCACAUUCAUGUGGUUGAAGCUUCAAGCUUUCGUUCUUGCUUUCUUGUACUUCAUGGUCGUCGGAACUUGCCAAGAUCGCUGCCAGUUCUUUUCGCAUCUUUUUUGGCAACCGGAGCGCUCCCUCGAUGCUAAAGUGUGUUGGCAGACCUUUUUCAGUUGUAGGAGUCUUUUCCCCCUCAUUGGUGAUAGCUUUGCCUUUUGGGGGUUCUUCCAUUUCUACUUCGACCAUGUGACAUGCAGUGAUAGUGCAUUGUUGGAAGAAGUCCUCCGGGAAGUAUUCGUCCAAGGAGACAGGAAUCGUGGCUCUUGUUCCAUAGGUUCCCCAGCAUAUGUUGACUUAGCAGCUCUUAUACUUCUUUUAGGCUUCCUAUUGUUGCGACGACGAUGCUUUCUCGCUUGCUCCCCUUUUGGCUUUAUAGCUUGUGGUCUUGGCUUCCUCGUCUUCUUAUAGGUCACCAAUGUCCACCCUUCUUCAUCAUCGAUAGGUGCAUCCUGGUCGUUUGCCCCCAAUGAUGGUUGUGCAGAAGGUGCCGUGUAGAUUGUGCAUUGAUAGGAAUGGUCGGGUAUUUCUUGAAGAGGCACAAGAUCAAAGGACCCGAACACGAUCGUAGUGGUAUGCGUUGCGGCUGUGUCUUCUAGGUCGAGCUCAAUCCACCCUUGCUGUGCCAACUUCAUGAUGAGUUCUUUUAGGAUGAAACAUUUGCCCACAUGAUGACCCACGAUACGAUGGUACUUGCAGUACUUGGGAUCGUUGGUACGAUUUAUCUCUUCAGGGCGUUUGCAUUCAGGCAACUCAAUCACCUUCUUCUCCAGCAAGUCGUCCAGCAUUGCAUCCAUGUCGGAGUCCGGAAAAGGGUAUACCUUCUGCUCCAGUUCCCUUAAAGUGUUUUUGUACCUAUCUUGGGUGUGAGAAGGCUCACUUCUUUUUAUCUCCUUUGCUUUGUUAUUGAAGGAGAUUUUGACGGGUGCGGACGAGGUCUUGAUAGGGAUGGUUUUGGUGGUAAAAGCUUCCUUGGCGGGCUUUUUCCCAUGAUUGUCUGCUCUUGAAGUAAAUACCUUAUCCCUUUUGAAAUCGGUGAUUGGCUCCUUCUUUCCAUGGUGGGCGAUGCUCAGUUCCAUGUCGUGAGCACGGGUGGCUAAUUCUUCAAAAGUCCGUGGCUUGAUACCUUGAAGGAUGUAUUGUAAACCCCAUUGCAUGCCCUGGAUGCACAUCUCGAUUGAAGAAAUCUCGGAGAGUCUGUCCUUACAGUCGAGGCUUAGAUUAUGCCAUUGGCUGAUGUAGUCCAUGACUGGUUCUUCCCUCCAUUGUUUCGUGCUCGUCAGCUCCAGCAUGCUCACAGUGCGGCGGGUACUGUAGAAGCGGUUGAGGAAUUCCCUUUCCAACUGUUCCCAGCUGUUGAUGGACUCGGGCUCCAGGUCUGUGUACCACUCAAAGGCGUUUCCUUUUAAUGAGCGCACAAACUGCUUGGCGAGGUAAUCUCAUUCCGUCCCUGCAUUGUUGCAGGUUUCGAUGAAAUGUGCGACAUGUUGCUUUGGGUUUCCAUUUCCGUCAAAUUGCAUAAACUUCGGCGGUUGAUAGCCCUUCGGCAUCCUUAAGGCGUCGAUCUUCCUGGAGUAAGGCUUCGAGUACAACGUGGAGGCAUGAGAGCUUCCUUUAUACUGUGCCUUAAUGGUGUUAGUGAUCAUCUCUUGUAGCUGCUGGAUAGAAAGAGAUCCCAUGAGUGCCGCUGCUUGGUCUGGCUCCGGCUUCACAUCUAUUUUCUUCACCGGGGGCUUGUCUUCUUCGUCGUCUUCCUUCUUCAGAUGAUCAAUCUUCGGGUUGGGUUUCUCGCCAUCCUGCGCUCGGUUGACGAGUGCUGCAAUUUGUAAGUCUUUUUCUUCCACAGUUCGGGUGAACCUUGCAAUUGCUUCAUUCAUCUGAGUCAGCUGCUCAUCAAUUGAAGUUACUCCGGCAGCCAUAACUUGCAUGGAUGUGCUGUCGCUUGAGUCAGCAUCGGAAAACAAAGACUCGGAGUACUUCUUCGGGCUUUCCUCCCUUGGUUCCCUUAGCGAGGCUAGGGUGAUCACAGGUUCGUACCUCGGGUACUCUUGCUCCUUUGGCAAGAUUGAUGUAGGGGUGGAAGAUGAGGCAACAAGAGCUCUUGCCUUGCUUCGAGUUACGAUGCCUGAAAUGGCACCGCCUGCGGCAAUGAUGCUCUUGUUCUUCGUGUUGGUUGUGGGAACAGCUUGAGCCUUCCUUGAUGCCAUUGAUUUUGGAAGUGUGCUCGAAUUUCUUGAACGGAAAAAGAGAUGAGAGGUAGAGAUGGUCCCACUGGGGGUGCCAAUUUGUGAACACGGAAAAUUCAUGAAACGAAAGAGACAAGAACAACGUGCACAAACAAAUAUUUGUAUUUUUGAUGAUUUUGGGUUACAAUCUCUCUUAAAUUUGAUCCUCUGAUUCAAUCUCCGUAAGGUGUGUAUUUGUGGAUGUGCGAUUGAUCCAAAUGGCCAUUGGGCUUGAUCUAAGGAUGAACGUUCUUCAAGGGCCGUGGACUUGAUCUUGAAGGUGGAUUUGAGCGGAUCUUCAAAGGGGCUUUUGGGCUUGAUCUUUGAAGAACAGUGAUGAACGGAUCUCCAAGGGCUUUUGGACUUGAUCUUGAAGAACGGUUGGACGUGUGGAUUUGUUGAUGUUGUUGAUCCAAGGGGCCGUCGGGGCUUGAUCUUAGAAGAACGAUGAACGAAGAACGAAGAACAAUUUCUUCAAGGGCCGUCGGGGCUUGAUCUUGAAGGUGGAUGAUUGUUGAUCCAAGGGCCGUCGGGGCUUGAUCUUGGAAGAAUGAUGAACGAAGAACGAAGAACGAAGAACACUUUCUUCAAGGGCCGUCGGGGCUUGAUCUUGAAGGUGGAUUUGAUGAAGAACGAAAAGGGCUUUCUGGAUUUGACGAAAAACGAAGAGGGCUUUCUUGAUCCUUCGGGAUUUGCUUGAGAGCUUCGGAGUUUCAGAGCUUCAGAGCUUCAAGGUGUAAUAUGAAUUCCUCCCCCCAAAUGAGUGAAUUAGCCUUCUAUUUAUAGAAAUUUCCAAGGCCUAAUUUUGAAUAUAAUAUUCCAGAUGAAAUAAGUCGUUUCUGCCAGGUGUUGACACGUGUCCUGUUGGAUGACUUUUCCAAUUUAUUUCGAUUUUUUGUUUAGACACACGCUACGUGUAAAAUUUAUGUAAUACAUGAGCGUUGAAACUUUGAUUUAUCGGUCAACAUUUAUUUACCGAAAUUUCGAUGUCUACAACAACUACUAAGAAUAAUAUGGAAGAAUUACUAAGAAAAGAUAUGAACAAGGAAAUGAUACCAAUACCUAAAAGACUUGCGAAUACAUAUGCCAAAAUGCCCUGACACCGGGAUCAUGUGCCUCGAUCCUAACUCUUGAGGGGGCGUAAAACAAAAAAGCUGAGUGGACCAAAGUUUAUAAUAAUAAUACUAAUAGUAGGAAAAAAAUUUAUUUUUGAAUAUAAUAACCCCCUGUUUUGAAAACACAUAUAUAAUACUACGUAGUAGGUUUUAUAAAAUCCCUAGCAUGCCAUGUAAAACAUUCGUAAAACAUGUAUGUAAAACCAAUGUUGUGAAAUGGUAAUAACACCCGAAGGAAAAUCCGUAAAUCUCAUUAGUGAGGUACUCAACUAGGGAUAUCAUACUCGCCCAAAGGCAAUACUUAUCCAUCACCCAAAGGUGAAGCUAAAUAACCUGUUCAUCACCCGAAGGUGAAGUUGUAUAACUUGUCCAUCACCCGAAGGUGAAGUUGCAUAAAAUAGCAAACAUCCACACCGACACUAGCCGUGGCUAGUGAAGUUGUUCGACACUGCUUUCGGUAGUGAAGCUAGGGGUAUAUAAUAUAUCAUAUCAAACUCCUUCAUCCUCUGUGUCCUAUGGCCAUAGACAUCUAUACUUGUGCUGUGCGAAUGUACCGUAUAAUAACCACUAGGUAAAUCGUGGUGUGCCAAAAACAUAUCUUCAAAACUCGUAUCAAAAUCCGAAGCUUGCUAGGUCAAACCUCAUCUCAUAAAUCCAAGAUAAAUCGUAUUCAAGAAAUCCAUAAAAUAAUUCAUGCUCGUAAAACCGUAAUAUAAAUCAUGUUCGAAAAUCAUAGAAAUCCAUAUAUGCAAAUCCAAUAAUUCAAUACCUUUAAUCAAACGUAAUUUUGAUAAAUCAAACUAUUUCGUAAACCAUAAUUAUAAAAGUCUAUAAAGCAUAUUAUAAAUCAUAUUCAAAUCAUGAAAUAUGGAAUGCAUGCUAGGCUAAUAUUUUAUAAAAUCAAGUAAGUUAAGAUGGGGUCCACUCACUGAUUUUUUUGCUCGAGAACCGCUCGAACUAGCAAGGAUGACGUCGCUUCCUGCCAACGAGCCUAAACACAAUUAGGGACCAAUUAGUAAAACUAUACUAAAACGUUAGAAUUUAAAAUGGACAGCGAAUUUGGAUCCGGCACGUCGAAAAACCUAAGGAGGGACCUCGGGUUUUCCCCACACAUCGCCGUACUAGCGGCCAUGAGGCGACGGCUCGGAAGGCCACGCGCUGCCGUAUGAGCCACUACACGUGGCAGUCAGCCGCCUUGACUCGUCGAAAAAUUCAACAAUUCUAAAAAAUCCCAAAUUUUACAGGAAUGAAGAUCUCAAUGAAAGGAACAACUUUCAUACCUGAGUCGAGGUCCAAUUCGAUCAGGAAACACCUCAAAUCGCCCUCGAUCCUGCCAGAACCCUAGAAAUGGGUUCAAGGUGAGUGGUUUGAUGGUGGUGGUGGUCGACCUAGCUUUCACGAUCGGUGGAUCUCUACCGUGGCACCCCUGGAACCUAUGGGUUCCAUUCUUCAAGAAUUGAAAGUUAAAUCUAGUGAAAUUUGGUUGGAAAUGGAAGAAGAGAAGAUGAUGGUUAGUUUGCAGGUGGUGGCGAGGUUUGGGUAGCCGGAAACACGUCAGAAAGGUCACGCUACAGAUCGGGUCCGUGGGAAGGAACCGACUAAAGGGUGAUCCGGUGCUCCUCCACUCUCUCAUUUCCCCUCAUUUCUCUCCUCUCUGAUUGGUCACUCUCUCUCUCUCUCUCUUUCUCUUCUUUCUCAUUGGGCAUCCACCCUUAUUUCUCUUUUCUUUCCUCCGUCAAUCUCUCUCUUUUAUAUUCUUUCUUUUCCAUCACAACCAUACACAUGGCACAGAUUGAUGGCUCCAACAAAAUCUAGAGCCUUCCAAAUUUAUGGCCAAUUGACCAUUUUGCCCUCGACUUGGUUCGUUAAUAACUCUUUCGUUAUAACUUCAAUUUACGUUCCGUUUGCGCCCAUGUGUUCGUAGCGAUGAGUACUAUGAGUAUAAGCCAAGAAAACAGAUCUUACAUGACACAACAAAGCGGUCAACAAAAGUCAACGUAUUUGUCUCGAAGGGUAUUUUCAUAAUUUCACAUUUUAAAAUACUUCAUUACGAUCAGGUUUGCACCAAAUAUUCCGUUAGCUAAAAAUACUUCAUACCAUUUCCUAUAGUCUAUUUCCAAGUCUUCCUAACUUUUCCUCCACCCAUUUUGCCUUGAGCCUUCCUUUCAUAGUCGUCUCUUCUACCAUAGCAUUUUCAGAUAUUCGACUCAUGUACCCAAACCACCUUAACCUAUUUUCUUUUAUCUUAUCUUCAAUGGAGACCACUCUUACUUUACCUCGAAUGUCUUCGUUGUUAAUCCAAUCGUUUUGACAUCCAGACCCCAAUAACACAAGGUACGAGGCCAAGAUAUCAUGGCCGUCACUAAAUUGACCAUAUGGCCCCAUUCAGGGAUGACUUGACAAGCCAACUUAAUAACAAAGUCAUAGUAAGAUAAUUACGAUGUGAGUGAAUUUGAAUCAAAGCAUUCAUUAAUAAUAAAUCAAAAGUUGCUACAAAGUUUCGUACUCAUCCUCCCCACUUGGGAACAUAUAUCCAGGGUUUAGAUCCCAUUAUUAUCACAUCACAUCAGAGCAGCUAGAAGUUUCAUACAACAGUAAACACAUAAAAGUGUAGUGCUAUGCAUAAUCAAGAGUGCGAUCAUGCAAAUAUUACUGACAAAAUAAAUAUGUAGUAGAGGAAUCAUCACCCAAAAUCCAAGGGAUGAAACCUCACUGCCAAGCCCACUUGCCACCAUCGAGGUUCUCCUGAUUCUCGCUAUGUCCUGAGGGGUUGAUAAACAAAGCAUGAGUGGAUCAAGUUUUAUCUCGUAAAAAAUCAAUCAAAUAACCUCCGUUUUGAAAUCACCUAUUGUAGAAUUAUCAAAGAGAUGGGCUUAGGGCCCACAUUCAACAAUAUCGAUAUAGCCCGAACUUGGUAAUUACUACCCGCACAAUCUGUCAGGUGUGAGGUUUUAUCACAAAAGGUCUCGGUGUUAGAUGAAGUGGGGAUAUGAUAUUUAAACUUUUCUGUACUUAUAGAUAUCGCUGCUGUGGGAUAUUUCAACACCUAUACAUACAUACAUACAUACAUACAUACAUACAUACAUAUAUAUAUAUAUAUAUAUAUAUUAAAAAUUACAUACAGAAUAAUAGUACCAUAACAGUGGUCACAAUCAAUUCAUCUCGCACAUCAUAUCAUGGAAAGUAAGUCAUUCAUAAAAUCAAAGUAAUAGAAUAUGAUUUUAUCAAUAUCGUAGAUGGUUCUUAUAAUCAUGUAUACGCACGUCGGUGCAACUUCGAUUCCAAUUAUCUAUCUCUUUUAACAACUAAAUAUAUUUAUUUCAUAAAUGCUAUAAUUUGUAUAUAUAAAAAAAUGAUUUGAUCAUAUUAAUUCUGCACAGUCCCCUCAAGUUGGACAGUAAAUGCCAUAAAUCAGGCUUUUUAAUCAAAAUGGAGGAAUUUUAACUAAAAAUUUAUUAUUCCUAAUUUCCUAAAGCCCUUGGGAAGAUAUCUGCCAAUUGUACCCGAGAAGAAAUGUAGGAAGGAGGAAUUUAUAAAGGCAAGGGAUACCUGCUCUUCACUGCAAAAAAACGACACUUAAAGGACAAUUUUCCCGAGUUUUUCACCGCCGUUUUUACCGUUUGCUGCAUAAAAAAAAAAAAUACUCUCCCCUUGCAAGCUCCGUCGUCAAUUCCCUUUGCGAACUUUGAGUCCCUCUGAAAAAAUGAUUAACUUUGUGUUUGGUUAUAUCUAACGAUCCCUAAUUCCAAAUUUAUGGUUUAGAUAUAUAAAAAAGAUAUCUCGGGUACUUCGUUGCUAUCCAUUAAGCUCCCCAAUUUCAAGCAAAGCAAAAAAUUCUAAUUGAGUUGAGUUUUGAACAUGCAGAUUAGUUAGACAACUGAAUUACCAAUCUUUAUUAUUAUUGCAACAAACACACGGAUUACACUAAAAGCUAGUGAAUCAUACACUUGCAGAUGACUUAUCCAAACACAAAGAUAAGACAUGAGUUUAUUAUUAUUGCUAUAAACACACGGAUUACAGCGAAAUUCAAAAACUAAAAACAAGGAAAAAAGUAGUGAUGAAAACCAAUGCCACUUUCGCGGGGAACACGAUUGCAUUCGCACAUGCAACAAGCCUUUUAAACCCAUAGGUGACCCAAAUGGGACGAGUGAAGUCUCGUGAGGGUUUCCAGAGACGUUUCCCACAAACAUCAUGCAUACUGAUCAUCAACAUCUGACUUGGGAGACUGAGUAGAUAUCCACCCCUCCAGCAUCAGGUGUUUUUUGGUUGAGGCGUAAUUCGAAUCUGUUUUCAAUGAAUGGCCUGGUUAAGAGGUCGCUUUGCAAGUGACGUAAUCGGCAACGCGUGAUUAGGUUGUUGCUGUCAGGUGGUCCGACAUGCUCGACCUUGAAUAAUGUGCAAGCCCAAUUGUCUUUGGUUUCGUUUCGGUCAGCAGCUGCGGCCAGGACCAAUAGCCUGUUUUGGUCCACCCUUCUCAAGUAGUUGCCGUUGUAGGAGCAUUUGAUAUGCACGUAAUUCUUGUCAGCAUAGUCCUCAUUAUUUGGCUUCUCGGUGGUGAACUUUAUGAACCUACUAUUUUCAUUGUCCUCAGAAAACUGGACAAUCUCAUGAAGGUCACUUUCUGAAUCAAGUUGAUAGCGCAAAUACUUGUUGUUGAUAUCUGCUUUCAGCAGAAAAGGGCUUGGUAGUACAGGUGGAGCCAUAUCGUAUAGUGUAGUUGGGAUUGGGAUGGUCUCUCUUUUUUGUUGUCUGUUGAUGAUCUAAUUUGCUUGCUGUGAAUGUGAUGCUUAGUUCAAACCUGCUAUCCUAUUUAUAAGAAAAUAAGAACAAGCUAGUUCAAGUUAUGGUCUUUAAUUAAUAUUAAUUCCGACAAAUCAGUUUCCCAUCUCUUUCAUUGAUAUGAACAUGGCUGAUCUCAUUGGUAUGGCGCAAUAUUAUUUGUUAAAUUUGCUGUUCGGGUUGAUUUCUUUGUGUAACUCUUCUGCCAAUUCUGCAACUUGUAGACUUAAUUCCCAUUACAAAAUUAAAAAAAAAUAAAAUCCAAAACUAAUGUAAGAUAAAUAAAGACUUUUUAUAUCAUAAAAUAAGACUUUCUAACUUGUUUACAAGACUAUAGUGACAAGAUCAAACACAUUGAUGGGUGAGCAUUUUCCAUCAACAUCUGUUCUGUGCGUUUAAACUGAGCGUGGAGUCUUUUUUAGCAAUUAAAAGUUUUAUAUCAUGUAAUUGACUUGGUUUGAUAAGACCUACAUCUAGAUGACUUGGUUCUGAAGACUAAUGUAAAACCUUAUGUUGAUAUUUCUUGAGGGUGAAACAUCAUUUGAGAAUCGUUUUGGGUCUCAUUACAAUUUUUUUCAUUUAUUUUUUAAGUUUCGGCUUAAAUAUUCUACAAAAUACAUUUGUGGAUUUAAUAACAGGUAAAACCACUUUCAAAUACUUGUGAAGUUUUUCUUGACGUCACGGAAAUUUUUUUACGAAAUUGAAACACAUUUGCAUUUUUCACAAAAAAUGGGGUUUGUCAGUUUUGUAAAUUUGUAUAAAAAUCUUCAUUAAGUCCAUUUGUUUUCACAUUCACCUUACCAUGAGGCACUUAAAUUAAAUUUAUAACUUUCCAUCGAUACUUGAGUAUAGACCCUUGUUAAGGCAAAGAAUUGGACUUCACAACAAUUGUUUUAUUUUUUUUAUUUUUUAGGUUUUGGCUGAAAUAUUCUAUUAAAACUAAAUUUGUGGCUCAAUAAUUGGUCAAACUCCUUCCAAAUGCUUUAUAAAUAUAUUGACCUAAUGCUAACGAAAAAUAUUUUGUGAAGAUUAAGGAUUUGGAUUUCUCACAAAAAAUGUGGUUGCUCGCUAUUUUUCCUUAGUUUUGCAAAUUUGUACACAAAUCAUCAUUCAAUCUAUUAGUUUUCAUCUUUGCCUCAGUGUGAUAGUGUGAUGUUUCUAAAAUUAAUGUAAGAGUUUUUGUUCAUAGUCUUGAGUAUAUACUCCGUUUAGGCAAUGUUGGACCUCACCACUGUUUUUUUUUAUAUUAUUUUUUGGGUUUGGAUUAAAGUAUUCUAUUAGAAAUACAUUUAUGGCUCAAUAAUUGGUAGACCACUUUCAGAUGCCCUAUAAAGAUUUUCUUAAUGCUCUUGAAAAAUAGAAAAUUUGUAUUUUUCACACACAAAAACAUGGGCUAACACUAACGAUUUUUAGGUGAUUUUGCAAAUUCGUACAAAAAUAUUUGAUACGACCAAUAUUGCAUACAUUUUAACGCCCUUUAGUUUCGAUUCUUGUUAUGUUUUUGGGUGAAUUUAGUUUGUUUCACUUAGUUUUAUGUUUUUCUUAGAUUUGAAGAGUGAAGAUGAAGAAAGAAGAAAAAUGAGUACUUUUGCGAUUAAAAUGAGUUGGCAUGCUGGAAGCAGAAGCUAUUUGUGCAGAUCAGUCAACUUUACGGAUUAAACUGUACUUCCUCAGAAGGAACCAGCUGUUGAGCCUUAUACCAUUGGAAAGAUAUGGAUGUUAGCUUUCAGAGGAAUUCUACGGACUGUGAUUUCGAGUUUUCUAGACGAUGUUAUGAAGGUUUUCAUACAAGACGUCGGUCAGCCGAGUCCAUGCGGAAAUUGCAAAGUCUGUUGGGUUUUUCGAGUCAUAAUUCAGUCGAAGUCCAAAGCCCAAGAUAGAACGUGCUGAGCUGACUUUAAUCCUAUUUCGAAUGGGUUUGAAGUAAUUAUUUGGGAAGUUUACUUGCCACAUCAUUCAGUUAUGCAAUACAAAGGAUAUCACAAGACCUAAUUAUGUUAGGACUUGUCUACCAUAUAAAGGGGGUUUUUGGGAACGUGCUUUAGGGGGGUCGCAAGAAGGAGCAAAAAGAAGAGCAGCAGCCGCUUUCCAUCUUUCCUAAGUUUUUCAUGUUCUUAAUAUUUUUAAUUAUGUUUUCUUAUUUUAUGAGUAACUAAACUCUUUUUCUAGGGUUAGGAUGAUGCCCUAGCAUGGAUGCAUAUGGUUUUUAAUGUUAUUCAUUGGAUUUCUAGAUUCUUUCAGAUGAAUGUUUAAUCACUGUUUGAAUUGUUACUCUUUGUAUGAGUUCUUUGAUUGAUCACCUUAGGACUUUGCAUCUAGUAAGAUUGGAAGAUGAAUUUGAGGCUGAACUAGCAAUAUAAUUCAAUUAGCUUCUUGUGGUUAACUGUGGUAAAUUACAUUAUUGCUUGACAAAGAAUAAUGGUUUGCUUGGUUCCCUUCUUUUCUAGACUGUAAAGAGUCCUACUUGUUAAAUUUAUACCUUAACCAGGAUCGACUGCAUGUUAGGAUAUACGACCUCUACCUGAACUAGGAGAGAAUCAUUCACUUAAGGAAAACUAUGGUCUAAUGUGCCUGACAAGGACUUAGAUAUGGGAAUUAUCAUCUAAACAAUCGAAAGAUCCAUUGAAUGCAUUGCAACCUAAACUAGAUUGCUUGUGGUUGAUUCCGAAUCCCUAGAUUUUCAUCACUUGCCUUACAACACAACGUUUUUUUUUCUUUAAUUUCAGUUUUUACUUAAGGUUCUGUUUUUGUUCGUUUAUAAAAUCAUCACAACAAAUUCUUCACAUCCUUGAUUGAUUUAUUAAUUAAGAUCGAGUCUAGUUCGUUGUUUGGGGUUGUGUGUCAUUAAUAUUAUUAGAUUUGGUUUGGUUUAUCAAAUUGGAGAUUUAAUUAGAAUCCUCGUGAGAACGAUACUUGGACUUGCAACACGCUAUAUUACGACUAUCUUGUGCGCUUGCAAGUUUUACACCAAUAGUAUCAAAUCUUAAGCCUUUAUAAUUCUUGUUCUAAAUGGACUGUCUGUCAAUCGUACAAGAUUAUAAUCACAUGAUAAACACACUGAUGAGUGUGUAAUUUCCUGCAAUAUCUUCAAAGUGCGAUUAAAAUGAGCGACUGUCGACUUUCAUAAAGUAGUGUGGGUAUCGGUCUUUUAAUAUUGCAAGCUUUUAUAACUCUUGUGCUCACAAUUUGUACAAGUAUAUAAAUGGAUUAACAGACUAACAGUUUGGGUAUAAAUGAAGACUAAAUGAGGGACUUGAUUGUCAACUUGCACAGUACAUAGGUGUGAAGUCUUUAGUUAUAAUUAUAGACUUAAUGUCUAGUUCAUUAAGGUAUUGGUCUCUAAAAGAACUGGAUGUAGAGAACGAAAGUGCAAUCAAAUGAGAAAUAUAUUAGUCUUUCAAAAGCACAUGGCUGCAGAUGUGGAGUCGUCUUUUAUUUAUUUAUUUAUUUGAACAAACAAUUGUAUCUACACUAAGGGGUAGAAGAGUGGGCUAAAUCUUAGAAUGGGCUUACAACAAUAAUGUGGUUCAACUCCACCUUUGACGAUAAUUGAAUCUAAAACUUUUCACUUACAAAUGAAGAGAUAUACCACCAGACCGUAGUACUAAGUAACAUGACAGCAUACGGCUAGAGGCGUGGAGUCUUUGUUAGCAAUUAAAAGUUUUGUAACAAGUAAUUGACUUGGUGUCAUAAGGCCUACAUCUAGAUGACUCGGUUUUUAAAACUAAUGUAAGAGUUUCUGUUGAUAUUUCUUGAGGGUGAAACACCGUUUGAGAAACGUUUUGGGCCUCAUUACAUUUUUUCACUUAUUUUUUAGGUUUCGGCUUAAAUAUUCUACUAUAAAUACAUAUGUGGCUCAACUAUUGGUAAAACCACUUCCAAAUGUCUUGUAAAGAUUUUCUUAAUGUCACGAAAAUAUUUUACGAGAGUUAACACUCAUUGUAUUUUAUUGGUUUUGCAAAUUCUUAUGAAAUCAUCAUUUAGUCCAUUUGUUUUCACAUUCGCCUUAUUGUGAGGUACUUAAAAUUAAUGAAUAACUUUCCCACAUUAAGGCAAGGAUUUGGGCCUCACUACAAUGUUUUUUUUUUCAUUUACAAUUUUUAGGUUUCGAGUUAAAUAUACCAUUAAAACUAAAUCUGUGGCUCAAUAAAUUGUAGAAACUUUUCCAAAUGCAUUACAAAUAUUCUCUUAAUGCUAACAGAAAAUAUUUUGGGAAGAUAAAAGAUCUGCAUUUCUCACAAAAACGUGAUUGCUCACUGUUUUUAGUCGGUUUUGCAAAUUCAUAUAAAAAUCUUCAUUAAAUCUAUUAGUUUUCACCUUUGCCUCACAAUGAUGUUUCUAAAAUUAGUGUAAGACUUUUUUAUGAUACUCUUGAAUAUAGACCCCGUUUAGGCAAUGUUCGGCCUCACUGCUAUUUUUUUACUUAUUUUUUGGGUUUUGGUUUUAAUAUUCUAUUAGAAAUAAUUUGUGACUCAAAAAUUAGUAGAACCAGUUUGAGAUGCCCUAUAAAGAUUUUUUUAAUGCGCACAAAAAAAUAGAAAAUUUGCAAACAUAAAAAACAUUGGUCAUGAUUUUAGGCGAUUUUGCAAAUUCGUACAAGAAUCAUUAUUAAAUAUAUUUUUUUCAACCUUAUCCUCACCAGGAUGCUUUUAAAAUUAGUGUAAUAAUUUCGGUUAAUAUUUCUUGAGAUGAAACCCCAUUUUAGCAAUUUUUUAUGCCCAACUAAUAUGUUUUCAGUUAAUUUUAGGUUUCAACUUAAAUAAUUUAUUAGAAAUGCAUUUGUGGCUCUAUAAUUGGUAGAACAACUUUAAAAUGUCUUAUAAAUAUUUAAUUAAUGUUCAGUAAAAUAUUUUGGGAAAAUAUAAAAUUGCAUUUUAGACAAAAAAAAAAAAGCCACGAUUUUAUACGGUUUUGAAAAUUUGAACAUCGAUAUUUUUACAUUAAGGGGAGGGUGAGUUUGGCUAAGCCACACAAAUGGCAACCCAAUUUGGUAUCAAAUUCGCCAUCCACGAGAUUCGAACCUAAGACCUCCCACUUUCAAGUGGAGAGGAAUACCACCAAACCGUAGUACUGAGUGGCAAAAAAUCAUCAUUAAAUCCACUUGUUUUCACCUUCACCUUUCCAUGAUGUUUUAAAACUAAUGUAAGGCUUUACGUUAAUAUUCUUGAGUACAAGCCCCAAUUUAUGCAAUGUUUUGGGCCUUACUACAACAGCAACACACAACAACAACCAAGCCUUAUGCCAUUAAGUGGGGUCUAAUGUACACCACAAUGAUCGUGUUUGCACCAAAUCUUUCGCCAGCUAGAAAUACUUCAUAUAAUUUCCUAGUCUUUUUCCAAGUCUUCCUAACUUUUCCUCCACCCCUUUUGCCGUGAGCCUCUAUCUCAUAGUCGCCUAUUCUACCAUAGCAUUUGUAGAUAUUCGGUUCAUGUACCCAAACCAUCUCAACCAAUUUUCUUUCAUCUUAUCUUCAAUGGAGACCCCUCCCACUUUACCUGUCAAGCCCCGAUCCCGAAAUUCGUCCAGGAUUGACGUGUGACGUCACCCAUUACAUGUAUUUAUAACAUACCCCGCCUCCGAGAUAUGUACAAGGCACAACUCACAGUCCAACUGCGUAAUAAUUUUUCGUACACUUUAUGGCUGCAUCUAACCUCCACGUUAGACUGCCUACAUACCUUAAACAAGGAUCAAGCCAUUCAUAGUUCGUCUUUCACUACACUUAAACAAUCAUCACGUAAAUCACUAUGUCUCAACAUAAUACCACAAUUCAGAUAUGCAACAUCUCAAGGAACAUUCGACAAAGCACAAUAAUAUUCUCUAGUCAUCUUGCCAUUCACACACACAUAUGCUUCCAAACACCAUUCAAUAAUCACAACAAUCAACAACACAUACAAUACAUCGAAAUGCAGGGUUAGAGCCAUAUAGUUUGGCUGAAGCCUACAUCUCUGAAGCUGAAAUCAAAUCCAAGUAACAAACAAGUCAAAUGAUGCAAUUUCGGACCACUUAACGAAAUCCAUCAACAUCGGGUUCAGAACCACUCUACGAAAUCGCAUAGUAGAAGGGAUUUUGAAACUCUCAACGAAAUAAUAGUGGAUACGAUCCCGGACCAUCAUUUAAUGGAAUCAUGGAUUAUAAGGGAUUUCAGACCAUCACUUAAUGGAAUUGAAGUGGAUAUGAUUCUGAGCCAUCAUACAAUGGAAUUGCGGAUUAGAAGGGAUUUCGAACCAUCACUCAACGGAAUCCAAGUGGAUACGAUUCCAGACCAUCACUCAAAGGAAUCACGGGUUAGAAGGGAUUCUGGACCAUCACUCAAUGGAACCCCAGUGGAAACCCAGUUCCGGAUUACUUAAUGGAACCGAGUGGAAGUCCAAGGAAUAUAGCAAUGGCUUGAAGAAACAGUACAAGAACCAAGUACUCAAUUUGGAAGGGCUGAACAAAACAAAGGUGAAAUAAGGAAACAAGAUGGGAAACAAGUUCGGUGUCGAUCCAACGGUCGGAUCGUCAAUUCAUAUAAUAACCAAGUGGCGGCCGACUAGGCGGUCAACUAUGACACUAUAUUAAAAUAUCGAGAUUUCACUAAAGGAUGUCAUCUACGGAAUCUUCACUAACGGAUGUCAUCUACGGAAUCAGUGUAUCAAAUUUAGCCUAGGAUGGUCAGGUGGGGUCUCGGCCCAUGCGUCGAUGCACGUGGUGGCUAGCCGCGCCCGACCCGUCGAAAAAUUCAACUAUUUCAAAAAAAAUACCAAAUAUUAUAGGCAGGUAGAUCUCAAUGAGGGGAGUAAUUUUCAUAACUGAGCUGAAGUCCAAUUCGGAUGGAAAGUGCUCGGAAUUUCCCUUGAUCCACCGAAACACUAGAAUUUAGGUGUCCUCGAUUCCUCCUCCACUGCUUAGGAUUUUUUCCUAAGGUUGUGGGGAGCCUUAUGGUGGUGGUGGUUGACGGAGUUACCUUUAGAUUUGAUAGAUCGCCACCACGAACCUUGUCACACCCAUUGUGCGGGUUUAACAAUUUUAAGGCCAAAUUCCAUUUAUUUUAGGGUGGAAUGGGUAGAGGGGAGGCCAUGGAGUGUUUCCCCAGGAGGUUGUUUGACGUGGUUCGCCCAAAAAACUGACGAAAAAUUGUUAGAAAUGGCUACCCGAACUGGGUUGGGUCACGCAGGAAAAUGGGUCAAAGAGGGGAUCCGAUUCCCCCAUUCUCUCCUCCCUCCUUUCCCCUUCUUGCUCUCUUCCCCCAUUGGUCACUCCCCCUCCUUUUCUCUCCUGCAACCUUAACUUCCUCUCGCUCUUGCUGUCAUUUGGCAGCUUCUAAUUUUUUUUAUUUUUUUCAGAAACUUCUAACGUCUCCUUUCUCGUCCCGAUUGACGAACAGCCUUCGCCUAUGCGCUCGUGGGGUCGAGCUCAAUUAGAAAACAUUAAGUGUGACCUCCAAAGGUCUACGGAUUUUAAAUGAUUAUUUUCAAAAAUUCAAACUUUGUAAUUAAGUAAUUAAAAUAUAAAAUUAAUUUAAAUUCACGAAAAUACUAUAAAAUCCUGCGAAUACGAAAUACGUAAAUUACAAUAGUGAAAUCCAGGAGGGGAAUUUCACAUUACCUCGGAUGCCCUCGUUGUUAAUCCAAUUAUUAUCACAUCACAUUAGAGCUAUCAUGCCCCAAUCCCGACAUACGUCCAAGAUCGAUACGUGACGUCCCUAAAUGCCCGUAACUCAACAUACCCCGCCUUUUGGAUAUGUACAAAAUAUAAUUCAAGAUCCAAAUGCAUAAUAAUUUUGCGUACUUUAUGGCUGCAUCUAACAUCUUCGUUAGACUGCCUACGUACCCUCAAUAGGAAUCAAGCCAUUCGUAGUUCCACAAUCGUCAACUCUAAUCUUUUCAUAAAAUACUUCUAACAUAAAAUUAUAAGGCACCAUAUUACACAUCAACCUUACGUCAACAACAAUUAUCAUCUUUCAUACACGCAUGUAAUGUAACCCAUUCUCACACAGAUACUUUCCAAUUCAUCCAUCAUAUAGAUCACUCUGUUUCACAUAAUACCGCAAAUCAUAGUAUGUAACAUAUCAAAGAACCAACAAAGCACAAUGUUAUUCUCAAGUCACAUUAAUCAAUUACUCUAAUCAUAAUAAUCUCAAUCAUACCCAACAUUAUUCCACAAUCACAUCAAUUAAUUAAUCAUGAAUCAAAGAUACAUGAUCUUAUCAUUUAAUUGUUUAAUCAAUGAAUGCAGUAACAUAUCAUUUCACAAAUUUAACCAAGGAACUCUAUCAACUCCGAAUGAGUCACCCAUACAUCCAACGGUUCGUCUGGAACAAAUCACAACAACUCAUAAUCAUAAUCUCAUACAACACCAUGAAAAGUAAGGCUAGAGCGACACAGUUCAGCCGAAGCCUACAUCUCUAAAGCUAUCUCGAUCCAAACUCAAUAAAACCCAAGGUGAACAUGAUCCCAGACCAUCCCUCAACAGAAUCACAAAGUAGGAGGGAUUCCGAACCAGCUCUUAACGGAAUCCAAGUGGAUAUGAUUCCGGACUAUCACUCAACGAAAUCGCGGAGCACACUGCAUAACCACCACUAAGUGAAACCCAAGUUAGAUAUGAUUCUGGAACAUCACUCAACGGAAUCGUGGAGUAGAAGGGAUUCCAGACCAUCACUCAAUGGAAUUGGGGAGUAGAAGGGAUUCCAGACCAUCACUCAACGGAAUCCAAACCAGGAUACAAUUCAGGAUCAUCACUCAACGGAAUCGCGAAGUAGAAUGUGUAACACCAAUCAAUAAAACAAGACAUGGAUCAAGUUACUCAAGGUACAAAGACUGAACUGAAUAAGGAUGAAUAAUGACAUGUGGGUUGAAACAUGUUUCGAAGGCAACCAACCCCAUAACAAUGGUUAAUGGUCCACUACUAGCCCUCGCAUUUCAUCACCUCAAUCCAAUCAUACAAUACAAACCAUAUUUCCAAUGCACAAGUCAAAUCAUACUUAAUGAAAAUAGAUCAAUGACCAAAAAUAAAAUAACACUUCAAUAGAAUUCACAUUUAAUUAACAUGGGUCUAUGGCAUAUAUAUAUAACAUGAGCCAAAGAAAUCAAUUUUCUCCAGCUUAUGUAACAGCCCAUUUCCAAUUCAUAUAACAAAUCCCAAAAUACUUCCAGGUAGUCUAAAAGUCAUGUAUACAAUAUCCAAAACUAGCAUGACUCAAAAUUAACAAGAAUUGACCUUUUAAACCAAACCCCUGAUCAAGAAAUUUGAUCUACACACCCAAUCCGAAAUACCCAACUCUAAUUCAUGUUUAGACUAGUUCAUUGAAUGAUAGAAACCCUAAAUAGAAUUAAGAACUCCAAUAUAUCAUGGCAGUUUCAAUUCAACUUAAGAAAGUUAAAUUCGAAAAUCAAGAUAAUGAAGUAACAAGGAAUUUACCCUUUAAAUCUCUGAAUCCUUCCUUCACAAUCACGUUCUCUAUCUCCCCUCUCUCCGAUUUUUGCCUGAAGAAAGAAGGAUUUUCUUCCAACAGCUAUGGAAGAGCCACCUCCUCUCUGUUUCUUUUUCUUUCCUCUCACAGCCAGGAAGAAUGUGGAAGAACGUUCUUUUCCCCCUUCUCUUUCGCAACUCCCUUUUUCCUUCUCUCCUCCCUGUUUCUUUUCCUUCUUCCCCCCGUUGGUCCCUCAUUUUCCUCCUCUGUUUCUUUUUUUUUGUUUUUUUCUUUUCCCUCUUUUUCUUGCCACUCUCGUGGCUUUCCUUUUUCUUGUCUCCUUCAGCCACUGCCGUGGCUUUUUCUUCUCAUUUUUUUUUUGCAACAACUUCAAACGUCCGUAACUAUACCGUUAUAAUCCGAACUCGCAAACGGCUUUCGCCUAUGCGUUCGUGAUCUCGAUAUCUCAACAAUAUAAAUUGUGACCUCGAAUGGUCUACGGAUUUUAAAUAAUUAAUUUCCCGAAAAAUAAUAUAAAAUCUCUAUAAUACCAAUACGUAGAUUAUAAUAAUGAAAUCUAGGAACGGGAUUUCACAAGAGCAGCUAGAAGUUUCAUACAACAUAAAACACAUAAAAGUGUAGUGCUAUGCAUAAUCAAGAGUGCGAUCAUGCAAAUAUUAUUGACAAAAUAAAUAUGCAGUAGAGGAAUCAUCACCCAAAAUCCAAAAGAUGGAACUCAUGCCUAUUUCAUUCAAAGCAUGCUAUUGAUUUGCAUAACACAUAUUCAAGAUGAAGUUGUGUAGUGACCACCACCAAAGCUAAAUUGCCGUGUAUCCUACUUCAUUAUAUGUUUAAGUUUAACCCCGUUGAGCCUUGUGUAGCCUAUGUUCUUUGUUAACCCACACUGUCCUCACCUAGCCUAGAUUUGAACCAUCCAUACCCUUGUUCUUGAAGCAUAGUAAAGCAUGACUCAAAAUGAAUUCCUUUUUAUUAAUGUUUUGCAGAAAACAAGUGUGGGGGAAGUGAUUCUUGUUGUGUGUGUGUGCCAAAAUCCUUAAUAAGGCACAGGUAGGAAAGAAAAAGAAAAAGAAAAAUUUGUGGAAAAUAGAAUGAAAAGAAGAAAAGUUGUGAAAAAGAGCUUUAAAGUGUUGUUUGUUGAAGAAAUGGUCCAAAAACAUUGAAUUCGACCCUAAGUGUUGCAUGAAUCUUCCCUUUGUAUUUAAAAGUUGAUUCUGCAUUCUAAAGUGAAUUCCAAGUGUCGAUUUCAUUACUUUGCUUACUAUCGCUUUAAGAACGUUUGUUACCCCUAUCCUUUCUUUGUUAGCCAUUACCCCCAAACCCUGUUACAACCCUUGACUUCAAUCUUGAGUGCUGUGCGUUUCAAUUUGUGGAGUUUGAAAUUGGUAUGAGCAUAUGGUGUCACUGGUUCUCGCAUCUAAGUAGUAGCAUCUCAUUCAUGAGAUCAUAUUUAAACAUGCUUAUUAACUCCAGAAAAUUGCUUUCUUGUUGUAACAUACGUGAGUACUAGUCUUUCAUGUUUACAUCAAUCUUCUCACAUAUAACUAGUGUAGGGUGUGAAGUCAGAAAAUGUGUGUGAAAAUAGAGAGUAUCUUGCAAGGAAUUGAGCAAAUUCUCUAAGGCAUGUUACUACAUUCAAAACAUUGUUUUAAGUGGUUAAUUGUGAACUAGUAAGUAGUGACUGUGAUUAAGUAUGUGCUCAAGUGUGAAGAUAACUAAAAUCUGUGGGAAUAAUGAUUUUUAACAUGUCAUGUGCGUUGGAAAUCCCUGAGGCAAACAUUGGAAGGUUUAGGUUGUGUUUUGUUUUCUUUAUUUUGCUCGAGGACUAGCAAAAGCUAAGUGUGGGGGAAUUUGAUAGGAGCAUAUUUAUGCGACUUAGUUAACAUGUUUCUUGCACUUACUUAGUUAGUUAUUGCUUAUAAGAGUGUUUUACACCAUUUUCGUAUGUUUGUAGGUCCUAAUAACAAAGUUGGCAAGAAAAGUGCAUUUUGGUGCAUUUUGGAGCAAUUUUGGGCUGAAAUGGAUUGCAUGCACUUGGAGACAUGAGGAUGGACGUUUUGGGAAGAUUAGAAUUCAGCAUAUGUGUGUGCAAGUGUGUGACCUACAACUAAUAAACAUCAUAGUUGCCAUGUGAUGGAGACAACAUCAUACAAGGCACAUGCAAAGAAACACACACGACAUGGAGAGAAAGUGUAGUGGUUUGUGGCUGAAUUGUUGAAGCAAGUGUGUGCAAAUGUAAAGGGGAUCUAAACAUGGACAGCACACGGCAUGUGCAAAGGAGAAACAAAGAUGACAACACACACAUGCAAAGAAGGAAGAAUGCACGGCAAGAGAGGGAUAGAUCACAUGGAAAGACAUGGCACAUGUAAGAAAGGAGAUACUUUCAGCCAUAAGAACAAGGAAACACACACACAUAGGCAAAGGAAAGGCACGACAUGGGCAGAAAAUACACCACUACAUUCACUCAUUACCACAACACUCACCCUUGUCCCCUUCAUUAUUUCUGUUUUUAUGCACCAUUACAUUUAAUCAUUGCACUCAAGUGGUGCACAUCCCUUGUCCCCUUCACCCAUCAAAUUUCAUUCACUUUCACCUCCAUUACAUGCACUCAUUGAUGCACCACUCCUCCACUUUCCUUGCCCAUGCCGUGCAUCAUGAAUUCACCUGCACCUAUGACUCAUUUUUGCACCAUUCCACCUCCCUUUCCUUUAUCUACCAUGUGCACAAUCAUUCAUGUUCCCCACUUGCAUUCAUAGCUACAACACCACUCCAUUUCACCCCCCAUGCUUUGCAUCAUUACUUCACUUUCACCUUUGAAUCAUUGCUCACACCACCAUCCAUCCCUCCAUGCCGUGCACUUCCUUUAUAAAAGGAAGUGUGUGUGGCAGCCAUUACAUUCAAUUUUUGCUUGAUAAUUCAUCCCCAAUCCAAUACAACUUUCAUCCAAACACAUCUAUUCAUCUUCACAUCCAUUCCUCCAUACAACCAAAUCUUCAAACACUCACCAACACCUUGUGCCGUAGCAAAAGAAGGGAAAGAAAGUGCUUGGACGUGCAUGCUGUCCAACUUGGAUCAUUGGAGCGUUUAGGUGUUUUCUUUCUUUUGUUUUCAAUGUCUAAAUUGUUUUAUCUUUGCUUUGUAAGUAUGAGGAACUAAACCCCCCUUAGCAAGGGGGGGGGGGAUUCGAAACCAUGUUCAUACUUGCAAUAUGAUUUGAUUACCUUCAGUUGUGAUUUCAUAAGUUGUGAAUUCAAUUUGUUUAACUGCUUGAUUGAUAACUUAUUCGUGUAUGUUUAUUAAGAGUGCACACUUAGUUUGCAUACAUGAAUAUGAUGCUAGAGUAUAAAGGAGUUUCAUCUAAUAGUUACAAAUUUAUAUUCACAAGUAGUGGAGGUCGCUUAUAAACGAUCGUGUUAAAUGAAUUAUUGGCAGGAGUUUCAUGCUCAUCAUAGCAACGAAUGCCUCGUCAAUACUUAUAGUUUUCAUGAUGCUUAAUGAUCUUUGAUUGUAUUUUUAUUGUGUUGUUCACGUAAAGGACUUUUGAAGAGUGCUUGAAUUGUUGUAUGCGUUUUCCCUUCCAAUUCAAUAACUUAAGGAGAACUUGAAGGUUAAUUUAAGCGGACUUAAUUAACAUGGGGUGUUCAGUUUCAUGAUUGAACGAAAGAACAACUGAAAAAUUGGUUUAUGUGCAAGUAUGUCAUGUGUGGAGAAGUACCCUCUAGCUAGCCCAUCAUCCAUAGUUUAACCCAUCACCCAUCAAUUCACCUAAAUUUGUCUAAGAAUCUGUUUAAAUUGUUCUUGCUUUGUUUUCCUUAUUUUCGUCCAAAACCAAAAUCCCCUUUAUUUUAUUAAGUCAUAUUAGUUAGUACUUGUUUUAGAUUGUGUUUUUAAGUGUUUUAAGUCAAGAUAAAAUCAAUUUUCGUCCAAACUUUGUGUUAGUGGCAGAAACUGCCUUAGAGUUGUUUUUAGGCAGUUUUGAGUCUCUAUAAUCUAUUUUGAGUCUUGUGACUUUGUUUUGAGUCUUGUAAGUUUAAUUUCAUGCUUUUAAGUUUGUUUUCACAUAUUUAAGUUAGUUUCAAGUGUUUUAGCAAUCCCUCCUAAUCCCCGGCCUAGAACGAUCCCUACUUACAUUCUUUACUACAAUUGACAACAAGAGGGUUUAAUUUGUGUGUUAAGUUAUUUUCGCAUCACGUAUCCAACGCACUCUUGUUUUAUACCACGAAUGCAUAAAACAGUGCAAAUACCCUCCAAAUGGUGUAAUUUUAAUGCCAAAUGACCUUUUGAGAACUCAUUCUUAAUGUCUUCUUAACGUAUUAUAUGUGUUUAUUUGCUAAAGUUCCAAAGCGUAUCCAACGUACGCUCAUUUUAUACCACGAAUGCUUAAAACAGUCCAAAUACACUCCACAUAGUGUACUUUUGACACCAAAGAAGCAUUUUAUCUUUUGAGAACUCAUUCUUAACGUCUUCUUAACGAAUUUUAUGUGUUUAUUUUCUUAAGUUCCAAAGCGUAUCCGACGUACACUUGUUUUAUACCAAGAUUGCUUAAAACAGUGCAAAUACGCUCCAAAUAGUGUACUUUUAACACCAAAUAAGCAUUUGAUCUUAUGAGAACACAUUCAUAACGUCUUAUUAGCAUAUUAUAUGCGUUUAUUUGCUUAAAUUCCAAAGAGUAUCCAACGCACGAUUGUUUUAUACCACGAAUGCUUAAAACAGUGUAAAUACACUCCAAAUAGUGUACUUUUGACGCCAAAUAAGCAUUUGAUCUUCUGAGUACACAUUCGUAACGUCUUAUUAACAUAUUAUAUGUGUUUAUUUGCUUAAGUUCCAAAGCGUAUCCAACGCACGCUUGUUUUAAACCACGAAUGCUUAAAACAGUGCAAAUACACUCCAAAUUGAGUAAUUUAACACCAAAUAAGCAUUUGACCUUUUGACAUCUCAUUUUUAAUGUCUUAUUAACGUAUUAUAUGUGUUUAUUUGCUUAAGUUCCAAAGCGUAUCCAACGUACGCCCGUUUUUCCACUACAACUGAUUCGUGCACUUGCGAGUAAAUUUGGUUUGAAUUAAUCUAUUUAUUAGGUUAGUUUAAAUUCACAUCAAGUUUUUGGUGUUGUUGCCGGGGAUUGUUUUUUCCAAUUUAAACUUUAAUUGUUGCUUAUCAUAGUUUGUUUAUAAUUUUAUUUGUUAAUAAUUUUUUUUUCUAUCCUUUCUUCCAUGUGUUCUUCCUUCUUAAGUUUUGUUUGGUUUUUUUAGGUACUGCUUAGUUUUGUUCUAUUAUGGUAGAUGCAAGGAGAUCGAUCACUCAAUCUAGCACUUAUUCUUAUUGAUCACGAACUUGAGCAGACGCUACAAAACCAGCAACGGAAACAUUUAUCUCAAGGAGAGGUGCUCAAACACCAAUUUCUGAAAAAGAAUCAGAGAUGGCUGAGCAAGAUUAGGAAACUGUGCUCGUUAGAAGGCCGAUGAAGGAUUCUUUUGACCCUCAGGAUUUGGAUCAGCCCUCGUGCAUUGCAUUCCAACUAAAUAUUGAUGGAACUUGUAUGUUAUCUCCUUAGUUGCUCAAUAUGCUUCCUCACUUCAAUGGAGAAUCUCUAAAAGAAGAUCCUUAUGCACACAUUUAAGAGUUCUUCGACAUAUGUAAAAUGCAGCACAUUAGGGGACUUAGUGCCGAUGAGAUUAAAUUGCUUUUAUUCCCUUUUUCUUUAAAAAGAGAUGCCAAAAAGUGGUUGCAUUCAUUACCUGCCAAUUCCAUCACUGCUUGGGGACAAUUGGCUAAAAAGCUCAUGAAAAAGGUCCACAUCAAUAUUCCACUACUUGAGGCUAUCAGGCAAAUCCCUUCCUAUGCCAAAUUUCUCACGGGUCUUUUUUCACAUAAGCGCAAGUUGAAUGGCAAAGAAAAGGUUUUUCUUACCAAAAAGUUGAGUGAUAUCUAUCUAUGGAAAAAUCCAUCAAAGCUUUAGGACUCUGGAAUUCCUACACUAUCUUGUGUCAUUGGGAGUCAUAAAUUCGAAGAAGUAUUGGUUGAUCAUGGAGCAAGCGUGAAUUUAAUGCCAUAUUCAGUUUAUGUGGAAUUGGGUCUUGGGGAACUGAAACGAAGCCCAAUUACAUUGGAAUUUGCCGAUGGAUCUGUAAAGAAGUCAUGUGGUGCUAGUGAAGAUAUGUUGAUGCAAAUUGACAAAUUUUAUUAUUUGAUGGACUUUAUUGUUCUUGAUACAAGGCCUGUGCGUUAUUCAUCUACUGAAAUUCUGAUUAUUCUUGGACGUCCCAUUCUAGCUACUGCAAAGGCUAAUAUUCAAAGUGACACUGGAGUUUUAACUUUGUAUUUUGGGGAUAUGAAGGCUAAAUUCAACUUGUAUCCUGCUCAUGGCCUUCAAUCUGGUGCCGAUCACGUUGAAAGUAUUCAUCCUGCAGUUCGUGCGUACAAGAACGACUAGAACAAAGCAGUGUCUGGCUGAAGACAGUAAACUUAGCGCUAUUGGGAGGCAACCCAAUUUCUUUUCCUUAGUUUUCUUUCUUUAAGUUUUAUUUUUUGUUAGUUUUUCCAUUAGAUUGCUUCGCUGCUGCUGCUUAUUUGCUCGUUGGUGUUUGUUCUGUUUGCAGGUUUGGCUCUCUAUUCCAAUUUGAGAAAGGAAAUUCGAACAAAGUGGUGUACUGCAGCAUGUUUGCUUGCAGUUUGGAUGAGAUUAAGAUGGUUAUUGUUGCCAUCCCCAAAUUUUUCCACAACAGCAAGCAUGCUCUGAGACCAUAUCAUUUGUGCACCAUUCAUAUCCACUGGAUGAUUUGCUAAAAAGAGCUACAUUUACAAACAAGGAAGUUCCCUGACUUUUUUCUUUUUCUUUUGUUUUCUUUGUUUUAUACUCCUAUUCCAUACCGCUUUAUGUCCUAAUUACAUGUUCGAUUCCAUAUUUUUUAACAUUGAGGACAAUUUUGGGUUCAAGUUUAGGGGUAGGAUAUUUUAGUUUGGUGUUUUUAAAAGUUGAAAAGAAAAAACAAAUAACAAAAAAAAAAUUAAAAAAAAAAACCUAAAAAUAUUUCUUUGUAUGUUUCUUUCUCUUUUCCCUUUUCCUUUGAGUCGCUUUCCAAAUUUCCAUGACGAAAUUGAGUUAAUAACUUGUAUAACUUGAAUCAGAAAAGUGUGGUAACAUAUGGGGUUUUAGCUUUAUUCACUUUAUAACAUGAUUCUAGCAUGAUGUGUUUGAUGCACAAUAACCUUUGGUAGAUAUUAUGUAAAUUUUACUAAGUUGAGCAUGCUUAACUUGAAUAAAACCCGCACCCAUGUGAGCUUUUGUGCCUAAAUGUAGUGUAUGCAUUUUUCAUACACUUUUGUUCUUUUCAUGUGUGCAAUCUUAUAUGUGAUGCAUCUCUAGAACUUGCUUUGAGACCUUUUGGAGACUUCGUGUCAUGUAUUGCUUCAACUUGGAGAUGAUAGUAGGCAUUAGGUUGAAGACCAAUAGGCGGUGGAGAUAUCUUCGGAAAGAAUUUCAAAUUGACUGGAAUUCCUAUUUUUUGGAAGACUUGGGCGCAGAUAAAAGCAGAGAGGGUAGCAGCGGAAGAGGGGGAUUUUUCUGCUGGCGUGAAGUAGAGAGGGCAGCAGCGGCAGGGAGGAUUUGAUUUGGUUCUUCUUCUUUAGUUUUAUUUUAUGCAAAAUUUCCUUCUUAGAAUUACUAUGAAUUCUUCGUUCAUGGGGUUCUAAAGGGCUUGGUAGUACAGGUGGAGCCAUAUCGUAGUGUAGUUGGGAUUGGGAUGCUCUCUCUUUUUUAUUCUCUCUUGAUGAUCUAAUUUGUUUGCUGUGAAUGUGAUGCUUAGUUCAAACCUGCUAUCCUAUUUGUAAGAAAUUAAGCACAAGCUAGCUCAAGUUAUGGUCUUUAAUUAAUAUUAACUUCGACAAAUGAGUUUCCCAUCUCUUUCAUUGAUAUGAACACGGCUGAUCUCAUUGGUGUGGCGCAAUAUUUGUUAAAUUAGCUGAUCGGUUUGAUUUCUUUGUAUAACUCUUCUGCCAAUUCUGCAACUUGUAGAUGUAAUUCACAUUACAAAAUAAAAAAAAUAAAAUCCAAAGCUCAUAUAAGAUAAAUAAGGACUUUUUAUAUCAUAAAAUAAGACUUUCUAACUUGUACAUGACUAUAAUUACAAAAUCGAACACAUUGAUGGGUGCGCAUUUUCCAUCAACGUCUCUUCUGUGCGUGUAAGCUGAGCGUGGAGUCUUUUUUUAGCAAUUAAAAGUUUUGUAUCAUUUGAUUGACUUGGUUUGAUAAGACCUAUAUCUAGAUGACUCGGUUCUGAAGACUAACGUAAAACUUUAUGUUGAUAUUUCUUGAGGGUGAAACAUAGGGCUGGUUCGGUAUGGGAUACCGAACCAAAAAUGGCAUAUCAAAUCCCGAACCGAAAAUUUUCGGGACGUAAAUCUCAUGACCGAUCCCGAACCGAAAUUUCGGGAUUCCCAAAUUUCGGGAUUCCCGAAAUAUUUUCGGUAUUUCGGAAUUUCCCGAAACCGAACAUCAUCAGAAUCCAAAUCGUCUUAGAUUAAUAUUGAAAUCAUCCGAACCUGCAUUAAAAAUCCAAAUUGAAAUCAGAGACAUAGUGAUAGUGAAUCAGUGAAAGAUUUAUGGUCGAGAAAGAGGCAGAGUGAAGAGAGGGACCUCCUCCUGACCCGAGCCCCCAAUUCGAAACCCUAAGCCCCAAUUCAAAACCCUAACCUCAAUUCGAAAUCCCACACACACAGAGAAUCACUGGAGAGAACCGGAGGUGGGGAUGAAGCCAUGAGGUGUGGUGGUGGCCGGAGUGGAGAUAGUUCGUCGGAGUCAGAUUGCUAGACGGUGGGUGGCUGCUAAGCUUCAAAUCCGAGAAAGAGAGGGAGAGUCUGAGACUGAGUGAAGUGAAGGCAGAUGAGAGGCGAAAUGAAAUGAGAGAGAAUGAGUAGGGAUGUUUGGCUUGGUUUUGGAUUGGGUGGAAGGAAAGGUUAGGUGAUUUCUGGGUUGUAUAGAGAGAGAGAGAGAGAGAGAGAGAGAGAGAGAGAGAGAGAGAGAAUACGAGAGAGAUGAGACAGAAAAAAUGAGAGGGAUAAAGGAUUAGGUAGAGAGAUAACUGAUGAGACAGAAAAUAGGGAAGAGAGAGAGACGGCUCUGUCUUCAGAAAGCAAAGCCUUGCGUGACCCAUCCCUUCCCAUGUGCUUGAAGCAACAUUUGUCAGCACCACACCACACACACACUGACACAUAUACAUAUACACACACACCGACACAUAUACAUAUAUACACACACACACACUGACGCAUAUACAUACACACACACAUUCCAACACACACACACUGACGCACACAGACACAUAUAUAUAUAUAAUAUACCUAAUAUAAUAUUGCCAACACACACACAGACACAUAUAUAUAAUAUACCUAUAAUAUACCUAAUAUAAUAUUGCCAACACACACACACAGACACAUGCACACACACAUAUAUAUAUAUAAUAUACCUAAUAUAAUAUUAAUAAAGUUCGGUUCGGGAUCGGGAAUACCGAAAAUUUCAAAUUGUAAUACCGAUCCCAUACCGAACAAUUCGGGAUCGGUUCGGUUUCGGUACUAAAAUUUUCGGGAUUUUUGGUUCGGUAUUUUUUCGGUUUGGUUUCGGUAUGGUUUCGGUAUGGUUCGGGAUUUUUGGUAUUUUUUUCCAGCCCUAGUGAAACAUUGUUUGAGAAACGUUUUGGGCCUCAUUACAAUUUUUUUCACAUAUUUUUUAAGUUUCGGUUUAAAUAUUCUACUAUAAAUACAUUUGUGGCUUUAAUAACUGGUAAAACCACUUUCAAAUAUCUUGUUAAGUUUUUCUUAACGUCAUGGAUUUUUUUUUACGAAAAUGAAACAUUUGCAUUUUUCACAAAAAAAAAUGUGGUUUGUCAAUUUUGUAAAUUUGUAUAAAAAUCUUCAUUAAGUCCAUUUGUUUUCACAUUCACCUUACAAUGAGGCACUUAAAAUUAAUUUAUAACUUUCCAUCGAUACUUGAGUAUAGACCCUUGUUAAGGCAAAGAGUUGGGCUUCACUACAAUUUUUUUUCAUUUAUUUUUUAGGUUUCGUGUCACAUCUUGCCCUGGCCCCCACCACAUCCCAAGCACGACUCUACCGUAGCACGAUAUUGGUCGUUUUGGGUCCCGACCAUGCCCUCAUGGUUUGUUUCUAGGAACUCACACGAGAACUUCCCAUGGGUCACCCAUCAUGGGAUUGCUCUCGCGCGAACUCGCUUAACUUCGGAGUUCCAAUGGAACCCGAAGCUAGUGAGCUCUCAAAAGGCUUCGUACUAGGUAGAGUUGGGAAUAUACAUAUAAGGCUUACAUGAUCCACUCCCCCGGACACUGGCGAAGCUACGUGAGGGCGAGGAGUGGCGCCCGCCCCUCCCCUCGCCGGAAAAAGGCCUAGGAGCGCUGGUUCGGCCCCUCUGCUUUCGUCAGAAUUUAUGGUGGAGGAGAUUAACAGAGGUCCGGAAGAAAGUCGAAGAAGGGAUUACGGUGGGGACGACGAAGGAGAGGGUGGGAGUGGGAUCGACGGGGAAGGAGAUGCGGUUGCGAUGGACGGAGGAGAGGUUGAUGGAGGAGGUGUGGGGGUGAGAUUGACGACAAGCAGUUGGGGGUGUCGGGUCUGGGAGAAAAGCAAGGAAGAAGAUGGGUGUUUGGAUGUGGGUUGAAGAUAAAGUUGGGUGUUUGGUGAACAAGAUAACAAGUGUUUGGGAAGAGUUUUAAAGGACAGGUGUUUUAAAGGUGGGUGCUUGGUUAACAAGAUAACAAGUAUUUGUGGUUUUAUUUUUGGGAGUUUUAACAAAAAAAAAAACUCCUGUUACUGUUUACUUUUAACUAAAAAUCACAUUUAUACAUUUCCCUGGUAUUAUUCACUAUAUCUUUAAAAAUGGCUUUUCAUUAAAAAUGAAGUUUUUUUGGACAUUUCUUUAGUUUUCCUUUUAUUUUUUAGUCUUGUAUGUAUUUUUAUUUUGUCUUUUAAGAAUCCCAUCACAUUUAUCUUAAACUCUCACAUUCUUUAUAAAUAUUGUAUUACUUUUAAAAACAAUGUAAAUAUUGUUUAAUGCUUAUUUUACGAUAAUUUAAAUCUAUCUAGGCUCCCGCCUAGAUAUCGUCUAGGCACCUAGCUGCUAGGUCUCAGUCCGCUGUUUGAUUAGGACCUAACAUUUUUUAGGAUCUAAUCCUAGCCAAUUUAAGUUUCUUACAUUGGCUUAGAUAUUAUUGCUUACAACCGCUUGGGUGGAUAAACUAUUUUCUGCUAUGAAUAUUGAGUCAAAACUUUGUACUAUCUAAUGUGAAAGUAACUGCUUCGAUUGAACCUUACACUCUUUUGAAUUUCGCCCCUUCCCUCUGAAAAUCCUGGCUUCGCCACUGCCCCCGGACGAUGUGGAAUGUUACAUUUCGGCUUAAAUAUUCUAUUAAAACUAAAUUUGUGGCUCAAUAAUUGGUAAAACUCUUUCCAAAUGCUUUAUAAAUAUAUUGUCCUAAUGCUAACGAAAAAUAUUUUGUGAAGACUAAGGAUUUGCAUUUCUCACAAAAAAUGUGGUUGCUCACUGUUUUUCUUCGGUUUUGCAAAUUCGUACGCAAAUCAUCAUUAAAUCUAUUAGUUUUCAUCUUUGCCUCAGUGUGAUGUUUCUAAGAUUAAUAUAAGAGUUUUGGUUGAUAUUCUUGAGUAUAUACCCCGUUUAGGCAAUGUUGGACCUCAAUACUGUCUUUUUAAUUAUUUUUUGGGUUUGGGUUAAAAUAUUCUAUUAGAAAUACAUUUGUAGCUCAAUAAUUGGUAGAAACACUUUCAGAUGCCCUAUAAAGAUUUUCUUAAUGCCCUUGAAAAAUUCAAAAUUUGCAUUUGUCACACAAAAAAACGUGGGCUAACACUCACGAUUUUUAGACGAUUUUGCAAAUUCGUAAAAAAAUAUUAUCAAAUCUUAAACCUUUUAUAAUUCUUGUUCUAAAUGGAUUGUCUGUCAGUCGUACAAGAUUAUAAUUACAUGAUAAACACACUAAUGGGUGUGUAAUUUCCUGCAAUAUCUUCAAAGUGCGAUUAAAAUGAGCGAUUGUCGACUUUCAUAAAAUAGUAAGGCUAUAGGUCUUUUAAUAUUGCAAGCUUUUAUAACUCUUAUACUAAAAAUGUGUACAAGUUUAUAAGUGGAUUAACAGACUAAUAGUUUGGUAUAAAUGAAGACUAAAUGAGGGACUUGAUUCUCAACUUGCACACUACAUGUCACGCCCCGAUCCCGACAUACGUCCAGGAUCGACACAUGACGUUACCAAAUACCCAUAUCUCAACCUACCCCGCCUCCUAGAUAUGUAUAUAGCAUAAUUCAAGAUCCAAAUCUCAUAGAAAUUUUUGUAUAUUUUAUGGCUACAUCUAACCUCCUCGUUAGACUGCCUACGUACCCUCAAUAGGGAUCAAGUCAUUCGUAGUUCAUUAUUCCACUUCAAUCGAACAUUCAACACAUAGACCACUAUGUCUCAACAUAAUACUACAAUUCAAUCAUUUAGCACGUCAAGGAACAUUUAACAAAGUACAAUAAUAAUUUUUAGUCAUCUCGUCAUUCAUCCACUCAUAAGCGUUCAAACACCAUCCAAUUAUCACAUCAAUCAAUAGAACUUGACAAGCAUAAAAUUCCUGGACUCAAGGUAACAUAACAAACCCACAUGAAAAAAUCAAGAUUUCCCUUCCAUCCUUCAUAUAAAUCACUAUGACUCAACAUGAUAUCUCAAUUCACAACAUAAAUCAUAUUUAAGAACCGACAACGCACAAAACCAUCCUCUAGCCACAUUAAUUAACUAAUAUGGUCAAAAUAAUAACAUUCAUUCUCAUAUCUUCUAAAUUCAUAAACUAUGAAAUUAUAAUUGAAUCGUAGAAAAUCUCGAUGGAAUCCCACAGACGUACAACCGCUUUUAUACUUCAAUUCAUAAUAUUCUCAAACCCAUUAUUCGGAAUAAACUCAAAUGAAGGCUAAAGUGACACAAUUAAAUCAAACCUACUUCUCCGAAGAAAGGGAUUCCGGACCAUCACUCAACAGAAUCCAAGUGGAUACGAUUCUGGACCAUCACUCAACGGAAUUGUGUAGUACAAUGUAUAACAACAACUAAAUGAAACCCAAAUCAAAUACGAUUCCGGAACAUCACUCAACGAAAUCGCGGCGUAUAAAGGAUUCCGGACCAUCAUGUAGACAUCGAAAUUUCGGUAAAUAAAUAUUGACCGAUAAAUCAAAGUUUCAACGCUCAUGUAUUACAUAAAUUUUACACGUAGCGUGUGUCUAAACAAAAAAUCGAGAAUCAUCGGAAAAGUCAUCAAACAGGACACGUGUCAACACCUGGCAGAAACGACUUAUUUCAUCUGGAAUAUUAUAUUCAAAAUUAGGCCUUGGAAAAUUAUAUAAAUAGAAGCCAAUUUCAUUCAUUUCAUUGGACCAAUUGAUAUUACACCUUGAAGCUCUGAAGCUUUGAAGCUCCAAAGCUCUCAAGCUUUGAAGCUCCAAAGCUCUCAAGCAUCCAGGUUCCCGAAGAAUCAAGAAAGCCUUCUUCGUUCAUCGUUCUUCCAAGAUCAAGCCCCGACGGCCCUUGGAUCAACAAUCAUCCACCUUCAAGAUCAAGCCCCGACUGCCCCUUUGAAGAACUUCCACCUUCAAGAUCAAGCCCCAAAGGCCCUUGAAGAACUUCCACCAAUUCAAGAUCAAGCCCCGACGGCCCUUGAAGAAAGUGUUCAUCGUUCAUCAUCCGUUCAUCCCAAAAAAUAAAGAAAGCCUUCUUCGUUCUUCGUUCUUCGUUCAUCGUUCUUCCAAGAUCAAGCCCCGACGACCCUUGGAUCAACAAUCAUCCACCUUCAAGAUCAACCCCAACGGCCCCUUUGAAGAACUUCCACCAAUUUAAGAUCAAGCCCCAAAGGCCCUUGAAGAACUUCCACCAAUUCAAGAUCAAACCCCAAAAGCCCUUGAAGAUCCGUUCAUCACUGUUCUUCAAAGAUCAAGCCCAAAAGCCCCUUAAAGAUCCGUUCAUCACCGUUAUUCAAGAUCAAGCCUCAACGGCCCUUGAAGAAACACUCAUCCUCAAGAUCAAGCCCCAACGGCUCCUUGAAGAUCCGCUCAAAUCCACCUUCAAGAUCAAGCCCACGGCCCUUGAAGAACGUUCAUCCUUAGAUCGAAUCAGAUGAUCAAAUUUAAGAGAGAUUGUAACCCAAAAUCAUCAAAUACAAAUAUUAUUUUGUGCACAUUGUUCUUGUUUCUUUCCUUUCAAGAAAUUUUCAUGUUCACACAUCACUCAACGGAAUCCGACUGGAUACGAUUCCGAACCAUCACUCAACGGAAUUGCGGAAGGCCAACAACCAUAUAUACAAUGGCUCAAAGAAAUGAGACAAGUACAAAUUACUUAAUUUACAAAAGCUCAACCAAGGAAAUAAGGCACAAAUACUAAAUUUAGAACGAAUCAACGAAGCAGAAGAUGAAAUCAUAACGAAGCAACAAAUCCCCAUCACCACGGGUUAACAGUCUACCACUAGUUCUCACAUUUCAUCACAACAUGCCAAUCAAACCAAUCAAACCAUAUUUCAAUAUACGCAUGUCAAAUCUCAUUUCAUAAACUUAAAUCAAUGGCUAAGCAUUAAAAAUAACAAUUCAAUAGAAAACAUAUUUAUAAAACCAAGUCAUAUCCACAUAGGAUAACAAUUAGGAAAAUAGGGUAAUCACCAAUAUCACAUAUAUUAAAGUCCCUCACAUUUCUAUACAUCACACUAAUCCCUAUGAAUUACAACGUAGUCUCCUAUACCAUCAACUUAUCAUGGCCACCAACUAAUAUAUCACACAAGCAUAUAAGUUCUACAGAAUAUUUCAAAUAGGAUUCUAAGAUCGCAUAGCCAUAAAUUUAUCAUACUUAACCUUCACAUUACUAGAAAUAAUUAAACAUCCAUAUAUCACCAUUAUCAUCAAUACACAAGCCAAAUCAUGUUUAAUAAACAUAAGUCUAUGGCUAAAUAUAUGAAAAAUCACAUUACAAUAGAAAUCAUAUUUAUAAGUCCAACGCACGUUUACAAAUGAUAUUGAUAUAAGAAAUUAAGGUAAUAACCAUAUCACAAUAUUCAAGUCACUCUCCAACCAAUAUAGGUCCACUAGACUUCACUUAAGUCUCCCGUAGUACUAAUUUCAGUAUUGGGAACGUUUCGAGACAUGUUGACCAAAAGUCAACUCUCGGUCAAAGGUAGGGUCCACAAUUCUACACAAUUCAGUCCGGAAGAUCCACACAAUGGAUUUCGGAUCCGUAACUUCCCAAAGUCCACAUUAUGCUUCUAGAAUAACAUACUAAAUUCCCAUCGCAAUCCGACGGUCAGAUCUUCACCAAUUACUAGAAUUAAGUGGCGGUCAACAAUUUAUUUUACCAACUUAGAAAUCCAAUUAGGGAAGAUCCGUAUGUCGGAUUCCCGAUCCGUAAGUUUCUAUGAUGCACAAAUAGACCAAGUAAGGUAUCGUAAUGAAACUAAGUCCAAACAAUCAAAUUACGUCAUACGGAUAUCAAUUAUGAAAUCAAGGAAUUUAUUUGAACUUAAAAGGACGUCUUCAACCCACUUGCCAGGCCGCCGCCCCGACUUGCCGGAAAAAUUCAACUAUUUUUAAAAAUUACCAAAAUUUACAGGCAAGUAUAUCUCAGUGAGGGGAGCAACUUUCAUACCUGUGAAUAAGGCCAAUUUGUCCAAGAAGAGCUCCAAUUUCGUUAAAACCCGUCGGAAACCCUAUAAAGGGUGUUCUUCAAAUCACCACCAAAUCGAACCCAAGGUCUCAACAAUUGACUGGGCAUGGUUCCUAGGUUCAAGGGAAGUAUUUUGGUGAUAAAAAUUGCACCAAAUUGUUUCAGGAAUAGCGGAUUCACCACAGUGGUCCCCAUGGCCCGACAUGAACUUUCAUCAUGAAAUCACGACCAAUGACCACCAAACUUAGGUGGGAAUGGAAGCUAGGAUGACACCAUGUUGAUGUCAAGUGAAAACUGUGCAAAAAUCGCCUGAAAAAUGGUGGAAGUUGGCCGGAAAUCCCUACGGGUCGCCGAGGAUGGGUGCCCUGCACCUCUCUCAUUUCUUUCCUUUCUUUGCUUUUUCAUUGGUCACCCUCACCUCUCUCCUCUUCUGAUUCGUCCCCCUCCCUCCUUGUUCCUCCUGUUCCUCCUUCUUCCCCCUCUCCCCCUCUUUUCUCCUGUCGCUCUUGCAACUCCCCUUUCUUUUUUUUCCCUCAUUUUCUUUUUCCUGAUUGGUUUCCUUUUUUUUUUUGAAGAAACUUCUAAAACUUCCGUAAAGUUCCUUUCUCAAUCCGAUUCACAUAUGGCCUUCGCUUAAGCGCUUGUGAGGUCAAGCCCAAUUAAAAACAUUAAGGGUGACCCUCGAAGGUCUACAGAUAUAACAAUUAUUUUCCAAAAAUUCAAACUUUGUAAUUAGGUAAUUAAAAUCUAGAAUUAAUUUAAAUUCAUGAAAAUACUAAAUCCCGCCCAUACGAAAUACGUGGAUUACAAUAGUGAAAUGCAGGAACGGGAUUUCACACUGCAUAGGUGUGAAAUCUUUUGGUAUAAUUAUAGACUUAAUGUCUCGUUCAUUAAGGUAUUGAUCUGUAAAAGAACUAGAUUUAGAGAACGAAAGUGCAAUUAAAUGAGAAAUAUAUUAUUCUAUCACAAAGCACAUGACUUAAUGUCUCGUUCACUAAGGUAUUGUGCCUAACUAAUGUGUUUGCAGUUAAUUUUUAAGAUUCAGCUUAAAUAAUCUAGAGUGAUGAUAGACCCACCCCAUUAUCCUAAUUUCACCCAUCAUAAAAAUUAAAAAAAUUAAAAUAUUAUUUCUCCGCCCACCAUUAUUCCUAAAAUAACUAAUGUCUAAUUUUUUAAACAAUAAUAUUAAUAUUUAAAAAUAAAAAAAAACAAAAAAAAACUUCAUGCUUCCUUAAUUGCCACUACCCUGAACGCACCAGAACCUCCUCCCACUCCCAUCAAAAACAAAAACCUUUGACACCUUCUUGCCGGCAUCUCCUUUGGAAAGAGAGAGAAACUAAAGGGAAAGGAAGAGAGAAACACUGGGGGAGUUUUCCAAUACAGAGGCAGAUUGCUCCAAAGCGAUUUAUUCCAACUAGAAUUGGGUAUUCUAUGAUUUUAAAAUCUGGGUUCUCGUCGUUGUUCUUUUAUGAGGAAAAGGAGGAGAUGAUGGAGGUGUGGUAGUACCAUAAUUGAAAGGGAGAGUGGGGUGCUAUUUGUUCCUGGGGAGGGUAAUGGAUGAUUGGGGAUUUGAUGGUCGUCGGUACAUCGUGGAUGAUUUAGGAGGAUGAUGUAGGAGGAUGAUGGAUUUAUUUUUACUUUUUUUAGUUUUAGGUUUUCUUUAUUCUCUUUUAGUUUAUUUAAUUAAAGUUAUAAAAAAAUUUAAAUGUGGAUUUAAAAGUCUUUUGCUAAAAGGAUAAUUAUGUGAUUAACAUUUUGAUUACAAGGUGGGUGGGAAAAUAAGACAAGGGGGUGGUUUUAGUAGCACUCAUAAUCUAUUAGAAAUGCAUUUGUGGCUCUGUAAUUGGUAGAGCAACUUUCAAAUGCCUUAUAAAUAUUUAAUUAAUGUUCAAUAAAAUAUUUUGUGAAAAUAAAGAAUUGCAUUUUAGACACAUAUAUAUAUGUCAUGAUUUUUAAACGGUUUUGAAAAUUUGUAAAAAAAAUAUCAUUUUUUUAAAUACAUCGAUGUUUUUACACUAAGGGGAGGACGAGUUCGGCUAUGCCACACAAAGGGCAGCCUAAUUUGGUAUCAAAUUCGCCAUCCACGAGAUUCAAACCUAAGACCUCUCACUUCCCAGUUGAGAGGAAUACCACCAAACCGUAGUACUGAGUGGCAAAAAAUCAUCAUUAAAUCCACUUGUUUUCACCUUCGCCUUUCCAUGAUGUUUUAAAACUAAUGUAAGGCUUUACAUUAAUAUUCUUGAGUAAAAGCCCCAAUUUAUGCAAUGUUUUGGGCUUUACUUGACACGUCCCAACCCCGAUAUCCCCACAUACCAGGGUAGGCAUGUGCUGGCCGACAUCCGAGGGUGACGAAGCCAUUUUAAACAUGCAUGCAAAAACAAGAAUAUGCAAUUAGAACGAAAAAUGUCAUUGCAAGAACGUGUUCAGAGCAUACAACUACUAAGAAUAAUAUGGAAGAAUUACUAAGAAAAGAUAUGAACAAGGAAAUGAGACCUAUACUGAGAAGACUUGAGGAUACCUAUGCCAAAAUGCCCUGACGCCGAGAUCAUGUGCCUCGAUCCUAACUCCUGAGGGGGGCGCAAACAAAAAAGGUGAGUGGACCAAAGUUUAUAAUAAUAAUACUAAUAGUAGGAAAACAUUUUAUUUUUGAAUAUAAUAACCCUCUAUUUUGAAAACAUAUAUAUAAUACCACGUAGUAGGUUUUAUAAAAACCCUAGCAUGCCAUGUAAAACAUUCGUAAAACAUGUAUGUUAAACCAGUGCUGUGAAAUGGUAAUAACACCCGAAGGCAAAUCUGUAAAUCUCAUUAGUGAGGUACGCAACUAGGGAUAUCAUACUCGCCCGAAGGCAAUACUUGUCUAUCACCCAAAGGUGAAGCUAAAUAACUUGUCCAUCAUCCAAAGGGAUUUCAGACCAUCAUUUAAUGGAAUCCAAGUGGAUACGAUUCCAGACCAUCACUCGUCAGAAUUGCAGAUUAAAAGGAAUUUUGAACCAUCACUCAACGGAAUCCAAGUGGAUAUGAUUCUAGACCAUCGCUCAAUGGAAUCGCGGGUUAGAAAGGAUUUCGGGCCAUCACUCAAUGGAACCCUAAUGGAAACCCAGUUUCGGAUUAUUCAACGGAAUCGAGCGGAAGUCCAAGGAAUAUAGCAACGACUUGAAGAGACAAUACAAGAACUAAGUACUUAAUUUAGAAGGGCUAAACAAAAUGAAAGUGAAAUAAGGAAACAAGAUGGGAAACAAGUUCUGUGUCGAUUCAAUGGUCGGAUCGUCAAUUCAUAUAAUAACCAAGUGGCGGUCGACUAGACGGUCAACUAUGAAACUAUAUUAAAAUAUUGGGAUUUCAUUAAAUGGAUGUCAUAGAUGGAAUCGGGUAUCAAAAUUAGCCUAGAAUGGUCAGGUGGGGUCUCGAUCCAUGCGCCGAUGCACGUGGUGGCUGAUCGCGCUAGACAUGCCGAAAAAUUCAGCUAUUUCAAAAAAAUUAGAAAAUUUUACAGGCAUGUAGAUCUCAAUAAGCAGAGUAAUUUUCAUACAUGAGUGAAGUCCAAUUCAGAUGGAAAGUGCUCUGAAUUUCCCUCGAUCAACCGAAACCCUAGAAUUUGGGUGUCCUCGAUUCGACCUCCAUAGUAGCUCCAACGCCUCCUCCACGGCUUGGGAUUUGUUCCUAAGGUUGAGGGGAGCCUUAUGGUGGUGGUGGUUAAUGGAGUUACCUUCGAAUUUGAUAGAUCGCCACCGUGAACCCCGUUGCACCCACCGUGAGGGUUUCACAAUUUGAAGGCGAAAAUCCAUUUAUUUUUGGGUGGAAUGGGUAGAGGGGGGCCAACGAGUGUUUCCCCAGGAGGUUGUUUGAUGUGGUUCGCCGAAAAAACCGACGGAAAACCAUAAGAAAUGGCUACCUGAACUGGGUCGGGUCACUCACGAAAAUGGGUCAAAGGGGGGAUCUGAUUCCCUCAUUCUCUCCUCACUCCUUUCCCCUUCUUGCUCUCCUCCCCCUCAUUUUCUGAAACUUCUAACAUCCAUAACGUCUCCUUUCUCGUCCCAAUUCAUGAACGGCCUUCACCUAUCCGCUCGUGGGGUUGACCUCAAUUAGAAAACUUUAAGAGUGAUCCAAAAGUCUAUGGAUUUUAAAUGAUUAUUUUCAAAAAUUAAAACUUUGUAAUUAAGUAAUUAAAAUAUAAAAUUAAUUUAAAUUCGCGAAAAUACUAUAAAAUCCUGCGAAUACAAAAUAUCUAAAUUACAAUAGUGAAAUUCAGGAACGGAAUUUCACAUUACCUCGGAUGUUCUCGUUGUUAAUCCAAUCAUUUUGACACCCCAACCCCAAUAACACAAGUUACGAGGUCGAGAUAUCUUGGCCGUCACUAAAUUGACCAUAUGGCCCCUUUCAGGGAUGACUUCAGAAGCCAACUUAAUAACGAAGCCAUAGUAAGAUAAUUACGAUGUGCGUGAAUUUGAAUCAAAACAUUCAUUAAUAAUAAAUCAAAAGUUGCUACAAAUUUUCCUAAUCAACCUUCCCUCUUGGGAACAUAUAUUUAGGGUUUAGAUCCCAUUAUUACAUCAUAUCAGAGCAGCUAGAAGUUUCAUACAACAAUAAACACAUAAAAGUGUAGUGCUAUGCAUAAUCAAGAGUGUGAUCAUGCAAAUAUUACUGACAAAAUAAAUAUGCAGUAGAGGAAUCAUCACCCAAAAUCCAAAGGAUGAUACCUCACUGCCAAGCCCACUUACCACCACUGAGGUUCUCAUGAUUCUUGCUAUGUCCUAAGGGGUCAAUGAACAAAGUAUGAGUGGAUCAAGUUCUAUCUCAUCAAAAUCAAUCGAAUAACCUCCAUUUUAAAAUCACCUGUUGUAGAAUUAUCAAAAAGACGGACUUAGGGCCCAUAUCCAACAAUAUUGAUAUAGUCCCAACUUGGUAAUUACUACCCGCACAAUCCGUCAAGUGUGAGGUUUUAUUACAAAAGGCCUCGGUGUUAGAUAGAGUGAAGAUAGGAUAUUUAAACUCUUCUCUACUUAGAGAUAUGGUUGAUGUGGGAUAUUUCAAUACCUAUAUAUAUAUAUAUAGUAAAAACUACAUACAUAAUAAUACUACCAUAAUAGUUGUCACAAUCAAUUCAUCUCGCACGUCAUAUCAAAGAAAGUAAGUCAUUCAUAAAAUCAAAGUAAUAGAAUAUGAUUUUAUCAAUAUCGUAGAUGAUUCUUAUAAUCAUGUAUAUGCACGUUGGUGCGACUUCGAUUCCAAUGAUCUCUUUGUUUAACAACUAAAUAUAUUUAUUUCAUAAACGCUAUAAUUUGUAUAUAUAAAAAAAUGAUUUGAUCAUAUUAAUUCUGCAUAGUCCCCUCAAGUUGGAUAGUAAAUGUCAUAAUUAAGGCUUUUUAGUCAAAAUGGAGUCAUUGAGAUUUGCCUAACUCAUCACCUUGGUCAUUGAGAUUCAAAAUCAAUAGAAGUGGUCCAUGAGAUAAUCCACCAUCAAUAAUUUUGGUCAUUCGGUGAAAAAUUGUGUUAAAUAAGAAUUAAAAUGAUAAAAUUACCCUCAACGUAAUAAACAAUAGGCCAACAUGAUUUGAGAAAAAUUGAGGGUAUUUUUAAAAUUUUAUCCUUAUUUUAUGGAGAUUUUUCACAGAAUGACGAAAAUGAUUGAUUAUGGACAAACUCAGGGACCAAUUCUAUCAAUUUCAAAUCUCAAGGACCAAAGCAAGGAGUUAUGUAAAUCUCAAUAACCAUUUUAACUAAAAAAUUAUUAUUCCUAAAUUCCUAAAGCCCUUGGGAAGAUAUCUGCCAAUUGUACCCGAGAAGAAAUGCAGGAAGGAGAAAUUUAUAAAGAAAAUGGAUACCUGCUCUUCGCUGCAAAAAACGACACUUAAAGGACAGUUUUCCCGAGUUUUUAACCGCCGUUUUUACCGUUUGCUGCAAAAACCAAAUACUCUCCCCUUGCGAGCUCCGUCGUCAAUUCCCUUCGCAAACUUUGAGUCCCUCUGAAAAAAUGAUUAGCUGAAAUUUGAAUUUUUCAAACUUUGUGUUUGGUUAUAUCUAACGAUCCCUAAUUCCAAAUUUAUGGUUUAGAUAUAUAAAAAAGAUAUCUCGGGUACUUCAUUGCUAUCCAUUAAGCUCCCCACUUUCAAGCAAAGCAAAAAAUUCUAAUUGAGUUGAGUUUUGAACAUGCAGAUUAGUUAGACAACUGAAUUACUAAUCUUUAUUAUUACUGCAACAAACACACAGAUUACACUAAAAGCUAGUGAAUCAUACACUUGCAGAUGACUUAUCCAAACACAAAGAUAAGACAUGAGUUUAUUAUUAUUGCUACAAACACACGGAUUACAGCGAAAUUCAAAAACUAAAAACAAGGAAAAAAGUAGUGAUGAAAACCAAUGCCACUUUCGCGGGGAACACGAUUGCAUUCGCACAUGCAACAAGCCUUUUAAACCCAUAGGUGACCCAAAUGGGACGAGUGAAGUCUCGUGAGGGUUUCCAGAGACGUUACCCACAAACAUCAUGCAUACUGAUAAUCAACAUCUGACUUGAAAGACUGAGUAGAUAUCCACCCCUCCAGCAUCAGGUGUUUUUUGGUUGAGGCGUAAUUCGAAUCUGUUUUCAAUGAACGGCCUGGUUAAGAGGUCGCUUUGCAAGUGACGUAAUCGGCAGCGUGUGAUUAGGUUGUUGCUGUCAGGUGGUCCGACAGGCUCGACCUUGAACAAUGUGCAAGCCCAAUUGUCUUUGGUUUCAUUUCGGUCAGCAGCUGCGGCCAGGACCAAUAGCCUGUUUUGGUCCACCCUUCUCAAGUAGUUGCCGUUGUAGGAGCAUUUGAUAUGCACAUAAUUCUUGUCGGCGUAGUCCUCAUUGUUUGGCUUCUCGGUGGUGAACUUUAUGAACCUGCUGUUUUCAUUGUCCUCGGAAAACUGGACAAUCUCAUUAAGGUCGCUUUCUGCAUCAAGUUGAUAGCGCAAAUACUUGUUGUUGAUAUCUGCUUUCAGCAGAAAAGGGCUUGGUAGUACAGGUGGAGCCAUAUCGUAUAGUGUAGUUGGGAUUGGGAUGGUCUCUCUCUCUGUUGAUGAUCUAAUUUGCUUGCUGUGAAUGUGAUACUUAGUUCAAACCUGCUAUCCUAUUUAUAAGAAAUUAAGCACAAGCUAGCUCAAGUUAUGGUCUUUAAUUAAUAUUAAUUUCGACAAAUCAGUUUCCCAUCUCUUUCAUUGAUAUCAACAUGGCUGAUCUCAUUGGUGUGGCGCAAUAUUUGUUAAAUUAGCCUUUCGGGUUGAUUUCUUUGUAUAACUCUUCUGCCAAUUCUGCAACUUGUAGACUUAAUUCCCAUUACAAAAUUAAAAAAAAAAAAAUCCAAAACUAAUGUAAGAUAAAUAAAGACUUUUUACAUCAUAAAAUAAGACUUUCUAACUUGUAUACAAGACUAUAGUGACAAGAUCAAACACAUUGAUGGGUGCGCAUUUUCCAUCAACAUCUGUUCUGUGCGUUUAAACUGAGCGUGGAGUCUUUUUUAGCAAUUAAAAGUUGGGAACUUUAACGAAAAGCACCUGAUACUGUUCACUUUAACCAAAAACCACAUUUUUACACUAAAAAGUCAAUCCUGGUACUAUUCACUUUACCCUUUAUUUUGUCCUUAUCAUUAAAACUCAAAGUUUUCAAGCCCUUUUCAUUAGUUUUCCUUUAAAAGUUUUGUAUCAUGUAAUUGUCUUGGUUUGAUAAGACCUACAUCUAGAUGAGUUGCUUCUGAAGACUAAUGUAAAACUUUAUGUUGAUAUUUCUUGAGGGUGAAACAUCAUUUGAGAAACGUUUUGGGCCUCAUUACAGACCUACUAUUUUUUUUUCCUUUAAUUUUCUUGCUUUGAAUGUGAUGCUCAGUUCAGACCUACUAUCCUAUUUCUAAGAAAUUAAGCACAAGCUAUCUCAAGUUAUGGUCUUUAAUUAAUAUUAAUUUCCUCAAUCAGUUUCCCAUAUCUUUCAUUGAUAGGAACAUGGCUGAUGUCAUUGGUGUGACGCAAGAUUUGUUAAAAUAGCUGAUCGGAUUGAUUUUUUCUUUGUAUACCAUUCAAACUAAAUGUGUGGCUCAAUAAUUGGUAGAAACAUUUCCAAAUGCUUUAUAAAUGUUCUCUUAAUGCUAACGGAGAAUAUUUUGGGAAGACAAAAUAUUUGCAUUUCUCACGAAAAUGUGGGUGCUCAUUAAUUUUAGUGGGUUUUGCAAUUUUGUAUAAAAUCAUCAUUAAAUAUAGUAGUUUUCACCUUUGCCUCAUCGCUAUAUUUCUAAAAGUAAUGUAAGACUUUCAGCCUUUGUUCAUUAGUGAGGAUCUUAUCAAGAUAGAGCAGCCAUAAGAAGAAACUCUUAACUUUGGAGGAAUAUGAAGUUUCCAAAUGAGAUUCCAUCGCCAAUUAGAAAAAGCACUAGGCCUAAUGGCCCAAAAAUAAGCAGAUUUAACUGAAAAAUUACCAUCACUUAUUCCACUUCAGAUACACUUGGCAGUCAAAGCAUCAAAACUAAUUGGAAUGCUAAGAAUUUGUUCAACCACCUCUUUAGUUUAACAAGUAAUAGUGGAUCCAAACCAUUAUUGUAACAAUAAUUAGCUACAGUAGCCUUAAGCAUAUUGUCGGUGUCACACCCCGAUCCCGACAUACGUCCAGGAUCGACACAUGAUGUCACCUCCAGGAUCGACACAUGAUGUCACCAAAUACCCAUAUCUCUAACUUACCCCGCCUCCGGGAUAUGACAAAGUGAUGAGUCAAUAUUUUACCAUAUAUUUAACCCUAAUCUUAGUAUUAAUUUGUUGGUUAUUUUGGAUGAAUUUUGAUACUUUGUUAUAUAUUUCUAAUGUAGGAUAUUCGACUUUCUCUGGAGAAAAAAGUAACCAAACAGAUGAAUUUUGGAGUGAUUCCAAUUGGAGGAUGUUCGUGAGUCUUUCAAGAUGAUUGUAUCAAAAUUUCAGAUUUUGCUACCAAGUUGUUUGACCAUGGCGAUGAAAUUAAGGCCCAGCGCGCAGCUUUCCCAGAUUGACGUUUCUGGACGUUUUGGGUACUUUGAAGGUUGCGAUGUCAUAUUUUGAGGAAGAUUCCUUCUAAGGAUUUGUAUGGGACCUCUCCAGCUUUCAAAAGAGACAUUUUGGGACCAAAUCGGAGUUGAUUUGAUUGGUCAAAAGUCUGAUUUGUUGAGAACUCUGAAUUCUAGUUCAAAUAGGACACCUUUUAUUUUUUUGUUUUAUUAUUUUAUUAUGUUUCCUAGUUUUAUUCUAAGACCUUUUAGGGUUUUAUUUUGUAUUAGUAUAAAUAAGAUAUUUAGCCAUUAGGGCAAAAGUGGAAGAGAGAAUAGGAGGAGCACGCACACAGUACUUUGGAGGAUUCAAGUUUAUUUUCAAGGUGUUUUCUAUCCAUGUUCUUAAUAAUAUUUUGUUUUAUGGUUGUUAGUAACUAGUUUCGUUUGCUAGGGUGAGGCCACAAGCCUUAGUAAGAAUAUGUAGUUUCUUUUCAAUUUGCUUAUGAUAUAUAUUAUGCAUGCAAGUUUUGAAUUAUUAAUUACUGUAAUUUAAACUAUCUAAUUGUCUUCAUGAUUGGCCACCAUUUGGAUAUUUAGAAAAGUAAUUUGAUGCAAUUUUGGUGAAGGGCUGUCCCUGGAAUUGGUGCUGGCUUCUUGUGGUUAAUAUGUGUAACUUCUUAGGAUAGACGACACGUCUUAAGGGUUAUAUGGUUUUUCAAAAGGAUUUCACAAAACUUAAUGAGUCUUGCAUGUUCACAUUCGAUCUGGACACCACAUAUGGGUUGUAUAUUAGAUAUAUGUUCUAUGUUCGAGGUUCCUAGUAGGGCAUACUUUAGGAAAACCAAACCUUCAAAAUAUGCAUGUGUAAUUCAUAAGUAAUUGGAAGAACUACGUAGGAUUGUUAAGGUGACGGCGAAACCUUAGUGCUUAAAUUUAUUUUCAAAAACUAUUUUCUUUGGUUUUCUUUACUUUGCCAAUUUAUAUAAUUGUUUUCAGUUAAAUUCGUUUUUAAUAUUUUAGGUCAUAAAAUCAACCUCUUCUAAACUUUAUUUUCAAAUAAUUAACUAAGAUUUGGUUUUAACAUAAAUUAUUCAUUCAAUCCCUGUGGAAAACGACCUUACUUGAGCUGCUAUACUACGACAACCUUGUACUCUUGCAAGUAUUUUUAAGUGUUUUUAUCCCUACUUUUGCAAGUGGUAAAAUCCCUAUCACAAGGCACAACUCGAGAAUUGAAUCGCACAGUAAUUUUUCGUAUAAUUUAUGACUGCAUCUAACCUCCUCGUUAAACUGCCUACGUACCCUAAACAGAGAUCAAGCUAUUCGUAGUUCACCUCACUCAAACAUUCACCGCAUAUCUCACUACGUCUCAUCAUAAUACCACAAUUCAAGCAUGUAUCACCUCAAGGAACAUUCUACGAAGCACAAUAAUAUUCUCUAGUCAUCUUGCCAUUCACCCACACAUAUGCAUUCCAACACUAUCCAAUAAUCACACCAUUCAAUAACACAUACAAUACACCAAAAUGCAGGGCUAGAGUGACACAGUUCGACCGAAGCCUACAUCUCUGAAGCUGAAAUCGAAGCCAAGGAACCAACAUGUCAAAUGAUGCAAUUUCAGACCACUCAACGAAAUCCAUUAACAUCAGGUCCCGGACCACUCAACGGAACCAAAACACCAAGUGGGAUUCCGGACCACUUAGCAGAAUCUAUACCAAGAUAUGAUUCCGAACCACUCAACGGAAUCGCAGAGUAGAAGGGAUUCUGGACCUCUCAACGGAAUCCGAGUGGAUAUGAUUCCGGACCACUCAACAGAAUCGCGAAGUACAAUGCAUAUCCAACCACUCAAUGAAAUCUAAGCUGGAUACGAUUACAGUCAUACCUUCCGUCAAUUGUUGGUCAAUUUGUUGCAAUGACAUUGAAACUUUUUAAAGACGAGGUAUUGUUAAUGACCUAAUAAUUGAGGUAGUUUUAGGUAAUUUACCCUAUUUGUUUACUUAUUUUUUGGGUUUUUCUAUUAGAAAUACAUUUGUGGGUCAAUAAUUGGUAAAAACACUUUGAGAUGCCCUAUAAAGAUUUGCUUAAUGCUCACGAAAAAAAUUUCAUUUUCACACAAAAAACGUGGGUUAACACUCAAUAUUUUUAGGCCAUUUUGCAAUUUCGUACAGAAAUCAUUAUUAAGUCUGUUUGUUUUAACUUUCGCCUCACCACCAUGUUUUUAAAAUUAAUGUAAUGCUUUUCGUUGAUAUUUCUUGAGAGUGAAACCCCAUUUUAGCAACAUUUUAUGCCUCACAUAUAUGUUUUCAGUUGGUAGAACUACUUCCAGAUUCCUUAUAAAUAUUCCAUUAAUGUUAAAAUUUUGUAUUUUACCCUAAAAAGGUGUCACGAUUUUAAAACUUAUUUGUUUUCAACUUCGCCUCUCUAUGAUGUUUCAAAACUAAGUUACUUAAUUAUAAUUAUCUAGUUGUGAAAUUGAUAUUUUGGCAAAAAAUUAGGGGAAAGAUUUUAGGUUUGCCCAACGAAUAUAGAAGUGAUGGCUGACGAAUCGUUAUAUGUGGGUCUGACAACUUGCACCUAAUUCGUCAAGCAAAGCUGAAAAAAUUAUUUUUUUCCCUUAUGUUUUUAAUUUAAUUUCAAAUGGUAAAUCAUCGAAUUUGAUGAUCAGGACAAUUAAGUGUGUGGUUUUACUCUAAAUUACUGUUUUUCAAAACAAUUAUGAAAACCAAAGGUCCUAUAUAUAGCCUUUAAAUCUUGAUUUUUCAUUUCUAACAUGCGAAGGAUUUCUCAUUACCAAAUCUUGAAAUGUUUGUUUUGGAUGAUUUUUGGUAUAUGUGGUCUGGAGUAUAUACAAACAAGUUUGAUAGUUGGAUCGUGGAAACUAGUUUCGUAGAUUGCAAAUGCCGUCAAAACAAUAGAUUCAACAAACAUUUAGAGUUUAUUUUGUACUUGCAUUAAGUAGAACGUAAGCUUUUGAGGUAUCCAGUAGUGUAAAUAUUUCGAAGUUGAUGAUCGGGUUUGUUCCUUAUAUUCUUCUAGGAUUGAGGAAUUUAGUUUAAAAAAUUCAUCAAAAUCGGAGCUAAAUGAAUGUUAAAUUGUGAUUUCCAUUUCUAACCGUCGAUGAUUUCGUUUCAUUACCUAAUCUUCGAACGUUUACUUUUGAUGAAUUUUGGCAUCUCUAUGUCAUGUCACAUCAGAACUUAUUUUUUGGUUUAAAAAUAUUGUUGCUAUUUGAUAGACACAUAUUUAUUACAAUUGUUACCCUAUUAUUUAUAUUUGUUAGUGCCUCAUUGAAACUAUUUUUAUUAAAUUACUUUAGUUUUUGUAAUUUAUAAGGAUUAAGAUGCUUAUUGAUAAAAGUGGAAUUCAACAAGUUUUUGACACAUCUUAUAUGUUUUAGUCUUCCUAAUUACAUUGGCUUCAUCCAUUUAAUUAAAAGCAGAUAGGGUAGUAGUGGCAGGGAGGAUUUGAUUUGGUUAUUCUUCUCUAGUUUUAUUUUAUGCAAAAUUUCCUUCUUAGAAUUACUAUGAAUUCUUCGUUCAUGGGGUUCAAAAUUCUUAGCUAAGGCUAAGAGGAAGCCAUAAUUAUGAUUAUUCUAGUUAUUUGAUUGUUCAAUUUGUGAAUUCCAUAUUGAUGAUUAGUUUUCAUUCACUAGUUGGCUUGCAAUUUUGAUAUUGGGUUCUUUGUGCUUUUGACCAUAGCCUAGGAUUUUGAUAUUGAAAUUAUUUGCAUAUGAAUUUAUUUAUGACCAUUAAUUGGAUUCUAUUGAUGCUUCAUGAAUGAGAAUCAUGAACUUAUAUUUUGAUCCGACCGUAGACGAAUAUUGGUUUGUGUGGCUUCCUAGAAAAUUAGCUAUUUGUUUGACGUGACCAAGUUGAUAAGUGGUUAAUUUAUUUCUCACCAUACUUAAUUGGAUUUCUACAUGUUUGUGUAUACCGGACCAAGGAUAUAUGUAGACUACAGAAAUAGUUGAGUUUAAGCCGGACCACAGUAAAAUUCACAUCUCUUUGGGAAAUUAUUGGCAUGUGUACCUGACCACAGACAUAUGCACAGAAGUUGUUUUCAUUAAUUUGAUAAUUCAGGAGUUGACAAUUUGAUACUAGGGUAUGACAGUUAGUGGUAGAAUCAAAGCCUUAGUGUUUUCUUACAUUUGUUCUCAAUCAUAUUUCUAUUUAAGCAUUGUUAAUUUUAACUAUUCUUUGAUAAAAAUCCAAUCUUUAUUUCAAUUUGUUAAGUAAUAGUUAUAGGAUUAAAUUGUAAAAUCAACUCCGGUGGAUUUGAUCUCGUAUUUACAUAUUUCCACUACAACUGAUUCAAGCACUUAGGUGUAAAUUUGGUUUGAAUUAAUCUAUUUAUUAGGUUAGUUUAAAUUCACAUCAAGUUUUUGGCGCCGUUGCUGGGGAUUGUUUUUUCCAAUUUAAACUUUAAUUGUUGCUUAUCAUAGUUCGUUUAAAAUUUUAUUUGUUAGUAAUUUUUUUUUCUAUCCUUUUUUCCUUGUGUUCUUCUUUCUUAUGUUUUGUUUGGUUUUUUUAGGUACUGCUUAGUUUUGUUCUAUUACGGUAGAUGCAAAGACAUUGAUCACUCAAUCUAGCACUUAUUCCUAUUGAUCACGAACUUGAGCAGACUUUACAAAACCAGCAACGGAAACAUUUAUCUCAAUGAGAGGUGCUCAAAACUCCACAAAUUUUUGAAAAAGAAUCAGAGAUGGCUGAGCAAGAUCAAGAAAUUGUGCUGGUUUGAAGGUCGAUGAAGGAUUCUUUUGAUCCUUAGGAUUUGGAUCAGCCCUCGUGCAUUGCAUUCCAACCUAAUAUUGACAGAACUUGUAUGUUAUCUCCUCAGUUGCUCAAUAUGCUUCCCCACUUCAAUGGAGAAUCUCUAAAAGAAGAUCCUUAUGCACACAUUCAAGAGUUCUUCAACAUAUGUAAAACGCAGCACAUUAAGGGACUUAGUGCCGAUGAGAUUAAAUUGCUUUUAUUCCCUUUUUCUUUAAAAUGAGAUGCCAAAAAGUGAUUGCGUUCAUUACCUGCAAAUUCCAUCACUGCUUGGGGACAAUUGGCUAAAAAGCUCAUAAAGAAGGUUUUCCCUGCACACAAGAAAAAACAAUUGAAAAGAGAGAUUCAAUCCUUCGUUCAAAGAGAUGGCGACUCAUUCCAUGUGGUGUGGGAUCAAUUUAAUAAGUUGCUUGUCAAUUGUCCUAAUCAUAAUCUGCCCGGAUGAACAGGUACAAGCAUUUUAUGAGGGAUUAAAUGAUUCGAAUAAAGCCAUUGUGGAUUCCGCUUGUAAUGGUAUGUUAAUGAAGAUGAGUGACGAGGAAACGAUAGAAAUGUGUGAGGAACUUGUAGAGAACUCGCAACAAUUUAAUACAAAGGGACGUCAGGCUAAAAGAGGUGCAUAUGCAGUAAAUGCUAAUGAUGGUAUGCAAGUUGAGAUGGCUGCCAUGAACAGAAAUAUUGCAGCACUAAUCAAGACCUUAUCGCCUCAAAGUUCUCAACAAGCUCUCAAGUUUGAUGUAUGUGCAAUCUGUUCAGAAAAUGAUCAUGCUACAAAUACUUGUCCGAUAACUUCUUUUUCAAUAAAGAGCAAGUCAAUUUUGUUGGACAAGGAGGAUAUUCUUCGAAGCACAAUCCAUACUCAAAUACAUAUAAUUCGGGAUGGCAGGGUCACCCUAAUUUCAGUUAUGCAAAUCAGCGAAAUGUAUUGAAUCCUUCACAAGGGAACACACAACUUCAAGGGAUUGCUCCAGGAUUCUCUGAACUUAAGAAAACGUCUUUGGAGGAUAGCAUAGCUGUACUUGCACAAAGUCAGCUUGCGUUUCAAUAAAGUACCCAAGCUUUCCAGCAACAAACACAAGCUGCUAUUCAAACUACUCAAGCUUCGCUUUAGAAAUUGGAAAUUCAAGUGGGACAGCUUGCUAGUGCAGUAAAUGAAAGACAGAAACGCGAAUUUCCAAGUCAACCCAUAGCUAAUCCGAAAGGUGCAUAUGAGAUUAGCUCUAGUUACCCGUCGCAUGAGCAAGUCAAGUCUAUCACCAUACUCAAGAGUGGCACACAAGUAGAUAAUAAAGUUCAAAUGGCGAAUGGGGACCGAGAGACCAACCUGAAAAAGAAUGAAGCGGGUGCAUGUAAAGGGUAAAAAUGCUCAAGUAAACAGUUCAAAGUCCCUUAAUUUAUCAAAGUUUGAUCCCUUUGCAGCUUAUAAGGACAAGCCUCCUUUUCCUCAAGCUUUGAUCAGGCCAAAGAAGGAUAAUCAUUUCAGUGAGAUCAUGGAAUUGUUCAAAAAGGUCCAUAUCAAUAUUCCACUACUUGAGGCUAUCAGGCAAAUCCCUUCUGUUGGUAUAUGGUCCAGCCCAUGAUCAAUGUUCUAGAUUAUUCUAGUAAGCAAGAGAGAUGGCUGGAGCAUGCUAGACAAUUCUAGCAUGUUAUUAAGUUGAUGGAAGAAGCUAGAGAGUACUAGCUUCCUUGGUUGCAAAUGGAAAGAUCUAGAAGCCACACUUUUGUGGCUAGUCUAGAUCUUUCUAUGCUAGAGGUUUGAAGAAUACACUAGAAACUAGUAGAAUGCCAAACCCUCACCUAUAAAUAUGGGUGUGAUGUUGUAGUGAACCAACAAAUCAAGAGAAAGAGUGAGUAGCAAAGGAUCAAGUCCAAAGCUAGAGUUCCACUCCAAGAGUGAGAGUGAGAGUGUUCCACUACACAUUGUGUGAGUGAAGUUUAGAGUGAUAGAAAGUGUGUGUUUAUACUUUCUUGUAUCCAUCAAGCCUUGUCUUUGGCUUGGUAAGACUACUCUUGUUGUAUUCAUCUUUUUUCAUAUAGUGAAGAUUCCUUGUUUGGUGGACGUAGGCAUAAAUUGCCGAACCACAUAAAUUCUUGGCGUCCAUUUUCUACUUUACCUUGUGCAUUCUCUAUCUUGUAGUACCGACAUUCCUAAUAAGUGGUAUCAGAGCCCGGUUGGCUCGUACUACGAGAUGGAAGGAAGUGGCACUAUGAUCAAACUCACCAACUCCAAUUGGGUAACAUGGAAGCCAAGGAUGGAGGACAUUCUCUAUUGCAAGGAUUUGCAUGAGCCAAUUGAAGGAGAUGCCGCUAAGCCCGAGAGCAUGUCCGAUGCCGAGUGGAAGAAGAUGAAUCGCAAGGCUAUUGGCACAAUUAGACAAUGGGUGGAUGAUAGUGUUUUUCACCAUGUGUCUAAUGAAACCAAUGCUCGCGAGUUUUGGACGAAGCUUGAGUCCUUGUUCAAGAAGAAGACCCCAGCCAAGAAAGCCUUCUUGAUCAAAGAGCUCAUCAAUGUGAAGUACAAGGAUGGUUUAAGUGUAGCAGAACACUUGAACAAUUUCCAGAAUAUCAUCAACCAGUUGGCUACUAUGAAAAAUGACGAUCGAGGACGAGCUACAAGCGCUCUUGUUACUUGGAUCCUUGCCAGACAGUUGGGAGACCUUUGUGGUGAGUAUAAGUAACUCUGCUUCUAAUGGUGUUCUUACUCUUGAUAAUGUUAAAAAUAGCAUGCUCAAUGAAGAAACAAGGAGAAAGACUUCUGGCACAGAUAGCAGCCAAGUAUUUUGUCACAGAGAACCGCGGAAGAAGCAAGAGUAGAGGGCCUAGAGGUCAUGGCAGGAGUCCUAGCCGAUCCAAGUCAAGGUUCAGGGGUGCAUGCCACCAUUGUGGCAAAGAAGGCCAUAUGAAGAAAAAUUGUCGAGUUUGGAAGAGAGAGCAAAGGGAAGGAAACAAUCAGAAGAAAGAUGAUACUGGCAAUACCACUGCUGUCAUAUGUGGUGAUGUACCAGAAAUAUUGUCUGUUAGUGAAUGUCUGCAUAUGGGCAACUCUGACAGAGACAUUGAAUGGAUCUUUGACAAUGGAGCUUCCUUCCAUGCUACGUCCAAACGGGAGUUCUUCAGUACAUACAAAGAAGGUGACUUUGGCAUAGUGAAGAUGGGGAAUGAAAGCUAUUCCAAAAUUCUUGGAAUUGGUGAUAUCUGCUUAAGAACUAAUCUCGGCUGCCAAUUGAUGUUGAAAGAUGUGAGACAUAUUCCUGAUAUACGUCUCAAUCUGAUAUCCAUCGGUACCCUUGAUCGACAAGGAUAUUAUCACCAUAUUGGCGAAGGAAAAUUGAAGCUUACUAAAGGCUUAAUGGUGGUAGCAAGAGCACGACUUUGUUGUACGUUUGUACCGGUCAAAUGCCAAGGUUUUGAAAGGUGAGUUGAAUGCUGUGGAAGACUCAUCUCUAGACUUGUGGCAUAAGAGGCUAGGCCACAUGAGCGAGAAAGGCCUACAAGUUUUGGCAAAGAAGUCUCAUAUUCCCUUUGCCAAAGGUACGUCGUUAAACUCUUGUGAGCAUUGUUUAUUCGGAAAACAAAGAAGAGUUAGUUUUUCUGUUCCAUCUACAAAGAAAGGAAACUUGUUAGAUCUUGUUUAUUCAGAUGUGUGUGGUCCCAUGGAAGUCGAGUCACUUGGAAGAAAUAAAUAUUUUGUUACUUAUAUUGAUGAUGCUUCACGAAGGGUGUGGGUGUAUUUGUUGAAAUCCAAAGACCAGGUGUUUCAGACAUUCCAGGAGUUCCAUGCCAUGGUGGAGAGGGAAACUGGGAAACCUCUCAAGUGCCUUCGUAGCGACAACGGCGGCGAGUACACAUCUCACCAGUUUAGAGAGUAUUGUGUAAAACAUGGCAUACGUCAUGAGAAGACAGUUCCUGGAACUCCACAACAUAACGGUGUUGCUGAAAGAAUGAACCGAACCAUCAUGGAGAAAGUCAGGUGUAUGUUGAGGACUGCAAAGUUAUCUAAGCAGUUCUGGGGUGAAGCUGUAAGGACAGCCUGCUAUUUGAUCAACCGAUCUCCAUCAGUACCAUUAGGUCUUGAUGUUCCAGAGAGAGUAUGGACUGGUAAUGAUGUGUCUUACUCUCAUCUGAAGGUGUUUGGUUGCAAAGCUUUUGUGCAUGUGCCCAAAGAGCAGAGAUCGAAGUUAGACUACAAAGCUACACCGUGCAUCUUUCUUGGUUAUGGCGGUGAAGAUUUUGGUUACAGAUUAUGGGACCCAUACCAGAAGAAGUUUAUCCGAAGUAGAGACGUGGUCUUUUAUGAAGAUCAAACAAUUGGGGAUUCGGAUAAAGAGGCACAACCAGAUGGCGCAGUCAGAGGAGUUGAUCCAUUAGCUUCAGAUGAAGAAAGUCACGAUGACAUCCCUGAAGCAACUGCCAAUGAAGUGCCUGCAGAAUCAGAUAAUGCUGAUCAAGAGGAGCCUGAUCAAGAUGUGCCAGACCAUGAGAUUGCUGAUCAGGGGGAGCCUAGUCAAGAAGAGCAGAUUCAAGGAGAAUCCAAUCAGGGGGAGCCUCUAGCCCCGCAAGAGAAUGAAUAUCAGGUCAGAAGAUCCAGCAGAAGUCGAAGACCGUCUACCAAGUAUUCUUCAUCAGAGUAUAUCAUGUUGACUAAUUAUGGAGAGCCCGAAACUUAUGAGGAGGCCAGAGCUCAUAACGACAGUGAUAAAUGGAUGAAGGCAAUGGAGUCAGAGAUGGAUUCCUUAUUAAAGAAUAAUACCUAUGAGCUGGUGGAGCUUCCAAAGGGCAGGAAAGCAUUGAAAAACAAGUGGGUGUUCAAAUUGAAAAGAGACGACAACAUGACAAGGUACAAGGCUCGUUUGGUUGUCAAAGGUUUUGGUCAAAAGAAAGGAGUUGACUUUGAUGAGAUUUUGACUUCCAUUCGAGUUAUCCUUGGUAUGGCAGCAAGCAUGGAUCUUGAGCUCGAGCAGUUAGAUGUUAAAACUGCAUUUCUCCACGGCAAUUUAGAAGAGGAGAUAUAUACAUGGAGCAACCCAAAGGCUUUGAAGUCAAAGGUAAAGAAAAUUUGGUGUGCAAGCUCAAGAAAAGUUUUUAUAUGGUCUUAAGCAGGCUCCGAGACAGUGGAAUAAGAAGUUCAACUCAUUCAUGGUGAGUAAUGGGUACAAGAGAACUCAUGCUGACUCUUGUGUCUAUAUCAAACAAUUUUCUGGAGGUACAUUCAUCAUCUUAUUGCUUUAUGUUGAUGACAUGUUGAUUGUCGGACAAGAUGCUUCUAUGAUUAAAAAGCUCAAAGAAGAGUUAUCUAAGUCCUUUGACAUGAAGGACUUAGGGCCAGCCAAGCAGAUUUUGGGCAUGGAGAUAAUUCGUGACAGAAAAUCCAAGAAGUUGUGGCUGUCACAAGAAAAAUAUGUUGAACGGGUGCUUGAAAGGUUCAACAUGAAAGCAGCCAAAUCGGUAAGCUCACCUUUAGCCAAUCAUAUCAAGUUGAGCAAAGAGUCGUGUCCAAAAACAUAUGAAGAAAAGGAGAAAAUGGCAGUUGUUCCCUACUCUUCAGCAGUAGGAAGUAUCAUGUAUGCAAUGGUGUGCACACGGCCAGAUAUUGCUCAUGCAGUAGGUGUGGUGAGCAGGUUUCUCUCUAAUCCAGGGAAAGACCAUUGGGAAGCUGUUAAGUGGAUUCUCAGAUAUUUGAAGGGGACUUCUAAGAUGUGCUUGUGCUUUGGCGGUUCCAAACCAAUCUUGGAAGGAUUUACAGAUGCUGACAUGGGAGGUGACCUGGAUGGCAGAAAAUCUACGUCUGGGUACUUGUUUACUUUUGCAGGGGGAGCCGUGUCUUGGCAAUCCAAGUUGCAAAAGUGUGUUGCUUUGUCUACAACCGAGGCUGAAUACAUAGCCGCUACAGAAGCAUGCAAGGAGUUGUUGUGGCUGAAGCGGUUUCUCCAAGAGUUGGGUUUUAAGCAAAGUGAUUAUGGCGUUUAUUGUGAUAGUCAGAGUGCUCUGGAUUUGAGCAAGAACACUGCAUACCAUUCACGCACCAAGCACAUUGAUAUUCGUUAUCACUGGAUUAGAGAUGCUAUUGAGAACAAGAUGCUACAGCUGAAGAAGAUUCAUACCGAUAAUAAUUCUUCAGACAUGUUGACAAAGGUGGUCACAAAAUCAAAGUUGGAAUUCUGCAUUAAGGCUGCUGGGAUGGACUCCAGGUAACUUGGAGUCAUGAUCGGAAUUCCUCCCUCAUGGACUGGAGGGGGAGAUUGUUGGUAUAUGGUCCAGCCCAUGAUCAAUGUUCUAGAUUAUUCUAGUAAGCAAGAGAGAUGGCUGGAGCAUGCUAGACAAUUCUAGCAUGUUAUUAAGUUGAUGGAAGAAGCUAGAGAGUACUAGCUUCCUUGGUUGCAAAUGGAAAGAUCUAGAAGCCACACUUUUGUGGCUAGUCUAGAUCUUUCUAUGCUAGAGGUUUGAAGAAUACACUAGAAACUAGUAGAAUGCCAAACCCUCACCUAUAAAUAUGGGUGUGAUGUUGUAGUGAACCAACAAAUCAAGAGAAAGAGUGAGUAGCAAAGGAUCAAGUCCAAAGCUAGAGUUCCACUCCAAGAGUGAGAGUGAGAGUGUUCCACUACACAUUGUGUGAGUGAAGUUUAGAGUGAUAGAAAGUGUGUGUUAUACUUUCUUGUAUCCAUCAAGCCUUGUCUUUGGCUUGGUAAGACUACUCUUGUUGUAUUCAUCUUUUUUCAUAUAGUGAAGAUUCCUUGUUUGGUGGACGUAGGCAUAAAUUGCCGAACCACAUAAAUUCUUGGCGUCCAUUUUCUACUUUACCUUGUGCAUUCUCUAUCUUGUAGUACCGACAUUCCUAACACCUUCCUAUGCCAAAUUUCUCAUGGGUCUUUGUUCACAUAAGCACAAGUUGAAUGGCAAAGAAAAGGUUUUUCUUACCAAGAAGUUGAGUGAUAUCUAUCUAUGGAAAAAUCCAUCAAAGCUUUAGGACCCUGGAAUUCUUACACUAGCUUGUGUCAUUGGGAGUCAUAAAUUCGAAGAAGUAUUGGUUGAUCAUGGAGCAAGCGUGAAUUUAAUGCCAUAUUCAGUUUAUGUGGAAUUGGGUCUUGGGGAACUGAAACGAAGCCCAAUUACAUUGGAAUUUGCCGAUGGAUCUGUAAAGAAGUCAUGUGGUGCUAGUGAAGAUAUGUUGAUGCAAAUUGACAAAUUUUAUUAUCUGAUGGACCUUAUUGUUCUUGAUACAAGGCCUAUGCGUUAUUCAUCUACUGAAAUUCUGAUUAUUCUUGGAUGUCCCUUUCUAGCUACUGCAAAGGCUAAUAUUCAAUGUGACACUGGAGUUUUAACUUUGUGUUUUGGGGAUAUGAAGGCUAAAUUCGACCUGUAUCCUGCUCAUGGCCUUCAAUCUGGUGUUGAUCAUGUUGAAAGUAUUCAUCCUGUAGUUCGUGCGUACAAGAACAACUAGAGCAAAGUAGUGUCUGGCUGAAGACAGUAAACUUAGUGCUAUUGGGAGGCAACCCAAUUUCUUUUUCUUCGUUUUCUUUCUUUAAGUUUUACUUUUUGUUAGUUUUUCCAUUAGAUUGCUUCGCUGCUGCUGCUUAUUUGCUCGUUGAUGUUUGUUCUGUUUGUAGGUCUGGCUCUCUAUUCCAAUUUGACAAAGGAAAUUCGAACAAAGUGGUGUACUGCAGCAUGUUUGCUUGCGAUUUGGAUGAGAUUAAGUUGGUCAUUGUUGUCAUCCCCAAAUUUUUCCACAACAGCAAGCAUGCUCUGAGACCAUAUCAUUCAUGCACCAUUCACAUCCAUUUGAUGAUUUGCUAAAAAGAGCUGCAUUUACAAACAGGGAAUUUCCCUGACUUUUCUCUUUUUCUUUUGUUUUCUUUGUUUUAUACUCUUAUUCCAUAUCGCUUUGUGUCCUAAUUACAUGUUCAAUUCCAUAUUUUUUAACAUUGAGGACAAUGUUGGAUUCAAGUUUGAGGGUAGGAUAUUUUAGUUUGGUGUUUUUAAAAGUUGAAAAGAAAAAAAAAUAACAAAAAAAAAAUUAAAAAAAAACCUAAAAAUAUGUCUUUGUAUGUUUCUUUCUCCUUUCCUUUGAGUCGCUUUCCAAAUUUCCAUGACGAAAUUGAGUUGAUAACUUGUAUAACUUGAAUGAGAAAAGUGUGGUAACAUAUGGGGUUUUAGCUUUAUUCGCUUUAUAACAUGAUUCUAGCAUGAUAUGUUUGAUGCACAAUAACCUUUGGUUGAUAUUAUGUAAAUUUUAUUAAGUUGAGCAUGCUUAACUUGAAUAAAACCCGCAUCCAUGUGAGCUUUUGUGCCUAAAUGUAGUGUGUGCAUUUUUCAUACACUUUUGUUCUUUUCAUGUGUGCAAUCUUAUAUGUUAUGCAUCUCCAGAACUUGCUUUGAGACCUUUUCGAGACUUCGUGUCAUGUAUUGCUUCAACUUGGAGAAGAUAGUAGGCAUUAGGACUUUAACAUCAUUGCCAUAUAUGCCAGUGUCCUAUACGUUACUCCUAGUUAGCCCCCUUGAGCCUUUAAUGGAGCCUUUUCUUUGUGAGCCAAACUCCCUACCAUUCCUAACCCCUAUUUAUAUAUCCUACCCUUAAUUGUUCUGAGAAAAUGAUAGAGUGAUUGUUUCGCUGGAGCUUAAUUUGUUUGCAUAAAAGGGAUGUAUGGACGAAGGUGGUUGAUUAUCAAGGCUAGAAAUUUGCGCUUUAAUGUUAUUCACUAAGAGUUGAAAGCUGGAAGUGGUGUCAUUAAAAAAAAAAAAACAAAAAAAGAGGAAUCAAUGAAGAGGAUGUGAGAUUUUGUCCUGUACUUGCAUAAGGGUAAUGAAAGCAGCUCAAAUGUGUUGGUGAUGUCAAGUGCUUAUUUUCAUAUGAAUAUGGGGUAUGAGAGAACAACAUGUGAUGUUGUCUUUGCUCUGGUGAUUUACAGAAUUUGUAUUGUGCAUGAGAGAAUAUCUUAUACAAAAGAAGGAAAAGUAGACUGAAGAUGCUACGCUUGUUGAUGCUAUUUUUUAGAGUGAUUAGUGUUUUGUGCUUAUGGUAAUAAAAAACACUCUAAUAUUUUCUCAUAAUGUUUGUAUUCCCAAUCCUUUCAUUUGUUUAGCCAUUCACCGUAAGCCUCCAUUACAACCUUCGAUAAAGACCUACUUGAUCCAAGGAGAGUAAUUUUUGAAUUGUGGAGAUCAGAUUGAUCUGCAAGCUUAUGGUAGAGCAUUCAUGUAAUGAUCUUUUGAGUGUAUACACUUAACCUUAAACACCUUGAGUUGAGUGCUAAUUGAGCGUAUAUCUUGUGAGUUUAGGGUUGAAGUUGUGCGAAUUGAGCGUAUACUUGCAUUUGUGUUGUAUCAACUUUUGGCUAUUUUUACUCGAGCAUGUUAUGUCUCUAGAAUGUGUUAUUUUGUGACUAUGGUUUGAGCCUUAUGUGUUGUUAUACUUUAUUAUUAUUGGUAUGCCUGUGUGUAGACUCCCUAAGUUGUUUGGAAAGAUCAAUUUUUUUAAUUGUGUCUUUUUGUUUUGCUGGAGGACUAGCAAAAGAUAAGGUUGGGGGUAUUUGAUAGACACGUAUUUAUUACAAUUGUUACCCUAUUAUAUUUAUAUUUGUUAGUGCCUCAUUCAAACUAUUUUUAUUAAAUUACUUUAAUUUUUGUAAUUUAUAAGGAUUAAGAUGCUUAUUGAUAAAAGUGGAAUUUUACAAGUUUUUGAUACAUCUUAUAUGUUUUAGUCUUCCUAAUUACAUUGGCUUCAUCCAUUUAAUUAAAUGUUAUUUUAUUCUUAUGUUGAAGACCAAUAGGCGGUGGAGAUAUCUUAGGAAAGAACUUCAAAUUGACUGGAAUUCCUAUUUUUAGGAAGACUUGGUCGCAGAUAAAAGCAGAGCGGGUAGCAGCGGAAGAGGGGGAUUUUUCUGCUGGCGUGAAGUAGAGAGGGCAGCAGCGGCAGGGAGGAUUUGAUUUGGUUCUUCUUCUCUAGUUUUAUUUUAUGCAAAAUUUCCUUCUUAGAAUUACUAUGAAUUCUUCGUUCAUGGGGUUCUAAAGGGCUUGGUAGUACAGGUGGAGUUGGGAUUGGGAUGCUCUUUCUUUUUUAUUCUCUCUUGAUGAUCUAAUUUGCUUGCUGUGAAUGUGAUGCUUAGUUCAAACCUGCUAUCCUAUUUGUAAGAAAUUAAGCACAAGCUAGCUCAAGUUAUGGUCUUUAAUUAAUGUUAAGUUCGACAAAUCAGUUUCCCAUCUCUUUCAUUGAUAUGAACACGGCUGAUCUCAUUGCUGUGACGCAAUAUUUGUUAAAUUAGCUGAUCGGUUUGAUUUCUUUGUAUAACUCUUCUGCCAAUUCUGCAACUUGUAGAUGUAAUUCCCAUUACAAAAUAAAAAAAAUAAAAUCCAAAACUCAUAUAAGAUAAAUAAAGACUUUUUAUAUCAUAAAAUAAGACUUUCUAACUUGUACAUGACUAUAGUUACAAAAUCGAACACAUUGAUGGGUGCGCAUUUUCCAUCAACAUCUCUUCUAUGCGUGUAAACUGAGCGUGAAGUCUUUUUUUAGCAAUUAAAAGUUUUGUAUCAUUUGAUUGAUUUGGUUUGAUAAGACCUACAUCUAGAUGACUUGGUUCUGAAGACUAAUGUAAAACUUUAUGUUGAUAUUUCUUGAGGGUGAAACAUUGUUUGAGAAACAUUUUGGGCCUCAUUACAAUUUUUUUCAUUUAUUUUUAAGUUUCGGUUUAAAUAUUCUACAAUAAAUACAUUUGUGGCUUUAAUAACUGGUAAAACCACUUUCAAAUAUCUUGUUAAGUUUUUCUUAACGUCAUGGAAUUUUUUUUUACGAAAAUGAAACAUUUGCAUUUUUCACAAAAAAAAUGUGGUUUGUCAAUUUUGUAAAUUUGUAUAAAAAUCUUCAUUAAGUCCAUUUGUUUUCACAUUCACCUUACCAUGAGGCACUUAGAAUUAAUUUAUAACUUUCCAUCGAUACUUGAGUAUAGACCCUGGUUAAGGCAAAGAGUUGGGCUUCACUACAAUUUUUUUUCAUUUAUUUUUUAGGUUUUGUGUCACAUUUUGGCCUGGGCCCCCACCACAUCCCAAGCACGACUCAACCGUAACACGAUAUUGUCCGCUUUGGGUCCCGACCAUGCCCUCGCGGUUUUGUCUUUGCCGCAGUGUGAUGUUUCUAAGAUUAAUGUAAGAGUUUUUGUUGAUAUUCUUGAGUAUAUACCCCGUUUAGGCAAUGUUGGACCUCACUAUUGUUUUUUUAAUUAUUUUUUGGGUUUGGGUUAAAAUAUUCUAUUAGAAAUACAUUUGUGGCUCAAUAAUUGGUAGAAACACUUUCAGAUGCCCUAUAAUGAUUUUCUUAAUGCUCUUGAAAAAUAGAAAAUUUGCAUUUUUCACACAAAAAACGUGGGCUAACACUCAUUAUUUUUAGGCGAUUUUGCAAAUUCGUAAAAAAAUAUUAUCAAAUCUUAAGCCUUUUAUAAUUCUUGUUCUAAAUGGAUUGUUAGUCGUAUAAGAUUAUAAUUACAUGAUAAACACACUGAUGGGUGUGUAAUUUCCUGCAAUAUCUUCAAAGUGCGAUUAAAAUGAGCGAUUGUCGACUUUCAUAAAAUAGUAUGGCUAUAGGUCUUUUAAUAUUGCAAGCUUUUAUAACUCUUAUACUAAAAAUGUAUACAAGUUUAUAAAUGGAUUAACAGACUAAUAGUUUGGGUAUAAAUGAAGACUAAAUGAGGGACUUGAUUCUCAACUUGCACACUACAUGUCACGCCCCAAACCCGACAUACGUCCAGGAUCGACACAUGACGUCAUCAAAUACCCGUAUCUCAACCUACCCCGCCUCCGAGAUAUGUGCAUAGCAUAAUUCAAGAUCCAAAUCUCAUAGAAAUUUUUGUAUAUUUUAUGGCUGUAUCUAACCUCCUCGUUAGAUUGCCUACGUACCCUCAAUAGGGAUCAAGCCAUUCAUAGUUCAUUAUUCCACUUCAAUCGAACAUUCAACACAUAGACCCCUAGGUCUCAACAUAAUACCACAAUUCAAUCUUGUAGCACCUCAAGGAACAUUUAACAAAGUACAAUAAUAAUUUUUAGUCAUCUCGUCAUUCAUCCACUCAUAAGCGUUCAAACACCAUCCAAUUAUCACAUCAAUCAAUUGAACUUGACAAGCAUAAAAUUCCUAGACUCAAGGUAACAUAACAAACCCACAUGAAAAAAAUCAAGAUUUCCCUUCCAUCCUUCAUAUAAAUCACUAUGACUCAACAUGAUAUCUCAAUUCACAACAUACAUCAUAUUUCAGAACCGACAACGCACAAAACCAUCUUCUAGCCACAUUAAUUAACUAAUAUGGUCAAAAUAAUAACAAUCAUUCUCAUAUCUUCUAAAUUCAUAAACUAUGAAAUUAUAAUUGAAUCGUAGAAAAUCUCGAAGGAAUCCCACGGACGUACAACCGCUUUUAUACUUCAAUUCAUAAUAUUCUCAAACCCAUUAUUCACAAUAUGCUCAAACGAAGGCUAAAGUGACACAGUUAAAUCAAACUUCUCCGAAGAAAGGGAUUUUGGACCAUCACUCAACGGAAUCCGAGUGGAUACGAUUCCGGAUCAUCACUCAACGGAAUCGUGUAGUACAAUGUAUAACAACAACUAAAUGAAACCCAAAUCAGAUACAAUUCCGGAACAUCACUCAACGAAAUCACGGAGUAUAAAGGAUUCCAGACCAUCACUCAACGGAAUCCGAGUGGAUACGAUUCCGGACCAUCACUCAACAGAAUCGCAGAAGGCCAGCAACCAUAUAUACAAUGGCUCAAAGAAAUGAGACAAGUACAAGUUACUUAAUUUACAAAAGCUCAACCAAGGAAAUAAGGCACAAAUACUAAAUUUAGAACGAAUCAACGAAGCAGAAGAUGAAAUCAUAACGAAGCAACAAAUCCCCAUCACCACGGGUUAACAAUCUACCAUUAGUUCUCACAUUUCAUCACAACAUGCCAAUCAAAUCAAUCAAACCAUAUUUCAAUAUACGCAUGUCAAAUCUCAUUUCAUAAACUUAAAUCAAUGGCUAAGCAUUAAAAAUAACAAUUCAAUGGAAAACAUAUUUAUAAAACCAAGUCAUAUCGACAUAGGAUAACAAUUACGAAAAUAGGGUAAUCACCAAUAUCACAUAUUUUAAAGUCACUCAUAUUUCUAUACAUCACACUAAUCCCUAUGAAUUACAACGUAGUCUCCUACACCAUCAACUUCUCAUGGCCACCAACUAAUAUAUCACACAAGCAUAUAAGUUCUACAGAAUAUUUCAAAUAGGAUUCUAAGAUCGCAUAGCCAUAAAUUUAUCAUACUUAACCUUCACAUUACUAGAAAUAAUUAAACAUCCAUAUAUCACCAUUAUCAUCAAUACACAAGCCAAAUCAUGUUAAUAAACAUAAGUCUAUGGCUAAAUAUAUGAAAAAUCACAUUACAAUAGAAAUCAUAUUUAUAAGUCCAAAGCACGUUUACAAAUGAUAUUAAUAUAAGAAAUUAAGGUAAUAACCAUAUCACAAUAUUCAAGUCACUCUCCAACCAAUAUAGGUCCACUAGACUUCACUUAAGUCUCCCGUAGUACUAAUUUUAUUAUUGGGAACGUUUCGAGACAUGUUGACCAAAAGUCAACUCUCGGUCAAAGGUAGGGUCCACAAUUCUACACAAUUCAGUCUAGAAGAUCCACUCAUUGGAUUUCGGAUCCGUAACUUCCCAAAGCCCACAUUAUGCUCAUACUAAAUUCCCAUCGCGAUCCGGUGGUCAGAUCUUCAAACAAUUACUAGAAUUAAGUGGCGGUCAACAAUUUAUUUUACCAACAUAGAAAUCCAAUUAGGGAAGAUCUAUACGUCGAAUUCCCGAUCCGCAAGUUUCUAUGAUGCACAAAUAUUAUGUUCUAUCACGAAGUAAGGUUUGGUGACGAUCCAACGGUUAGAUCAUUCAUUCAUAAUUAGACCAAGUAAGGUAUCGUAAUGAAACUAAGUCCAAACAAUCAAAUUACGUCAUACGGAUAUCAAUUAUGAAGUCAAGGCAUUUAUUUUAACUUAAAAGGACAUCUUCAACCCACUUGCCAGGCUGCCGCCACACCUGCCGCCCCGACUUACCAGAAAAAUUCAACUAUUUUUAAAAAUUAUCAAAAUUUACAGGCAGGUAUAUCUCAGUGAGGGGAGCAACUUUCAUACCUGUGACUAAGGCCAAUUUGGCCAGGAAGAGAUCCAAUUCCAUUAAAACCCGUCGGAAACCCUAUAAAGGGUGUUCUUCUAAUCACCACCAAAUCGAACCCCAACGUCUCAACAAUUGACUGGGCAUGGUUCUUGGGUUCAAGGGAAGUAUUUUGGUGAUAAAAAUUGCACCAAAUCGUUUCAGGAAUAGUGGAUUCACCGUAGUGGUGCCUUCGGCUCAACAUGAACUUUCAUCGUGAAAUCACGACCAAUGACCACCAAACUUAGGUGGGAAUGGAAGCUGGGAUGACAUCAUGUUGAUGUCAAGUGAAAACUGGGCAAAAAUCGCCUGAAAAAUGGUGGAACUUGGCCAGAAAUCCCUCCAGGUCGAAACUGGGUACACAGGUCACGGGGGAUGGGUGCCCUGCACCUCUCUCCUUUCUUUCUUUUCUUUGCUUUUUCAUUGGUCACCCUCACCUCUCUCCUCUUCUGAUUCGUCUCCUCCCUCCUUGUUCCUCAUGUUCCUCCUUCUUCCCCCUCUCCCCCUCUUUUCUCCUGUCUCUCCCGCAACUCCCCCUUCUUUUUUUCCCUCCUUUUCUUUUUCCUGAUUGGUUUCCUUUUUUUUUUUUGAAGUAACUUCUAAAACUUCCGUGAAGUUCCUUUCUCGAUCCGAUUCACGUAUGGCCUUCGCUUAAGCGCUUGUGAGGUCAAGCCCCAUUAAAAACAUUAAGAGUGACCCUCGAAGUUCUACGGAUAUAACAAUUAUUUUCCAAAAUUCAAACUUUGUAAUUAGGUAAUUAAAAUCUAGAAUUAAUUUAAAUUCAUGAAAAUACUAUAAAUCCCGCCCAUACGAAAUACGUAGAUUACAAUAGUGAAAUUCAGGAACGGUAUUUCACACUACAUAGGUGUGAAGUCUUUUGGUAUAAUUAUAGACUUAAUGUCUCGUUCAUUAAAGUAUUGGUCUGUAAAAGAACUGGAUUUAGAGAACAAAAGUGCAAUUAAAUGAGAAAUAUAUUAUUCUUUCACAAAGCACAUGACUUAAUGUCUCGUUCAUUAAGGUAUUGUGCCUAACUAAUAUGUUUUCAGUUAAUUUUUAGGUUUCAGCUUAAAUAAUCUAGAGUGAUGAUAGACCCACCCCAUUAUUCUAUUUUUACCCAUCAUAAAAAUUAAAAAAAUUAAAAUAUUAUUUCUCCACCCACCAUUAUUCCUAAAAUAACUAAUUUCUAAUUUUUUAAACAAUAAUAUUAAUAUUUAAAAAUAAAAAAAUAAAAAAAAAACUUCAUGCUUCCUUAAUUGCCACCACCCUAAACACACCAGAACCUCCUCCCACCCCCAUCAAAAAGAAAAACCUUUGACACUUGCUUGGCGGCAUCUCCUUUGGAAAGAGAGAGAAACUAAAGGGAAAGGAAGAGAGAAACACAGGGGGAGUUUUCCAAUACAGAGGUAGAUUGCUCCAAAGCGAUUUAUUCCAACUAGAAUUGGGUAUUCUUUGAUUUUAAAAUCUGGGUUCUCGUCGUUGUUCAUUUAUGAGGAAAAGGAGGAGAUGAUGGAGGUGUGGUAGUACCAUAAUUGAAAGGGAGAGUGGGGUGCUAUUUGUUGCUAGGGAGGGUAAUGGAUGAUUGGGGAUUUGAUAGUCGUCAGUCCAUCGUGGAUGAUUUGGGAGGAUGAUGGAUUUAUUUUUACUUUUUUUAGUUUUAGGUUUUCUUUAUUCUCUUUUAGUUUAUUUAAUUAAAGUUAUAACAAAUUUAUAAAUGUGGAUCUAAAAGUCUUUUGCUAAAAGGAUAAUUGUGUGAUUAAAAUUUUGAUUAAAAGGUGGGUUGGAAAAUAACACAAGGGGGUGGUUUUAGUAGCACUCAUAAUCUAUUAGAAAUGCAUUUGUGGCUCUGUAAUUGGUAGAGUAACUUUCAAAUGCCUUAUAAAUAUUUAAUUAAUGUUCAGUAAAAUAUUUUUUGAAAAUAAUGAAUUGCAUUUUAGACAUAUAUAUAUAUAUAUAUAUGUCACGAUUUUUAGAUGGUUUUGAAAAUUUGUAAAAAAAAUAUCAUUUUUUUAAUACAUCGAUGUUUUUACACUAAGGGGAGGAGGAGUUCAGCUAUGCCACACAAAGGGCAGCCUAAUUUGGUAUCAAAUUCCCCAUCCACGAGAUUCAAACCUAAGACCUCUCACUUCCAAGUCGAGAGGAAUACCACCAAACCGUAGUACUGAGUGGCAAAAAAUCAUCAUUAAAUCUACUUGUUUUCACCUUCACCUUUCCCUGAUGUUUUAAAACUAAUGUAAGGCUUUACAUUAAUAUUCUUGAGUACAAGCCCCAAUUUAUGCAAUGUUUUGGGCUUUACUUGACACGUCCCAACCCCGAUAUCCCCACAUACCAAGGUAGGCAUGUGUUGGCCGACAUCCGAGGGUGACGAAGCCAUUUUAAACAUGCAUGCAAAAAAAAGAAUAUGCAAUUAGAAUGAAAAAUGCCAUUGCAAGAACGUGUUCAGAGCAUACAACUACUAAGAAUAAUAUGGAAGAAUUACUAAGAAAAGAUAUGAACAAGGAAAUGAUACCAAUACUGAGAAGACUUGCGGAUACCUAUGCCAAAAUGCCCUAACGCCGGGAUCAUGUGCCUCGAUCCUAAAUAAUAAUACUAAUAGUAGGAAAAAAAUUUAUUUUUGAAUAUAAUAACCCCCUGUUUUGAAAACACAUAUAUAAUACUACGUAGUAGGUUUUAUAAAAUCCCUAGCAUGCCAUGUAAAACAUUCGUAAAACAUGUAUGUAAAACCAAUGCUGUGAAAUGGUAAUAACACCCGAAGGCAAAUUCGUAAAUCUCAUUAGUGAGGUACUCAACUAGGGAUAUCAUACUCGCCCGAAGGCAAUACUUGUCCAUCACCCAAAGGUGAAGCUAAAUAACCUGUCCAUCACCUGAAGGUGAAGUUGUACAACCUGUCUAUCACCCGAAGGUGAAGUUGCAUAAAAUAGCAAACAUCCACACUGACACUAGCCGUGGCUAGUGAAGUUGUUCAACACUGCUUUCAGCAGUGAAGCUAGGGGUAUAUAAUAUAUCAUAUCUCACUCCUUCAUCCUCUGUGUCCUAUGGCCAUAGACAUCUAUACUCGUGCUGUGCGAAUGUGUCGUAUAAUAACCACUAGGUAAAUCUUGGUGUGCCAAAAACAUAUCUCCAAAACUCGUAUCAAAAUUCGAAGCUUGCUAGGUCAAACCUUAUCUUAUAAAUCCAAGAUAAAUCGUACUCAUGAAAUCCAUAAAAUAAUUCAUGCUCGUAAAACCGUAAUAUAAAUCAUGUUCGAAAAUCAUAGAAAUCCAUAUAUGCAAAUCCAAUAAUUCAAUACCUUUAAUCAAACGUAAUUUCGAUAAAUCAACUAUUUCGUAAACCAUAAUUAUAAAAGUCUAUAAAGCAUAUUAUAAAUCAUAUUCAAAUCAUGAAAUAUGGAAUGCAUGCUAGGCUAAUAUUUUAUAAAAACAAGUAAGUUAAGAAGGGGUCCACUCACUGAUUUUAUUGCCCAAGAACCGCUUGAACUAGCAAGGAUGACGUCGCUUCCCGCCAACAAGCCUAAACACAAUUAGGGACCAAUUAGUAAAACUAUACUAAAACGUUAGAAUUUAAAAUGGACGGCGAAUUUGGAUCCGGCACGUUGAAAAACCUAAGGAGGGACCUCUGGUUUUCCCCACACAUCGCCGUACGAGCGGCCAUGAGGCGCCGGCCCGGAAGGCCACGCACCGCCGCAUGAGCCAUCACACAUGGCAGUUGGCCGCCUUGACUCGCCGAAAAAUUCAACAAUUCUAAAAAUUUCCAAAUUUUAUACCUGAGUCGAGGUCCAAUUCGACCAGGAAACACCUCAAAUCGCCCUCGAUCCCGCCGGAACCCUAGAAAUGGAUGCUUUCCAAUUUGUCCUGAAAUCAAACCCGACACCCCCAAACUUGUUUAGGCUUUGUGCCUGGGUUCAAGGUGAGUGGUUUGAUGGUGGUGGUGGCGAGGUUUGUGUAACCAGAAAACUAGUGGAAACACGUCAGAAAGGUCACGCUACGGGUCGGGUCGGCGGGAAUGAACCGACUGAGGGGUGAUCCGGUGCUCCUCCACUCUCUCAUUUCCCCUCCUUUCUCUCCUCUCUGAUUGGUCACUCUCUCUCUCUCUCGUUUUCUCUUCUUUCUCAUUGGGCAUCUACCCUCAUUUCUCUCAUUUCUCUUUUCUCUCCUCCGUGAAUCUCUCUCUUUCAUAUUCUUUCUUUUCCAUCACAACCACACACAUGGCACAGAUUGAUGGCUCCAACAAAAUCUGGAGCCUUCCAAAUUUAUGGUCAAUUGACCAUUUUGCCCUCGACUUGGUUCGUUAAUAACUCCUUCGUUAUAACUUCAAUUUACGUUCCGUUUGCGCCCAUGUGUUCGUAGCGAUGAGUACUACGAGCAUAAGCCAAGAAAAUAGAUCUUACAUGACACGAAAAAGCGGUCAACAAAAGUCAACGUAUUUGCCUUGAAGGGUAUUUUCGUAAUUUCACAUUUUAAAAUACUUCAUUACGAUCAGGUUUGCACCAAAUAUUCCGUUAGCUAAAAAUACUUCAUAUCAUUUCCUAUAGUCUAUUUCCAAGUCUUCCUAACUUUUCCUCAACCCCUUUUGACCUGAGUCUCCCUUUCACAGUCGUCUCUUCUACCAUAGCAUUUUUAGAUAUUCGGUUCAUGUACCCAAACCACCUUAACCUAUUUUCUUUUAUCUUAUCUUCAAUGGAGACCACUCUUACUUUACCUCGGAUGUCCUCGUUGUUAAUCCAAUCGCUUUGACACCCAGACCCCAAUAACACAAGUUACGAGGCCGAGAUAUCAUGGCCGUCACUAAAUUGACCAUAUGGCCCCAUUCAGGGAUGACUUGACAAGCCAACUUAAUAACGAAGUCAUAGUAAGAUAAUUACGAUGUGAGUGAAUUUGAAUCAAAACAUUCAUAAAUAAUAAAUCAAAAGUUGCUACAAAGUUUUGUAAUCAUCCUCCCUACUUAGGAACAUAUAUUUAGGGUUUAGAUCCCAUUAUUAUCACAACACAUCAGAGCAGCUAGAAGUUUCAUACAACAGUAAACACAUAAAAGUGUAGUGCUAUGCAUAAUCAAGAGUGUGAUCAUGCAAAUAUUACUGACAAAAUAAAUAUGCAGUAGAGGAAUCAUCACCCAAAAUCCAAGGGAUGAAACCUCAUUGCCAAGCCCACUUGCCACCAUCGAAGUUCUCCUGAUUCUCGCUAUGUCCUGAGGGGUUGAUAAACAAAGUAUGAGUGGAUCAAGUUUUAUCUCAUCAAAAAUCAAUCAAAGAGAUGGGCCCACAUUCAACAAUAUCGAUAUAGCCCCAACUUGGUAAUUACUACCCACACAGUCUGUCAGGUGUGAGGUUUUAUCACAAAGGGUCUCGGUGUUAGAUGGAGUGGGGAUAUGAUAUUUAAACUUUUCUGUACUUAUAGAUAUAGCUGAUGUGGGAUAUUUCAAUACCUAUAUAUACAUAUACAUAUAUAUAUAUAUAUAUAUAUAUAUAUAUAUAUAUAUAUAUAUAUAUAUAUAUAUAUAUAUAUUAAAAACUACAUAUAUAAUAAUAGUACCAUAAUAGUGGUCACAAUCAAUUCAUCUCGCACAUCAUAUCAUGGAAAGUAAGUCAUUCAUAAAAUCAAAGUAAUAGAAUAUGACUUUAUCAAUAUCGUAGAUGGUUCGUAUAAUCAUGUAUACGCACGUCGGUGCAACUUCGAUUCCAAUUAUCUAUCUCUUUUAACAACUAAAUAUAUUUAUUUCAUAAAUGCUAUAAUUUGUAUAUAUAAAAAAAUGAUUUGAUCAUAUUAAUUCUGCACAGUCCCCUCAAGUUGGACAGUAAAUGCCAUAAAUCAGGCUUUUUAGUCAAAAUGGAGGAAUUUUAACUAAAAAAUUAUUAUUCCUAAUUUCCUAAAGCCCUUGGGAAGAUAUCUGCCAAUUGUACCCGAGAAGAAAUGCAGGAAGGAGAAAUUUAUAAAGACAAGGGAUACCUGCUCUUCGCUGCAAAAAAACGACACUUAAAAGGACAAUUUUCCCGAGUUUUUCACCGCCGUUUUUACCGUUUAAAAGGUCGUACCCAAUGCACAAGGCUCCAGCUUUACGCAGGGUCUGGGAGAGGUGAAUGUCGGCUAGCCUUACCCCUAUUUAUGGAGAGGCUGCUCCCAAGUAUCGAACCCGAGACCUACCGCUCAUGGCCGUUUUUACCGUUUGUUGCGAAAAAAAAAACUCUCCCCUUGCGAGCUCCGUUGUCAAUUCCCCUCGCGAACUUUGAGUCCCUCUGAAAAAAUGAUUAACUGAAAUUUGAAUAUUUCAAACUUUGUGUUUGGUUAUAUCUAACGAUCCCUAAUUCCAAAUUUAUGGUUUAGAUAUAUAAAAAAGAUAUCUCAGGUACUUCGUUGCUAUCCAUUAAGCUCCCCAAUUUCAAGUAAAGCAAAAAAUUCUAAUUGAGUUGAGUUUUGAACAUGCAGAUUAGUUAGACAACUGAAUUACCAAUCUUUAUUAUUAUUGCAACAAACACACAGAUUACACUAAAAGCUAGUGAAUCAUACACUUGCAGAUGACUUAUCCAAACACAAAGAUAAGACAUGAGUUUAUUAUUAUUGCUAUAAACACACAGAUUACAGUGAAAUUCAAAAACUAAAAACAAGGAAAAAAGUAGUGAUGAAAACCAAUGCCACUUUCGCGGGGAACACGAUUGCAUUCGCACAUGCAACAAGCCUUUUAAACCCAUAGGUGACCCAAAUGGGACGAGUGAAGUCUCGUGAGGGUUUCCAGAGACGUUACCCACAAACAUCAUGCAUACUGAUCAUCAACAUCUGACUUGGGAGACUGAGUAGAUAUCCACCCCUCCAGCAUCAGGUGUUUUUUGGUUGAGGCGUAAUUCGAAUCUGUUUUCAAUGAACGGCCUGGUUAAGAGGUCGCUUUGUAAGUGACGUAAUCGGCAGCGCGUGAUUAGGUUGUUGCUGUCAGGUGGUCCGACAUGCUCGACCUUGAAUAAUGUGCAAGCCCAAUUGUCUUUGGUUUCGUUUCGGUCAGCAGCUGCGGCAAGGACCAAUAGCCUGUUUUGGUCCACCCUUCUCAAGUAGUUGCCGUUGUAGGAGCAUUUGAUAUGCACGUAAUUCUUGUCGGCGUAGUCCUCAUUGUUUGGCUUCUCGGUGGUGAACUUUAUGAACCUGCUAUUUUCAUUGUCCUCAGAAAACUGGACAAUCUCAUGAAGGUCACUUUCUGAAUCAAGUUGAUAGCGCAAAUACUUGUUGUUGAUAUCUGCUUUCAGCAGAAAAGGGCUUGGUAGUACUGGUGGAGCCAUAUCGUAUAGUGUAGUUGGGAUUGGGAUGGCCUCUCUUUUUUGUUCUCUGUUGAUGAUCUAAUUUGCUUGCUGUGAAUGUGAUGCUUAGUUCAAACCUGCUAUCCUAUUUAUAAGAAAAUAAGAACAAGCUAGCUCAAGUUAUGGUCUUUUAUUAAUAUUAAUUACGACAAAUCAGUUUCCCAUCUCUUUCAUUGAUAUGAACAUGGCUGAUCUCAUUGGUAUGGCGCAAUAUUAUUUGUUAAAUUUGCUGUGCGGGUUGAUUUCUUUGUGUAACUCUUCUGCCAAUUCUGCAACUUGUAGACGUAAUUCCCAUUACAAAAUAAAAAAUAAAAAAUAAAUCCAGAACUCAUGUAAGAUAAAUAAAGACUUCUUAUAUCAUAAAAUAAGACUUUCUAACUUGUUUACAAGACUAUAGUGACAAGAUCAAACACAUUGAUGGGUGAGCAUUUUCCUUCAACAUCUGUUCUGUGCGUUUAAAUUGAGCGUGGAGUCUUUUUAGCAAUUAAAAGUUUUGUAUCAUGUAAUUGACUUGGUUUGAUAAGACCUACAUCUAGAUGACUUGGUUCUGAAGACUAAUGUAAAACCUUAUGUUGAUAUUUUUUGAGGGUGAAACAUCAUUUGAGAAACGUUUUGGGCCUCAUUACAAUUUUUUUCAUUUAUUUUUUAAGUUUCGGCUUAAAUAUUCUACAAAAUACAUUUUUGGAUUUAAUAACAGGUAAAACCACUUUCAAAUAUCUUGUUAAGUUUUUCUUAACGUCACAGAAUUUUUUUUACGAAAUUGAAACAUUUGCAUUUUUCACAAAAAAUGUGUUUUCUCAGUUUUGUAAAUUUGUAUAAAAAUCUUCAUUAAGUCCAUUUCUUUUCACAUUCACCUUACCAUGAGGCACUUAAAAUUAAUUUAUAACUUUCCAUCGAUACUUGAGUAUAGACCCUUGUUAAGGCAAAGAAUUGGACUUCACUACAAUUUUUUUAUUUUUUAUUUUUUUUAGGUUUUGGCUGAAAUAUUCUAUUAAAACUAAAUUUGUGGCUCAAUAAUUGGUCAAACUCCUUCCAAACGCUUUAUAACUUUAUAAAUAUAUUGACCUAAUGCUAACGAAAAAUAUUUUGUGAAGAUUAAGGAUUGGGAUUUCUCACAAAAAAUGUGGUUGCUCACUAUUUUUCCUUAGUUUUGCAAAUUUGUGCACAAAUCAUCAGUCAAUCUAUUAGUUUUCAUCUUUGCCUCAGUGUGAUGUUUCUAAAAUUAAUGUAAGAGUUUUUGUUCAUAGUCUUGAGUAUAUACCCCGUUUAGGCAAUGUUGGAUCGCACCACUGUUUUUUUUAUAUUAUUUUUUGGGUUUGGAUUAACGUAUUCUAUUAGAAAUACAUUUAUGGCUCAAUAAUUUGUAGACCACUUUCAGAUGCCCUAUAAAGAUUUUCUUAAUGCUCUUGAAAAAUAGAAAAUUUGUAUUUUUCACACACAAAAACAUGGGCUAACACUAACGAUUUUUAGGUGAUUUUGCAAAUUCGUACAAAAAUAUUAUCAAAUCUUAAGCCUUUAUAAUUCUUGUUCUAAAUGGACUGUCUGUCAAUCGUACAAGAUUAUAAUCACAUGAUAAACACACUGAUGGGUGUGUAAUUUCCUACAAUAUCUUCAAAGUGCGAUUAAAAUGAGCGAUUGUCGACUUUCAUAAAGUAGUAUGGGUAUCGGUCUUUUGUUAUUGCAAACUUUUAUAACUCUUGUACUAACAAUUUGUACAAGUAUAAAUGGAUUAACAGACUAACAGUUUGGAUAUAAAUGAAGACUAAAUGAGGGACUUGAUUCUCAACUUGCACAGUACACAGGUAUGAAGUCUUUUGUUAUAAUUAUAGACUUAAUGUCUAGUUCAUUAAGGUAUUGGUCUCUAAAAGAACUGGAUUUAGAGAACGAAAGUGCAAUCAAAUGAGAAAUAUAUUAGUCUUUCAAAAACACAUGGCUGCAGAUGUGUAGUCGUCUUUUAUUUAUUUAUUUAUUUGAACAAACAAUUGUAUCUACACUAAGGGAUAGAAGAGUGGGCUAAACCUUAGAAUGGGCUUACAACAAUAAUGUGGUUCAACUUCACCUUUGACGAUAAUUGAAUCUAAAACCAUUCACUUAGAAAUAAAGAGGUAUACCACCACACCGUAGUAUUAAGUAACAUGACAGCAUACAGCUAUAGGUGUGGAGUCUUUGUUAGCAUUAAAAGUUUUGUAACAAGUAAUUGACUUGGUGUCAUAAGGCCUACAUCUAGAUGACUCGGUUUUAAAAACUAAUGUAAGAGUUUCUGUUGAUAUUUCUUGAGGGUGAAACACCGUUUGAGAAACGUUUUGGGCCUCAUUACAUUUUUUCACUUAUUUUUUAGGUUUCGGCUUAAAUAUUCUACUAUAAAUACAUAUGUGGCUCAACUAUUGGUAAACCCACUUCCAAAUGUCUUGUAAAGAUUUUCUUAAUGUCACGAUAAAUAUUUUACGAGAGUUAACACUCAUUGUAUUUUAUUGGUUUUGCAAAUUCUUAUGAAAAUCAUCAUUUAGUCCAUUUGUUUUCACAUUCGCCUUACUGUGAGGUACUUAAAAUUAAUGAAUAACUUUCCCACAUUAAGGCAAGGAUUUGGGCCUCACUACAAUAUUUUUUUUUUUUCAUUUAGAAUUUUUAGGUUUCGAGUUAAAUAUACCAUUAAAACUAAAUCUGUGGCUCAAUAAAUUGUAGAAACUUGUCCAAAUGCAUUACAAAUAUAAAACUUUCGAAAUGCAUUACAAAUAUUCUCUUAAUGCUAACAGAAAAUAUUUUGGGAAGAUAAAAGAUCUGCAUUUCUCAAUAAAAUGUGGUUGCUCACUGUUUUUAGUCGGUUUUGCAAAUUCAUAUAAAAUCUUUAUUAAAUCUAUUUGCUUUCACCUUCGCCUCACAAUGAUGUUUCUAAAAUUAAUGUAAGACUUUUUUAUGAUACUCUUGAAUAUAGACCCCGUUUAGGCAAUGUUCGGCCUCACUGCUAUUUUUUUACUUAUUUUUUGGGUUUUGGUUUAAAUAUUCUAUUAUAAAUACAUUUGUGACUCAAAAAUUAGUAGAACCACUUUGAGAUGCCCUAUAAAGAUUUUCUUAAUUCGCACAAAAAAAAUAGAAAAUUUGCAAACAUAAAAGACGUUGGUCAUGAUUUUAGGCGAUUUUGCAAAUUCGUACAAGAAUCAUUAUUAAAUAUAUUUUUUUCAACCUUAUCCUCACCAGAAGGCUUUAAAAUUACUGUAAUAAUUUCGGUUAAUAUUUCUUGAGAUGAAACCCCAUUUUAGCAAUGUUUUAUGCCCAACUAAUAUGUUUUCAGUUAAUUUUAGGUUUCAACUUAAAUAAUCUAUUAGAAAUGCAUUUGUGGCUCUAUAAUUGGUAGAACAACUUUAAAAUGUCUUAUAAAUAUUUAAUUAAUGUUCAGUAAAAUAUUUUGGGAAAAUAUAAAAUUGCAUUUUAGACAAAAAAAAAAAAGCCACGAUUUUUAUACGGUUUUGAAAAUUUGAACAUUGAUAUUUUUACAUUAAGGGGAGGGUGAGUUUGGCUAAGCCACACAAAUGGCAACCUAAUUUGGUAUCAAAUUCGCCAUCCACGAGAUUCAAACCUAAGACCUCCUAUUUCCAAGUGGAGAGGAAUACCACCAGAUCGUAGUACUGAGUGGCAAAAAAUCAUCAAUAAAUCUACUUGUUUCACCUUCACCUUUCCUUGAUGUUUUAAAACUAAUGUAAGGCUUUACGUUAAUAUUCUUGAGUUCAAGGCCGAAUUUAUGCAAUGUUUUGGGCCUUACUACAACAGCAACACACAACAACAACCAAGCCUUGUGCCAUUAAGUGGGGUCUACUGUACACCACAAUGAUCGUGUUUGCACCAAAUCUUUCGCUAGCUAGAAAUACUGCAUAUAAUUUGCUAGUCUGUUUCCAAGUCUUCCUAACUUUUCCUCCACCCCUUUUGCCUUGAGCCUCUAUCUCAUAGUCGCCUAUUCUACCAUAGCAUUUGUAGAUAUUUGGUUCAUGUACCCAAACCAUCUCAACCAAUUUUCUUUCAUCUUAUCUUCAAUGGAGACCCCUCCCACUUUACCUGUCAUGCUCCGAUCCCGACAUUCUUCCAGGAUUGACAUGUGACGUCACCCAUAACAUGUAUAUAUAACAUACCCCGCCUCCCAGAUAUGUACAAGGCACAACUCAUAGUCCAACUGCGUAGUAGUUUUUCGUACACUUUAUGGCUGCAUCUAACCUCCUCGUUAGACUGCCUACGUACCUUAAACAGGGAUCAAGCCAUUCAUAGUUCGUCUUUCACUACACUCAAACAAUCAUCACGAGGAACAUUCGACAAAGCACAAUAAUAUUCUCUAGUCAUCUUGCCAUUCAUAUACACAUAUGCUUCCAAACACCAUUCAAUAAUCACAACAAUCAACAACACAUACAAUAAAUAGAAAUGCAGGGUUAGAGCCACAUAGUUUGGCCGAGGCCUACAUCUCUGAAGCUGAAAUCAAAUCCAGGUAACAAACAAGUCAAAUGAUGCAAUUUCGGACCACUCAACGAAAUCCAUUAACAUCGGGUUCAGAACCACUCUGCGAAAUCGCAGAGUAUAAGGGAUUCUGAACCUCUCAACGACAUAAUAGUGGAUACGAUCCUGAACCAUCAUUUAAUGGAAUCGUGGAUUAGAAGGGAUUUCAGACCAUCACUUAAUGGAAUUGAAAUGGAUAUGAUUCCGAACCAUCAUACAAUGGAAUUACGGAUUAGAAGGGAUUCCGAACCAUCACUCAACGGAAUCCAAGUGGAUACGAUUCCAGACCAUCACUCAAAGGAAUCAUGGGUUAGAAGGGAUUCUGGACCAUCACUCAAUGGAACCCCAGCGGAAACCCAGUUCCGGAUUACUCAAUGGAACUGAGCGGAAGUCCAAGGAAUAUAGCAAUGGCUUGAAGAAACAAUACAAGAACCAAUUACUCAAUUUGGAAGGGCUGAACAAAACAAAAGUGAAAUAAGGAAACAAGAUGGGAAACAAGUUCGGUGUCGAUCCAACGGUCAAAUCGUCAAUUCAUAUAAUAACCAAGUGGCGGCCGACUAGGCGGUCAACUAUGACACUAUAUUAAAAUAUCAAGAUUUCACUAAUGGAUGUCAUAUACGGAAUCAGGGUAUCAAAUUUAGCCUAGGAUGGUCAGGUGGGGUCUCGGCCCACACGCCGAUGCACGUGGUGGCCAGCCGCGCCCGACCCGCCGAAAAAUUCAACUAUUUCAAAAAAAAAUACUAAAUAUUAUAGGCAUGUAGAUCUCAAUGAGGGAAGUAAUUUUCAUAACUGAGCUAAAGUCCAAUUCCGAUGGAAAGUGCUCGGAAUUUCCCUCGAUCCACCGAAACACUAGAAUUUGGGUGUCCUCGAUUCGACCUCCAUAGUAGCUUCGAUGCCUCCUCCACUGCUUAGGAUUUGUUCCUAAGGUUGUGGGGAGCCUUAUGGUGGUGGUGCUUGACGAAGUUACCUUCGGAUAGGAUAGAUCGCCACCACGAACCUUGUCGCACCCAUUGUGCGGGUUUAACAAUUUUAAGGUCAAAUUCCAUUUAUUUUGGGGUGGAAUGGAUAGAGGGGAGGCCAUGGAGUGUUUCCCCAGGAGGUUGUUUGACCUGGUUCGCCCAAAAAACUGAUGAAAAGCCGUUAGAAAUGGCUACCUGAACUGGGUUGGGUCACGCAGGAAAAUGGGUCAAAGAGGGGAUCUGAUUCCCCCAUUCUUUCCUCCCUCCUUUCCCCUUCUUGCUCUCUUCCCCCAUUGGUCACUCCCCCUCCUUUUCUUUCCUGCAACCUCAACUUCCUCUCUCUUGCUGUCAUCUGGCAGCUUCUAAUUUUUUUAUUUUUUUCAGAAACUUCUAACGUUUCCUUUCUCGUCCCGAUUCACGAACAGCCUUCACCUAUGCGCUCGUGGGGUCGAGCUCAAUUAGAAAACAUUAAGCGUGACCUCCAAAGGUCUACAGAUUUUAAAUGAUUAUUUUCAAAAAUUCAAACUUUGUAAUUAAUAAUUAAAAUAUAAAAUUAAUUUAAAUUCACGAAAAUACUAUAAAAUCCUGCGAAUACAAAAUACGUAAAUUACAAUAGUGAAAUCUAAUAGCGGAAUUUCACAUUACCUUGGAUGUCCUCGUUGUUAAUCCAAUCAUUUUGACACCCCGACCCCAAUAACACAAGUUACGAGGUCGAGAUAUCUUGGCCGUCACUAAAUUGACCAUAUGGCCCCAUUGAGGGAUGACUUCACAAGCCAAAUUAAUAACGAAGCCAUAGUAAGAUGAGUGCGAGUAAGAUGAGUGCGAUAUUAGUGAAUUUGAAUUCAACACAUUCAUUAAUAAUAAAUCGAGGUUGCUGCAAAAUUUCCUAAUCAAUCUCCCUACUUGGGAAAUAUAUUCAGGGUUUAGAUCCCAUUAUUAUCACAUCAUCAGAGCUGUCACGCCCCGAUCCCGACAUACGUCCAAGAUCAAUACGUGACGUCCCUAAAUGCCCGUAACUCAACAUACCCCGCCUUUUGGAUAUGUACAAAUUAUAAUUCAAGAUCCAGAUGCAUAAUAAUUUUACGUAUACUUUAUGGCUGCAUCUAACAUCUUCGUUAGACUACCUACGUACUCUCAAUAGAAAUCAAGCCAUUCGUAGUUCCACUAUCGUCAACUCUAAUCUUUCCAUAAAAUACUUCUAACAAAAAAUCAUAAGCACCAUAUUACACAUCAACCUUACGUCAACAACAAUUAUCAUCUUUCAUACACGCAUGUAAUGUAACCCAUUCUCACACAGAUACUUUCCAAUUCAUCCAUCAUAUAGAUCACUCUGUUUCACAUAAUACCGCAAAUCAUAGUAUGUAACAUAUCAAAUAACCAACAAAGCACAAUGUUAUUCUCAAGUCACAUUAAUCAAUUACUCUAAUCAUAAUAAUCUCAAUCAUACCCAACGUCAUUCCACAAUCACUUCAAUUAAUUAAUCAUGAAUCAAAGAUACAUGAUCUUAGCAUUUAAUUGUUUAAUCAAUGAAUACAGUAACAUAUCAUUUCACAAAUUUAACCAAGGAACUCUAUCAACUCCGAAAGAGUUACCCAUACAUCCAACGGAUCAUUUGGAACAAAUCACAACAGCUCAUAAUCAUAAUCUCAUACAACACCAUGAAAAGUAAGGCUAGAGCGACAUAGUUCAGCCGAAGCCUACAUCUCUAAAGCUAUCUCGAUCCAAACUCAAUAAAACCCAAGGUGAACACAAUCCCGAACCAUCUCUCAACAGAAUCACGAAGUAUGAAGGAUUCCGAACCAGCUCUUAACGAAAUCCAAGUGGAUACGAUUUCGGACUAUCACUCAACGAAAUCGCGGAGCACACUGCAUAACCACCACUAAGUGAAACCCAAGUUAGAUAUGAUUCUGGAACAUCACUUAAUGGAAUUGUGGAGUAGAAGGGAUUCCAGACCAUCACUCAACGAAAUCGGGGAGUACAAGGGAUUCCGGACCAUCACAACGAAAUCCAAACCAGGAUACAAUUCAAGAUCACCACUCAACGGAAUCGCGGAGUAGAAUGUGUAACACCAAUCAAUAAAACAAGACAUGGAUCAAGUUACUCAAUGUACAAAGACUCAACGGAAUGAGGAUGAAUAAUGGCACGUGGGUUGAAACAUGUUUCGAAGGCAACCAACCCCAAAACAAUGGUUAAUGGUCCACUUUUAGCCCUCACAUUUCAUCACCUCAAUCCAAUCAUACAAUACAAACCAUAUUUCCAAUGCACAAGUCAAAUCAUACAUAAUGAAAAGAGAUCAAUGACCAAAAAUAAAAUAACACUUCAAUAGAAUUCACAUUUAAUUAACAUGGGUCUAUGGCAUAUAUAUAUAUAUAUAUAACAUGAGCCAAAGAAAUCAUUUUUCUGCAGCUUACGUAACAGCCCAUUUCCAAUUCAUAUAACAAAUCUCAAAAUACUUCCAGGUAGCCUAGAAGCAUGUAUACAACAUCCAAAACUAACAUGACUCAAAAUUAACAAGAAAUUGACCUUUUGAACCAAACCCUUGAUCAAGAAAUUUGAUCUACACACCCAAUCUGAAAUACCCAACUCUAAUUCAUGUUAGACUAGUUCAUUGAAUGAUAGAAACCCUAAAUAGAAUUAAGAACUCCAAUAUAUCAUGGCAGUUUCAAUUCAACUUAAGAAAGUUAAAUUUGAAAAUCAAGAUAAUGAAGUAACAAGGAAUUUUACCCUUUAAAUGUCUGAAUCCUUCCUUCACAAUCACGUUCUCUAUCUCCUCUCUCUCCGAUUUUUGCUUGAAGAAAGAAGGAUUUUCUUCCAACAGCAAUGGAAGAGCCACCUCCUCUCUGUUUCUUUUUCUUUCCUCGCAAAGCCAGGAAGAAUGUGGAAGAACGUUCUUUUCCCCCUUUUCUUUCGCAACUCCCUUUUUCCUUCUCUCCUCCCUCCCUGUUUCUUUUCCUUCUUCCCCCCGUUGGUCCCUCAUUUUCCUCCUCUGUUUCUUUUUUUUUUCCCCUCUUUUUCUCGCCAUUCUCGUGGCUUUCCUAUUUCUUGUCUCCUUCAGCCACUCCCGUGGCUUUUUCUUCUCAUUUUUUUUUUUGCAACAACUUCAAACGUCCGUAACUAUACUGUUAUAAUCCGAACUCGCAAACGGCUUUCGCCUAUGCGUUCAUGAUCUCGAUAUCUAUUCAACAAUAUAAAUUGUGACCUCGAAUGGUCUACGGAUUUUAAAUAAUUAAUUUCCCGAAAAAUAAUAUAAAAUCUCUAUAAUACCAAUACGUAGAUUAUAAUAAUGAAAUCCAGGAACGGGAUUUCACAAGAGCAGCUAGAAGUUUCAAGAAACACAUAAAAAUGUAGUGCUAUGCAUAAUCAAGAGUGCGAUCAUGCAAAAAUUACUGACAAAAUAAAUAUGCAAUAGAGGAAUCAUUACCCAAAAUCCAAAAAAUGAUACCUCACUGCCAAGUCCACUUGCCAUCACUGAGGUUCUCCUGAUUCUCGCUAUGUCCUAAGGGGUUGAUAAACAAAGUAUGAGUGGAUCAAGUUCUAUCUCGUCAAAAUCAAUCGAAUAACCUCCAUUUUGAAAUAUGCUAUUGUAAAAUUAUCAAAGAUACGGGCUUAGGGCCCACAUCCAACAAUAUCGAUAUAGUCCCAACUUGGUAAUUACUACCCUUACAAUCCGUCAGGUGUGAGGUUUUAUCACAAAAAGCCUUGGUGUUAGAUGGGGUGAGGAUAGGAUAUUUAAACUCCUCUGUACUUAGAGAUAUAGUUGAUGUGAGAUAUUUUAACACCUAUAUAUAUUUAUAUAGUAAAAACUACAUACAUAAUAAUACUACCAUAAUAGUGGUCACAAUCAAUUCAUCUCGCACGUCAUAUCAAAGAAAGUAAGUCAUUCAUAAAAUCAAAGUAAUAGAAUAUGAUUUUAUCAAUAUCGUAGAUGAUUCUUAUAAUCAAGUAUACACACGUUGGUGCGACUUCGAUUCCAAUGAUCUCUCCCUUUUAACAACUAACUAUAUUUAUUUCAUAAACGCUAUAAUUUGUAUUUAUGAAAAAAUGAUUUAAUCAUAUUAAUUCUGCAUAGUCCCGUCAAGUUGGAUAGUAAAUGUCAUAAAUAAGGCUUUUUAGUCAAAAUGAAGUCCUUGAGAUUUGCCUAACUCAUCACCUUGGUCCUUGAGAUUCAAAAUCAAUAGAAGUGGUCCUUGAGAUAGUCCACCACCAAUCAUUAUGGUCCUUCGGUGAAAAAUUGUGUUAAAUAAGAAUGAAAAUGAUAAAAUUACCCUCAAUGUAAUAAACAAUAGGCCAACAUGAUUUGACAAAAUUUGAGGGUAUUUUUGUCAUUUUAUCCUUAUUUUAUGGAGUUUUUUCACGGAAUAACGAAAAUGAUUGAUUGUGGACAAACUCAAGGAUUAAUUCUAUCGAUUUCAAAUCUCAGGGACCAAAACGAGGAGUUAUGCAAAUCUCAAGAACCAUUUUAACUAAAAAAUUAUUAUUCCUAAUAUCCUAAGAGUGUUGCUACUCCCACCCCGAUGUCUUAUUUCUCCACCCACUCUAAAUUAAAUAUUUUGUUUACAAAUUUAUCCUCUUGCAAAAUGGCUUUGAAGGACCUAAACAAAAAAGGAUUUUGACAAAGUAAGACCCAAAAAAAUUCAAUUUGAAUAUAUAUAAAAAAAAAGUUUAGAAAAAAAAUUCAAUUUGCUUGCUGUGAAUGUGAUGCUUAGUUCAAACCUGCUAUCCUAUUUAUAAGAAAUUAAGCACAAGCUAUCUCAAGUUAUGGACUUUAAUUAAUAUUAAUUUCGACAUAUCAGUUUCCCAUCCCUUUCACUGAUAUGAACAUGGCUGAUCUCAUUGGUGUGGCGCAAUAUUUGUUAAAUUAGCCGUUCGGGUUGAUUUCUUUGUAUAACUCUUCUGCCAAUUCUGCAACUUGUAGACUUAAUUCCCAUUACAAAAUUUUAAAAAAAAAAAUCCAAAAUUAAUGUAAGAUAAAUAAAGACUUUUUAUAUCAUAAAAUAAGACUUUCUAACUUGUAUACAAGACUAUAGUGACAAGAUCAAACACAUUGAUGGGUGCGUAUUUUCCAUCAACAUCUGUUUUGUGCGUUUAAAUUGAGCGUGGAGUCUUUUUUAGCAUUUAAAAGUUUUUUAUCAUGUAAUUGACUUGGUUUGAUAAGACCUACAUCUAGAUGACUUGGAUCUGAAGACUAAUGUAAAACCUGCUAUCCUAUUUAUAAGAAAUUAAGCACAAGCUAGCUCAAGUUAUGGUCUUUAAUUAAUAUUACUUUCGACAAAUUAGCUUCCCAUCCUUUCAUUGAUAUGAACUUGGCUGAUCUCAUUGGUGUGGCGAAAUAUUUGUUAAAUUAGCUGAUCGGGUUGAUUUCUUUGUAUAACUGUUCUGCCAAUUCUGCAACUUGUAGAUGUAAUUCCCAUUACAAAAUAAAAAAAAUAAAAUCCAAAACUCAUAUACGAUAAAUAAAGACUUUUUAUAUCUUAAAAUAAGACUUUCUAACUUGUAUCAAGACUAUAGUGACAGGAUCGAACACAUUAUGGGUGCGCAUUUUCCAUCAACAUCUGUUCUGUGCGUGUAAACUGAGCGUGGGGUCUUUUUUAGCAAUUAAAAGUUUUGUAUCAUGCAAUUGACUUGGUUUGAUAAGACCUACAUAUAGAUGACUUGGUUCUGAAGACUAAUGUAAAACCUUUUGUUGAUAUUUCUUGAGGGUGAAACAUUGUUUGAGAAACGUUUUGGCCCUCAUUACAAUUUUUUUCAUUUAUUUUUUAAGUUUCGGCUUAAAUAUUCCGCUAUAAAUACAUUUGUGGAUUUAAUAACAGGUAAAACCACUUCCAAAUAUCUUGUGAAGUUUUUCUUAAUGUCACCGAAAUUGUUUAAGGAAAAUGAAACAUUUGCAUUUUUUCACAAAAAUUGUGGUUUCUCAGUUUUGUAAAUUUGUAUAAAAUUCUUCAUUAAGUCCAUUGGUUUUCACAUUCGCCUUACCAUUGGGCUUCACUACAAUUUUAUUAUUUUAUUUAUUUUUUAGGUUGUGGCAGAAAUAUUCUAUUAAUUAAAUUUGUGGCUCAAUAAUUGGUAAAACUCUUUCCAAAUGCUUUAUAAAUAUAUUGUCCUAAUGCUAACGAAAAAUAUUUUGUGAAGAUUAAGGAUUUGGAUUUCUCACAAAAAAUGUGGUUGCUCACUAUUUUUCUUUAGUUUUGCAAAUUCGUACAUAAAUAAUCAUUGAAUAUAUUAGUUUCUUGAUAUUCUUGAGUAUAUACCCCGUUUAGGCAAUGUUGGACCUCACUAUUGUUUGUUUUUAUUAUUUUUUGGGUAUGGGUUUAAGUAUUCAUUAGAAAUACAUUUGUGGCUCAAUAAUUGGCAGACCACUUUUAGAUGCCCUAUAAAGAUUUUCUUAAUGCUCUAGAAAAAUAGAAAAUUUGCAUUUUUCACAUAGAAAAAUGUGGGCUAACAAUCACGAUUUUUAGGCGAUUUUGCAAAUUCGUACAAAAAUAUUAUCAAAUCUUAAGCCUUUAUAACUCUUGUUCUAAAUGAACUGUUUGUCAAUUGUACAAGAUUAUAAUUACAUGAUAAACACACUGAUGGGUGUGUAAUUUCCUGCAAUAUCUUCAAAGUGCGAUUAAAAUGAGCGAAUGUCGACUUUCAUAAAGUAGUAUGGGUAUAGGUCUUUUAAUAGUGCAAGCUUUUAUAACUCUUGUACUAACCAUUUGUACAUGUUUAUAAAUGGAUUAACAGACUAACAGUUUGGGUAUAAAUGAAGACUAAAUGAGGGACUUGAUUCUCAACUUGCACAGUACAUAGGUGUGAAGUCUUUUGGUAUAAUUAUAGACUUAAUGUCUAGUUCAUUAAGGUAUUGGUCUCUAAAAGAACUGGAUUUAGAGAACGAAAGUGCAAUCAAAUGAGAAAUAUAUUAGUCUUUCACAAAGCACAUGGCAGCAGAUGUGGAGUCGUUUUUAUUUAUUUAUUUAUUUAAACAAACGAUUGUAUCUACACUAAGGGGUAGAAGAGUGGGCUAAAUCUUAGAAUGGGCUUACAAUAAUAAAGUGGUUUAACUUCACCUUUGCCGAUAAUCGAAUCUAAAACAUUUCACUUACAAAUGAAGAGGUAUACCACUAGACCGUAGUACUAAGUAGCAUGCCAGCAUACGGCUAUAGGCGUGGAGUCUUUGUUAGCAAUUAAAAGUUUUGUAACAAGUAAUUGACUUGGUGUCAUAAGGCCUACAUCUAGAUGACUCGGUUUUUAAAACUAAUGUAAGAGUUUCUGUUGAUAUUUCUUGAGGGUGAAACACCGUCUGAGAAACAUUUUGGGCCUCAUUACAAUUUUUUUUUCACUUAUUUUUUAGGUUUCGGCUUAAAUAUUCUACUAUAAAUACAUAUGUGGCUCAACAAUUGGUAAAACCACUUCCAAAUGUCUUGUAAAGAUUUUUUUAAUGUCACGAAAAAUAUUUUAUGAGAGUUAACACUCAUUGUAUUUUGUUGGUUUUGCAAAUUCUGAUGAAAAUCAUCAUUUAGUCCAUUUGUUUUCACAUUCGCCAUACUGUAAGGUACUUAAAAUUAAUGAAUAACUUUUCCACGUUAAGGCAAAGAUUUGCGCCUCACUACAAAUUUUUUUUUCAUUUAGAAUUUUUAGGUUUCGAGUUAAAUAUACCAUUAAAACUAAAUUUGUGGCUCAAUAAAUUGUAGAAACCUUUCCAAAUGCAUUACAAAUAUUCUCUUAAUGCUAACUGAAAAUAUUUUGGGUGUUGCAGUCCUAUUAGAUUAGGAAUACGAUUGUGUAAAUCCUAGUAUAUCUUGGAAUAUCUCUUAUAUACCUAUUAGGAGUAGAUUACCUAUUAAAUGUUGUAAUCCUAAAGGGUAAGGAAUUAACCUUCUUACUAUUAUAAAUAAAGGCACAAUGAGGUGAAAUAACACACACCCAUAAUUACACAUCUCUCUCUUCUUCUUCUCUAUUGCCGUACCUUUCUCUCUCUCUAUGGCCUCCAUAAUUGUUCAGCAAAUUAUACCUACAACACGUUAUCAGCACGCUUUGACGCUGCUCUAAAGAGAGUUUAUUCUUAAAUCAGGAGAGUAUUGCGUUUUAAUCAUUCUUUUUGUGAUUAAUUUAUUAUUUUAUUGAAUUGAUCUACAUGCUAUUGAUUCAUCUUUCUUUGUUGAACGUGAUACAAUGCAUUAGAGAUGCAAUUCCAGCUUUCCAAGAAUGAACUUCUACAAAUUCAAAGGCUUUUAUUGUUUUCUGCCAAUCAGAUAAGCUUAAAAUGAAGGAAGAUAUUUGAAAUGACCUUGAAGCAUGAAAACAUUCCCCAUGACGCAUGAACCCCCUAUGUUUAUAUUUUGCUUCCGAUCUAUAUAUUGUAUAUGUUCAUAUAUUUGUCAAUAUAUAUAUAUAUGUAUAUAUAUAUAUUUGUUACAUGCUUAUGCAAUUAAAUUGCUAUGUGGAAUUGUGAGUCAAAGCAUAUAAAUAAAUUAGAAGCAUAUUAGGGUUUUUCAAACCCUACAUAUCGAAAAAAAUUCUUUAGGAAAAACACUAAGCCAAUGUACCAAGCCAGCAGCUUGUCAGCGUCACCAAUGACUUCAAUCUGACAUCUAUCUAACAUUAGCAGCCUCUGUUUGUGCUUGAGAACCAAGCCUGGACCUGGGUUUCCUUCUGAUGGCCUAUAACUCUUGGCCCACCAACUAGCAUGCUUAUACUUGCGGGGCUAGUUCUGCAUCGAAGCUAAAGCCUAAACGUGUUGGGCUUCAUCGUGAAACCCCAACAGCGCAAAGCUACAGGGCUCUUUCUAACACAGCUCGUGUCCCAAAAAUUACAAGCCUGUAGCUUGCUUUGCAAGAUGGGCUGCACAUCUGCUUUUCCUCUGCCCACUAUCAACCAAAAUGUGUUGCUUUCUCUCAGCCUGCUGCCACAUGCACCUAUGACCCAAGCUAAAAAAGCCUGUAAUUUUUGCAGGACCGUGUAUUGUAGCCAACCAAAGUGUGUUGGGCUGCAUUCGUUUUUCGACCCAAUGCUAAUUUUUGGCAUUCUAAAUAAUUUUAACCCGAAUGUUAUAAUUAUUUUUGCUUCUACAAUUGACCCCGAAUGGUCUUGAUAUAUUGAAUUAAUUAAAAGUGACAUGCAGUCCAUUAAUCUGAUAAUUAAUCCAAAAUUAUUGGACUAAAUCCCACUUUUGGACAUUAACGAUUCAAUAAUUUAUUUCUUUUCUUUGAACCGUUGACUCACUUUCGUAGUCCCGAAGCACUCACACUUGAGUUCCCGAAAAAACUCAAAUCCACUACACGUAGUUGUAUAUUGCAUUUUGUGUUUCUUGCAGGAACCUCUCUUUUAUGAACUAAAUGUUCAUAAACUUAAUUGAACCUGUACUUUCAAAAUUAGUGCCUUUGAAACCCGAAGUUUUCAUAAAACAAUACACCCAUGAAAACUUGAUCUUUUUCAUGAAAACUAUGUCUUAGAACUCGAAUGUUCUCACUUUGAUGCUUAUGGAUGAUUAUUUCCCAUAGUAACAAUCACACUUGUUCCCUCCAAUUCAGUGGAUUGUCGAACCGUCACAAGUUUGAUUUUCCUGAUUUGGACGUUUCUAAUAAAAACCACUUUAUGUGAGGUAUAAGACGUGAAUCUUCACUUGACUAUCAAGAAGCUGAGAAACCAUUAAAGCCAACAAUGGCAUGGAAGAGCUGAAUAAGCCUCCACCAUGAUCUUCAUUCGAAGACUUAUGCUCAAAGCAUUACAAAUGGAAAUACCUCCCGAUCAAGGAUUCCAUUGCUUUUUGGCUCGUUUCUACGGACUGUCUAAUCAUGAAAGACAUUGCCUAAAGCACACCAUGACUACGUCCAUGAAUGAGUACAAUUCUGAAGUUUAUAAAUCUGAUUGAAUUUUGACUGGAGAAUACUUUUCUCAUCCUUUCUUGUUUCUAACUCGCCUAUGAAGUAGCAGUGUAAAUAGCGGAAGUUUACCAAAUUCUCGGAUUUGAUUACUACCACAAAUGUGAGAGAAAUGUAUGGACCCAAUUCGGCUGGAGUCUACCGAAUAGCUCAACCCAGUUCGAUCAAAGCCUACCGAAUGGUGAUCCACUGCUUCGGCAGGGAUACACCGAAUGGCAUAUUCUCUCACAAUCCAAUUUCGAGUUUGUUUUUACAACAUAUGGUAGAAUCAGGGCUGGCCAAGGUGUGGCAUCAUGCCCGAAGCAUGAUCCUUGGUACCUAAGACCUAAAACUUCAAGAACAAGGGAAAAUAUUCCUGAACCUUAACCCUGCAGAAUCUAUUUCAGUCUCGAUGGAAUAGACCAUUGGUUAUGCACAUGUUCGUGCCCCUACCAAUGUUGUUAAGGAGUACCAUUCUAGUAGUCAAUACGUGAGACUAAUUUUGCUCCACCAAACACCAUUGGAAGAGCAGAAUUUUGACAUGGAUAGCCUUGUUGGCUGAAUCCCCUUAGUAAACCAUUGAAUUUGCGAACAUUUUUCCAUGUUCUUGGAUUCAUGUUUAGUGUAUGUUUUGCUUAUGGAUAAUCUUAUUGAUGUUGUCCUCGAAUAUGAGUUAAUUGAAUCAUGUUUCUUAAUACAUGUGACCGAUUCAAUUAAACAUGUGAUUGGUAGGAAUGUGGGAAAGUUAGUUGUCUGGAUGAAUACGUACUACGCACACUAACCAUUCAGGUCUAUCCAACUUGAUUAAGAGCAUUUGGCACACUCCUUGUUGUAUGAAUGGUACUGAAUCACCAUUUAGGGGACCUUAAAUUCUCCCUGACGUUUAGUUUUUAAGCAUAUUCAAGUUGACAAUGAUCAUAAAUGAAACCACUGAAGCAAUAAGAGUGAAAUAUCUUUGCAACACCUCCAAACAUGAGCUUUAAGCUUUGAUUUGGGGCCAAUAAGUAGUCUCCCAAUUGGGAACACACCACAUGUGGACGGCUUAGAGCUGGGUGAUUGAGCAGUUUAAUUGUUUUGGCACGACCUUUUAGGACACUUAGGUCGAACAAUGAUGCUACGACGCAUCUCCUUAUCUGAAGUAAGGAUCUUAUGCCUACAAGCACACUUUGCGAAGCCUACUCAUUAGGGAAAUUGAUGUUUUUUAUAUUAUUCCUUGCAAAGAUACGAAAUCACCCUUUUUCAUAAGUGGAUUCAAGGGAAUAUAUGUGGACUAAUCCAACCAAAAUGAAGACCAUAUAAAUACUUAUGAUUUUGGUUGAUGAAUCGACAAACUGGUCACAUGUUUGUCCAUAAACAUUGCUGCUAAACCUCUUGGCCGAUUAAGGGCUCACCACCCUACUUAUUAUCCCUUAAGGUUUGAGAGACUGGAUAAUGCCGAAGAGUUUAUAUCAAUGGUUUUCGAUAAAGUAUUGCAUGUCGUUUUGGGUUUAUAAUUGAAUAUUGAAUUCCCAUGUUCAUCCCAAAUAGCCUCGCCUAGCGAUCAUAAAGCGCAAUUUGAAUGAUUGCCCGAAUUUUGGUACACAUACCAAGUCUUUAGUUUCUGCCUAGGGCUAUGUAAUCUUGUACGCAAUUAUUUUGGUCUGCCUUGAGGCCCAUUGCCACCCAACCUAUAUGACGUUAUAGUUGGUUACUGGGUACGAACCUGACUAUUUUCGUAUUAACGCAUUUGGGUAUGCAUUCUCUGUGCUAAGUUGCGCCGCCGUAACAUACCACCAUAUGUCGUCAAAGAAGGAUGUGUAUCUUUUGUCGAUCAUGAUUCUCCUACACACUAGCUCUCUUCGAGCCCUUGCACACGAUCUCUUUACCGCUCAUUUACGGGUUGUCACUUUAAUGAGACAAUCUUCCCACCAUUAGGGGGAGAUAAGAACGUCAACGUUCCUGGAAAACAACACGAAUUUACGUGGACGUUACCCACUAUGUCUCAUCUCGAUCCCCAUACCACACAAGUGUGAUAAGCAAGUGCGAUGAAUUCUAGCUUUCAGAAUGUUACUCCAGACGUAUUCUCCUGAUCUAACUAAAGUGACAUACCAGCUGUAAACAUGUCUGCAAGGAUAGACAUACUUAACGGACGUCGAGUCAACAUCCCUGGAAGGUGUACCGCCCUUGUUGGACGGUUUGGAUGCCCAUGUUGGAUGGUCCAGUACAUCGGCAGAUAGCCAAUCAAUCUGUCUUGGCCUGGAGCACAAUAGAUCACUCGGUUCGUAGGAUUCACUUCCCUGGAAGAGGAAGACAAGGCACAACAAUGAAUCUAAACUCGAUCAUUAUCUUAAAUAAUUUCCAUCUCAUGAGAUUAAUUCAGAUUUCUCCCGAGACUUAAAGUUCUUGGUCCAGUAUACUAGUUGGGAUGAGCUAAAUGGAAUUGAAAUGAGAUUAUCAUCGAUGAUGCUUUCACUUAUAUGGUAGCUACAGACAUAAAUGAAAAGCGACAAUAUCAAACUGUGUUCCGUUGAUUAAAUGUAGAACUGAGCGGACAACUAAAGUUACAAUCCAAGUCAAAUUCCUUACCAAAGUGUGUAUUGGACAUGUCGUUCCUACACUGCCCAAGGUAAUCCUGUUGUGUUAUAAGUGGGAAAGGAAGCGUUAUGAGAUGAAUGAAAUAGUGCAAUAUGAUGCACGCCUUACGACGCAAGGUUUCUCUCAAACAUCAUGUGAUUAAUAACAGCAUUAUGAAAUGUGGUUAGUGUUUUCUCCAUGGGGAUAUAGAUACAAAGAAUUACGUGUAAGUUCUUGAAGAAUUACAUGGACUGUUUCAAAUGGUUCCAAAACCACAAAACACCCUCUUAACUCGUUUUGAGGCGUUCACUUAUGGAUUGAAAAAUCUGACGGAUGUGGUAUACCCGUCUAAAUGAUUAUUUGAUUAGUCAGGGAUGAAUUAUGCCCUUGCGUGUUAAACUAUGAAGCCUUUUUCCAAAUUGUUAGAGUUACAGUUUAUGUCGUUGACAUGAAUCUCACUAAGACUCCGAAAGAGCUUGAGAAAACUGCUUUGCACCUAAAGAUGGAAUUUGAGAUGAAGGAUCUUGGAAAAACUCGUUAUACCUUAACCCAAAGUUGAAGCAUUGUUCUGACGGUAUUUUUGGUCUACUGGUCAAACUACACUUCGAAUGUGUUACCUUUGAGUAUACCUAUGAUCGUCCAUAAGUUAUAUGAAAAUGAAACCCUUGAAAAGGUUAUGGAAUUAGAAAUUCCAUAUCUAAGUUCAACGUUGUGCUUCGUUGUACUUAGCUCAUUGUAUUUAGACAUGACAUCUCAUUCGUUGUUGAUCUUGGUAAAGAUGCAGCAUCGUGCCUACACGCAACCACUGAAUUGGUAUUAAAGACAUACCCUGAAGGUACCACAUGGGCAAAUCCCAUUGCAUCUUAGCCGAUCUAACCCCUCUGAUCCUUGAAAUGAUGUUUGCUUUGUUUGUUAUGCUGACGCAUGUUACUUAUCAAACUCACUCAAGGCAAAAUCCCCAAAUGGUUAUGUCUUUACCGUUAGGGAUAUCGCAAUAUCUUGGAGGUCCAUGAUAUGACCUUAGUUGUGAAAUCUUCGAAUCGUUCCAAGACUCACCUUACUUCACUGUGUCACAAGUGAGACAUGGUUAGGAGUUCUUGUUGAGCAUAUUCGAAGUACUUGCUAUGUUUUCAUCCAUCGUUGAGUCCUAACGACGAUCCAUGAAGAUUAUGCCGCAUGUAUCAACCCGACCAAGCCAUGAUACAUCAACGAAGUCAACACCAAGACAUAUUGCGUCCACAUCUACAUCAGCAAAGCGUCAGGAGAUUGAAAUCGUGCAAGCCGAUCCCAGACAACUUGUCGACCUCUACACGACGUCACUGCCGAAGUCAACCUUCCAGAAGCUUGUCCAAGGAAUUGGUAUACCUAACUAUUCAUAUGCAAUGCUUGUAGUUCUCAUUUGGAAGUUAUGUCAAACUCCAAGGGAGUAUCCAAAAGUAUACUCAAUCUUAAUGUACUCUUUUUCCCUACGAUUAAGAGCAUUUUUCCCACUGGGUUUUUGCUACCUAACUAGGUUUUAACGAGGCACCCAUCUGGGCUGAUCAUACCCUUGAGAGCUCUUCUACUUGCUUCCAAAUGACGUAUAGUUUUAACUUAAUGCAACUUCUCACUUUUCUCCUUAGUCUGUGGGUUUUUCUCCCACCUUGGGUUUUACCAUAGUGAGGUUUUGUGAGUUUUACUUGUUAUGCAUUCUUCAGUUGUUUUGAGACUCGCAUUCGCUCAUUGUGCCGACGACUUCAUCAAUUGUACUUGCUUCAUCAUUGAUGACCUAUUGCACCAUUUACUUGAGUAUUUACACACUCAAGGGAGAGUGUUGCAAUCCUAUUAUAUCUUGGAAUAUCUCUUAUAUUCCUAUUAGGAGUAGAUUGCCUAUUAAAUGUUGUAAUCCUAAAGGGUAAGGAAUUAACCUUCCUACUACUAUAAAUAAAGGCACAUCUCUCUCUUCUUCUUCUCUAUUGUCGCACCUUUUUUCUGUCUCUAUGGCCUCCAUAAUUGUUCAGUAAAUUAUACCUACAACAUUGGGAAGAUAAAAGAUCUGCAUUUCUCACAAAAACGUGGUUGCUCACUGUUUUUAGUCAGUUUUGCAAAUUCAUAUAAAAAUCUUCAUUAAAUCUAUUAGUUUUCACCUUUGCCUCACAAUGAUGUUUCUAAAAGUAAUGUAAGACUUUUUGUUGAUAUUCAAGAAUAUAGACCUUGUUUAGGCAAUGUUCGGCCUCACUGCUAUUUUUUUACUUACUUUUUGGGUUUUGGUUUAAAUAUUCGAUUAGAAAUACAUUAGUGACUCAAAAAUUAGUAGAACCACUUUCAGAUGCCCUAUAAAGAUUUUCUUAAUGCUCACAAAAAAAAAUAGAAAAUUUGCAAACACAAAAAACGUGGGUCAUGAUUUUAGGUGAUUUUGCAAAUUCAUACAAGAAUCAUUAUUAAAUAUUUUUGUUUCAACCUUAUCCUCACCAUGAUGCUUUUAAAAUUAGUGCAAUAAUUUCGGUUAAUAUUUCUUGAGAGUGAAACCCCAUUUCAGCAAUGUUUUAUGCACAACUAAUAUGUUUUCAGUUAAUUUUUGGGUUUCAGCUUAAAUAAUAUAUGAGAAAUGCAUUUGUGGCUCUAUAAUUGGUAGAACAACUUUCAAAUGCCUUAUAAAUAUUUAAUUAAUGUUCAGUAGAAUAUUUUUUGAAAAUAAAAAAUUGCAUUUUAGACAAGAAAAAAAGUCACGAUUUUUAGACGGUUUUGAAAAGUUGUAUAAUUUUUUUAAUACAUCUAUAUUUUUACGCUAAGGGGAGGGGGAGUUUGGCUAAGCCACACAAAUGGCAGUCUAAUUCGGUCAAAUUCGCCAUCCACGAGAUGUGAACCUAGGACCUCCCACUUCCAAGUGGAGAGGAAUACCACAAGAUCGUAGUACUGAGUGGCAAAAAAUCAUCAAUAAAUCUAAUUGUUUUCACCUUCGCCUUUCCAUGAUGUUUUAAAACUAAUGUAAGGCUUUACAUUAAUAUUCUUGAGUACAAGCCCCAAUUUAUGCAAUGUUUUAGGCCUUACUACGACAGCAACACACAACAACAACCAAGCCUUAUGCCAUUAAGUGGGGUCUACUAUACACCACUAUGAUCGGGUUUGCACCAAAACUUUCGUUAGCUACAAAUACUUCAUAUCAUUUCCUAGUUUUUUUUCCAAGUCUUCCUAACUUUUCCGCCACCCCUUUUGCCUUGAGCCUCUAUCUCAUAGUCGCCUAUUCUACCAUAGCAUUUGUAGAUACUCGGUUCAUGUACCCAAACCAUCUUAACCAAUUUUCUUUCAUCUUAUCUUCAAUGGAGACCACUUCUACUUUACUUGUCAUGCCCCGAUCCCGACAUUCGUCAAGGAUCGGCGCGUGACAUCACCCAUUACAUGUAUAUAUAACAUACCCCGCCUCCGAGAUAUGUACAAAGCACAACUCACAGUCCAACUGCAUAGUAAUUUUUCGUACGCUUUAUGGCUACAUCUAACCUCCUCGUUAGACUGCCUACGUACCUUAAACAGGAAUCAAGCUAUUCGUAGUUCGUCUUUCACUACACUCAAACAAUCAUCACGUAAAUCACUAUGUCGCAACAUAAUACCACAAUUCAGGUAUGCAACAUCUCAAGGAAUAUUCGACGAAGCACAAUAAUAUUCUCUAGUCAUCUUGCCAUUCACACACAUAUGUUUCCAAACACCAUUCAAUAAUCACAGCAAUCAAUAGCAUACACAAUACAUCGAAAUGCAGGGUUAGAGCCACAUAGUUUGGUCGAAGCCUACAUCUCUAAAGCUGAAAUCAAAUCCAAGUAACAAACAAGUCAAAUGAUGCGAUUUCGGAUCACUCAAUGAACUCGCAUAGUAGAAGGGAUUCCAAACCUCUCAAUGGAAUUCGAGUGGAUACGAUCCCGGACCAUCACUUAACAGAAUCGUUGAUUAGAAGGGAUUUUAGACCAUCAUUUAAUGGAAUCCAAGUGGAUACGAUUCCAGACCAUCACUUGACAGAAUUGCAAAUUAAAAGGAAUUCCGAACCAUCACUCAACGGAAUCCAAGUGGAUAUGAUUCCAGGCCAUCGCUUAAUGGAAUCGCAGGUUAGAAAGGAUUCCGGGCCAUCACUCAAUGGAACCCUAGCGGAAACCCAGUUUCGGAUUAUUCAACGGAAUCGAGCGAAAGUCCAAGGAAUAUAACAACGGCUUGAAGAACAAUACAAGAACUAAGUACUUAAUAUAGAAGGUUGAACGAAAUGAAAGUGAAAUAAGGAAACAAGAUGGGAAACAAGUUUUGUGUCGAUCCAACAGUCGGAUCAUCAAUUCAUAUAAUAACCAAGUGGCGGCCGACUAGACGGUCAACUAUAAAACUAUAUUAAAAUAUUGGGAUUUCAUUAAACGGAUGUCAUAGAUGGAAUCAGGGUAUCAAAAUUAGCCUAGGAUGGUCAGGUGGGGUCUCGUCCCACCCGCCGAUGCACGCGGUGGCCAAUCGCGCUCGACAUGCCGAAAAAUUCAACUGUUUCAAAAAAAUUACCAAAUUUUACAGGCAUGUAUAUCUCAAUGAGCGGAGUAAUUUUCAUACAUGAGUUGAAGUCCAAUUCAGAUUGAAAGUGCUCUGAAUUUCCCUCGAUCCAUCGAAACCCUAGAAUUUGGGUGUCCUCGAUUCGACCUCCAUAGUAGCUCCAAUGCCUCCUCCACAGCUUGGGAUUUGUUCCUAAGGUUGAGGGGAGCCUUAUGAUGGUGGUGGUUAACAAAGUUACCUUCGAAUUUGAUAGAUCGCCACUACGAACCCUGUUGCACCCACCAUGCGGGUUUCACAAUUUCAAGGCCAAAAUCCAUUUAUUUUGGGGUGGAAUGGGUAGAGGGGGGGCCAACGAGUGUUUCCCUAGGAGGUUGUUUAACGUGGUUCGCCGAAAAAACCGACGGAAAACCAUUAGAAAUGGCUACCCGAACUGGGUCGGGUCACACACGAAAAUGGGGGAUCUGAUUCCCUCAUUCUCUCCUCACUCCUUUCCCCUUCUUGAUCUCCUCCCCCAUUGGUCACUCCCCCCUCCUUUUCAGAAACUUCUAACGUCCAUAACGUCUCCUUUCUCGUCCCAAUUCAUGAACAGCCUUCGCCUAUCCGCUCGUGGGGUCGACCUCAAUUAGAAAACAUUAAGAGUGAUCCAAAAGUCUACGGAUUUUAAAGGAUUAUUUUCAAAAAUUAAAACUUUGUAAUUAAGUAAUUAAAAUAUAAAAUUAAUUUAAAUUCGCAAAAAUACUAUAAAAUCCUGCGAAUACAAAAUACGUAAAUUACAAUAGUGAAAUUCCAAAUGUCACAUUACCUCGGAUGUCCUCGUUGUUAAUCCAAUCAUUUUGACACCCCAACCCCAAUAACACAAGUUACGAGGUCGAGAUAUCUUGGCCGUCACUAAAUUGACCAUAUGGCCCCAUUGAGGGAUGACUUCACAAGCCAACUUAAUAACGAAGCCAUAGUAAGAUAAUUACGAUGUGAGUGAAUUUGAAUCAAAACAUUCAUUAAAAAUAAAUCAAAAGUUGCUACAAAUUUUCCUAAUCAACCUUCCCACUUGGGAACAUAUAUUUAGGGUUUAGAUCCCAUUAUUACAUCACAUCAGAGCAGCUAGAAGUUUUAUACAACAGUAAAUACAUAAAAGUGUAGUGCUAUGCAUAAUCAAGAGUGUGAUCAUGCAAAUAUUACUGACAAAAUAAAUAUACAGUAGAGGAAUCAUCACCUAAAAUCCAAAGGAUGAUACCUCAUUGCCAAGCCCACUUGCCACCACUGAGGUUCUCAAUUCUUGCUAUGUCCUGAGGAGUCAAUAAACAAAGUAUGAGUGGAUCAAGUUCUAUCUCAUCAAAAUAAAUCGAAUAACCUCCGUUUUGAAAUCACCUAUUGUAGAAUUAUCAAAAAGACGGGCUUAGGGCCCACAUCCAACAAUAUUGAUAUAGUCCCAACUUGGUAAUUACUACCCGCACAAUCCGUCAGGUGUGAGGUUUUAUUACAAAAUGCCUCUCGGUGUUAGAUAGAGUGAAGAUAGGAUAUUUAAACUCUUCUGUACUUAGAGAUAUGGUUGAUGUGGGAUAUUUCAAUACCUAUAUAUAUAUAUAUAUAUAUAGUAAAAACUACAUACAUAAUAAUACUACCAUAAUAGUUGUCACAAUCAAUUCAUCUCGCACGUCAUAUCAAAGAAAGUAAGUCAUUCAUAAAAUCAAAGUAAUAGAAUAUGAUUUUAUCAAUAUCGUAGAUGAUUCUUAUAAUCAUGUAUACGCACGUUGGUGCGACUUCGAUUCCAAUGAUCUCUCUACUAAAUAUAUUUAUUUCAUAAACGCUAUAAUUUGUAUAUAUAAUAAAUGAUUUGAUCAUAUUAAUUCUGCAUAGUCCCCUCAAGUUGGAUAGUAAAUGUCAUAAUUAAGGCUUUUUAGUCAAAAUGGAGUCCUUGAGAUUUGCCUAACUCAUCACCUUGGUCCCUGAGAUUCAAAAUCAAUAGAAGUGAUCCAUGAGAUAGUCCACCAUCAAUCAUUUUGGUCCUUCAGUGAAAAAUUGUGUUAAAUAAGAAUUAAAAUGACAAAAUUACCCUCAAUGUAAUAAACAAUAGGCCAACAUGAUUUGACAAAAUUGAGGGUAUUUUUAAUAUUUUAUCCUUAUUUUAUGGAGAUUUUUCACUGAAUGAUGAAAAUGAUUGAUUGUGGACAAACUCAAGUACCAAUUCUAUCAAUUUCAAAUCUCAAGGACCAAAGCAAGGAGUUAUGCAAAUCUCAAUAACCAUUUUAACUAAAAAAUUAUUAUUCCUAAUUUCCUAAAGCCCUUGGGAAGGUAUCUGCCAAUUGUACCCGAGAAGAAGUGCAGCAAGGAAAAAUUUAUAAAGACAAUGGAUACAUGCCACUUCGCUGCAAAAAACGAUACUUAAAGGACAAUUUUCCCGAGUUUUUCACCGCCGUUUUUACCGUUUGCUGCAAAAAACAAAUACUCUCCCCUUGCGAGCUCCGUCGUCAAUUCCCUUCACGAACUUUGAGUCCCUCUGAAAAAAUGAUUACCUGAAAUUUGAAUUUUUCAAACUUUGUGUCUGGUUAUAUCUAACGAUCCCUAAUUCUAAAUUUAUGGUUUAGAUAUAUAAAAAAGAUAUCUCGGGUACUUCAUUGCUAUCCAUUAAGCUCCCCACUUUCAAGCAAAGCAAAAAAUUCUAAUUGAGUUGAGUUUUGAACAUGCUGAUUAGUUAGACAACUGAAUUACUAAUCUUUAUUAUUAUUGCAACAAACACACGGAUUACACUAAAAGCUAGUGAAUCAUACACUUGCAGAUGACUUAUCCAAACACAAAGAUAAGACAUGAUUUUAUUAUUAUUGCUAUAAACACACGGAUUACAGCGAAAUUCAAAAACUAAAAACAAGGAAAAAAGUAGUGAUGAAAACCAAUGCCACUUCCGGGAACACGAUUGCAUUCGCACAUGCAACAAGCCUUUUAAACCCAUAGGUGACCCAAAUGGGACGAGUGAAGUCUCGUGAGGGUUUCCAGAGACGUUACCCACAAACAUCAUGCAUACGGAUCAUCAACAUCUGACUUGGGAGACUGAGUAGAUAUCCACCCCUCCAGCAUCAGGUUGUUUUGGUUGAGGCGUAAUUCGAAUCUGUUUUCAAUGAACGGCCUGGUUAUGAGAUCGCUUUGCAAGUGACGUAAUCGGCAGCGCGUGAUUAGGUUGUUGCUGUCAGGUGGUCCGACAGGCUCGACCUUGAACAAUGUGCAAGCCCAAUUGUCUUUGGUUUCAUUUCGGUCAGCAGCUGCGGCCAGGACCAAUAGCCUGUUUUGGUCCACCCUUCUCAAGUAGUUGCCAUUGUAGGAGCAUUUGAUAUGCACGUAAUUCUUGUCGGCGUAGUCCUCAUUGUUUGGCUUCUCGGUGGUGAACUUUAUGAACCUGCUGUUUUCAUUGUCCUCGGAAAACUGGACAAUCUCAUUAAGGUCGCUUUCUGCAUCAAGUUGAUAGCGCAAAUACUUGUUGUUGAUAUCUGCUUUCAGCAGAAAAGGGCUUGGUAGUACAGGUGGUGGAGCCAUAUCGUAUAGUGUAGUUGGGAUUGGGAUGCUCUCUCUUUUUUAUUCUCUGUUGAUGAUCUAAUUUGCUUGCUGUGAAUGUGAUGCUUAGUUUAAACCUGCUAUCCUAUUUAUAAGAAAUUAAGCACAAGCUAGCUCAAGUUAUGGUCUUUAAUUAAUAUUAAUUUCGACAAAUCAGUUUCCCAUCUCUUUCAUUGAUAUGAACAUGGCUGAUCUCAUUGAUGUGGCGCAAUAUUUGUUAAAUUAGCCGUUCGGGUUGAUUUCUUUGUACAACUCAUCUGCCAAUUCUACAACUUGUAGACCUAAUUCCCAGUACAAAAUUAAAAAAAAAUUAAAAUCCAAAACUAAUAUAAGAUAAAUAAAGACUUUUUAUAUCAUAAAAUAAGACUUUCUAACUUGUAUACAAGACAAUAGUGACAAGAUCAAACACAUUGAUGGGUGCGCAUUUUCCAUCAACAUCUGUUCUGUGUGUUUAAACUGACCGUGGAGUCUUUUUAGCAAUUAAAAGUUUUGUAUCAUGUAAUUGUCUUGGUUUGAUAAGACCUACAUCUAGAUGAGAUGCUUCUGAAGACUAAUGUAAAACUUUAUGUUGAUAUUUCUUGAGGGUGAAACAUCGUUUGAGAAACGUGUUGGGCCUCAUUACAAUUUUUUCAUUUAGUUUUUAACUUUUGGUUUAAAUAUUCUACUAUGAAUAAAUUUGUGGCUUUAAUAACUAGUAAAACCACUUUCAAAUAUCUUAGUAUCGGCUUUCAGAACAAAGGGGUUUGGUAGUACAGGUGGAGCCAUAUUGUAUAGUGUAGCUGGGAUUGGGAUGAUCUCUCUCUCUUUUUUGUUUUUUUUUUCCCUUUAAUUUGCUUGCUUUGAAUGUGAUGCUCAGUUCAAACCUACUAUCCUAUUUCUAAGAAAUUAAGCACAAGCUAUCUCAAGUUAUGGACUUUAAUUAAUAUUAAUUUCCUCAAUCAGUUUCCCAUAUCUUUCAUUGAUACGAACAUGGCUGAUCUCAUUGGUGUGACGCAAGAUUUGUUAAAAUAGCGAUCGGAUUGAUUUUUCUUUGUAUAACUCUUCUGCCAAUUCUGAACUUGUACAUAUAAUUCCCAUUAUAAAAUAAAUAAAUAAAAUUCAAAACUCAUAUAAAAUAAAUAGAGACUUUUUAUAGCAUAUAAAAUAAGACUUUGUAACUUGUACAUAGUUAUUGAUAACAUUCAUCUAAGAACUAACAGAUGAAUGUAUGCAAGCAAUAUUGAAGAAAUACAGAGAGAAAGAUCGAAAGGAAUAGAGAGAGAAAUAGAGAAAGAAAUGAGUGAAAGCUUUGUUAUUUCAUAAGAACAAAAGAUCAUCACAAAAGAACCCUGAUUCCUUCUUAUAUAGUCUGCCCAUGUAGCUUAUCAGCUAAGCCACCUGUGUAACUAAUUCUUAACAAACUAACUAACUCCAAUAGCUGAUAUGGCACUUAUGAUGAUGUGUCAAUCACUAUAUAUCUUCAACAUCCCCCCGCAAUCUCAACUGGGAUUUUCUAGCUUGAGAUUGUAAAAAUGUUAGACAAAUGAAGGACUGUGAAGACCUUUGGUAAGAACAUCGGCAGUUUGCUCCUCAGUUGGGAUAUACAACACCUCCAAAUCGCCUUCAUGCACCCGUUCUCGUACAAAAUGGUAGUAUGUAUUAAGGUGUUUAAUUCUUGAAUGAAACACCAUAUUAGCACUGAUCGGAUCAUAUUUAUAUAUAUUUUUACUUCGAAUUCACUCGUCUUUUCUUAGUUAGUUCCUUAUAUUUUUGAGCUAUUUACGUUAUUUUUGUGUUUAUAGGAUUUGUUAUGCAAAGAAAAUAAAAAUAGAACAAAUGAAAUUUUAUGUAAUAAAUUCGUCAAAACUGUCUGUGUAGAUCAUCUUUUAAAUAAAAUUAAUAAAAAUAAUAAUAAUGGUAAGUCAUGAUGAUGUUUGAAACAUCAUCAUGAUUCAUGUUUUGUAGAAGAAGAAAGGAACGGCAAAGAAGGAGAAAAUAAAGAAUAAAAGGAGGGAGAGCGUCGGUGGAAAAGAAAAAGGAAUAAAAAGCUGCCUUUACCAACAGAGAGAGUGGGGAGGGCAGAAAGAAAAACACGGCAUAAAGAAUAAGAAUAAGAGGAAGUGAACAGCAGUGCGAAGAAGAAAGGAAGAAUAAGAAAAUAAAGAUAAGAGGCAGAGCGGAAGAGAGAGGAGGGGGGAGAUAAGUCAGAGGGACGCGGAACGAAGAGAGGAAAGCAGCAAAGCUGCCAGCGGAAAGAAAAGGUUGCCCUUGCAGCCUUGAAAAAAAAAGCAAAAAAUAAAGGAGAGGUCAGGAGGGGAGAGAGGUUAGAGUGCGAAAACAGAGAGAGAGAAGGCGGGAGCAGCGCAGCAGAGCACAGCAGCAGGUGCAGGGAAGUCAGGAGCUAGGCAGAUCUUCUUUUCUUGGUUUUAUCUUCUCAAACCCAUGUUUUACUUUUGGUUUAAUUUGAUAAUAAUGUGUAACUAAAUUUAUUUUGGCUAGAGGUUAAUUCAAAGCCAUGAAUAUAUUUGUAAUAUGAAUUGAUUACCUUCAGUUGUGAUUUCUGAGUUGUGAUUUAAUUUGCUUAACUGCUUGAUUGAUAACUUAUUUUUGUAUGUCGAUUAAGAAUGCAUACUUAAUUUACAUGCAUGAAUUUGAUGCUAGAAUAUAAGUGAAUUUCACCUAAUCGUUAUGAACUUAUAUUCACAAGUAGUGAAGGUUGUUAUCCACAAUCGUGUUAAGUGAAUUCUAGGCUGGAUUAACAUGCGUAUUCCAUAGUUAUGAAUGCCUAGUCAAUGUUUAUGAUUUCCGUUGAACUUAAUGAUCUUUGUUGAAUGUCUCUAUCAUGCGUAUUCCAUAGUUAGGGACUUUGAUGAGGAAUAAUUUGGUUGUAAUGCGUAUUCCAUUCAAUCCAAUGAAUCUAGGGAAAUCUAAGAGUUAAUUUAAGCGGACCUAAUUAACUUGGAACAUUGUCAUUCACAAUUUAUUGAAAGAACAACUGAAAAUCAAUUUAGGUUGCAUAUGUGUCAUGUGUGGAGAAGAACCCUCUAGCUAGUCCGUCACCUAUCCUUUCACCUUAAUUUCAUGCUUUUGUCAACUCUGUAAUUUAUUUAAGUUUAAUUUACUUCUCGUCAAAACCAAACCCCCCCAUUAUUAAAUUAUAUUAUUUAGUUAAUUUUCAUUGUUGUUAGUCAUUUAAUUCAAUUUCCGUCCAUUUCAGUUUCUAGUGUCUAAUUUGAUUGUUUUCAUUAUUUUGAGUCAUUCUAAGUGUGUUUCGAGUUAUUAGAGUUUUUAGCCUAGUUUUGUGUCCUUGAGUCUUGUUUAAUAUUUUUAAAUUAAUUUAGAAUAGAUUAGCAAUCCCUCCUAAUCCCCGGCCUAGAACGAUACCCUACUUACAUCUAUAAUACAAUUGUCAAAAAGAGGGUUUAAUUGGUGUGUCAAGUAAUUUUCACAUCAAGCACUUAAGGCAAUAGCAGACAUAUUGUCACAGUGAAUCGUUGGUGGAGCAUCCAAAAAUACACUCAAAUCCUUCAAUAUAUUUCGAAUCCAAGCUAUAUCUACGGCAGUAUGUGCUAAGGCUUUAUAUUCAGCCUCAGUAGAACUCCUGGAUAUCGAGUUUUGUUUCUUCGAUUGCCAAGAAAUUGGAUUACUACCCAAGUACACGACAUAACCAGUGAUAGACCGACGAGUAUUCAAGUCUGUAGCCCAAUAAGAAUCAGAAAAUGCAGUAAGCUUUGAAACUGUGUUUGCAGAAAAAGCAAUACCAAUGUUCAUGGUUUCUUGAAGAUAACGAAUGAUUCAUUUAACAACGCCAAAAUGAACAUCAGUUGGUGAGGACAUCAACUGACAUACUGUGUUUACAGCAAAGGCAAUAUCAGGCCUAGUAAAGGUCAUAUAUUGUAAAGAUCCCACAAUACUUAUGUAAGGUUGGAUCUGUCAAUAAUUGUCCCUCAGAGUGUAACAUUUGAUGAUGAGGUUUACAAGGAGUGGUUGCUGGUUUACAUGAUUCCAUACCUGCUUUAUGGACGAGAUCUUUGAUAUACUUAGACUGAUUAACAAAAACACUGCCAUUUGCUUUAUAUUGAACUUGUAAACCCAAAAAAUAUGUAAGUUGUCCCAUAUCCUUUAACUCGAAUACCUCAGAUAAUUAUUGAAUCACUUUUUGGAUCUUCAAAGGAUUAGAACCAGUUAAGAUGAUAUCAUGAACAUAAAGUAAUAAGAUAAUGAUAUCAGAGUCAUCCUUCUUGACAAACAAACUUGUAUCAGAAGUUGAUGCAUGAAACUCCAUAACUGUCAAAUAACUUGUAAACUUUGAAUUCCACACUCGUGGAGCCUGUUUCAAGCCAUAUGAUGUAUCAAUAAAUCCUUGUGGUUGCUGCAUAUAAACUUCUUUUUGUAAAUCUCCGUGUAGAAAAGCGUUCUUGAUAUCUAAUUGGCGAAGAGGCCAAUGAUUCAUUGCAGCUAAAGAAAGAAUAAUCCUUAUAGUAGUAUGUCCGACAACAGGACUAAAUGUGUCCAAGUAGUCAAUACCAUGUUCUUGGGAGAACCCUUGAGCUACAAGCCUUGCUUUAUACCUGGAGACACUGCCAUCAAAGUUUUUCUUCACUUUGUAUUCCCAUUUGUUUCCUACAAUUGUUCUGUCUUCAGGUGCAGGAACCAAUAGCCAAGUUCCUUGUGCUCGAAGUGAAUCAUAUUUCUCCUGCAUUGCCUUUUGCCACUGUGAAAUAGUAGGAGCUUUCCGAAAUGUCUUAGGUUCUGAAGCAUCAGUGAUCUCAGAAAGAAAGGAAUAGCCACCCGUGAAAGGUUCUUCAUCAGUGAUUUGGAGACAACAAAGCUCAGGACAUUGUGCUACUAAAGCAGCAUAAUUUUGUCCCUCAAUUGUUCCACUCUUCAAUCUAGGGACCAUUGAGUGAGUCAAUGGUGUAGUAUGUAAAAUGAGAUCAAAUAGAGAUAAAUCAGGAAGGAUUACCUCAAGUUGUGACUCAGAGUGGACAAGCAACAAGGAUUGUGUACCAGAGUGAUGAUGUGUAAGAGAGUGAUGAUGUGAAGAGCUUGGAGAUGCAUAUAGAAGAUUGGUUUCAGUCGAAUUUGUAUCUUGAUCACUAGGUUGAAUCACCUGUGUAUUGUCCGAACUAGAAAUAUUCAAUUAACCAACCACAUUUAUACUUUCACAAUUUGCAGGAAUACUGUGAUGUGAACCAGUAUCAUUUGCUGAUAUAUGUAUAGAACUAGCUGCUUGUGAAUCAUGCUGUAUUUAUGUAUGAGGCAGGACUCUUGCACUUGGAACUUGUAACUGAAUCAAAACAGGUGUCUGAGAACACCUAUAUGUAGCUGUAGAAUCCUUAGAUGGCAAAACUUGUUUAAACGGAUAUACAUCUUCAUCAUGUAGUACAUGCCCUGACAGAAUGAACUUUCUAGUCUUGAUAUCAUAACAAAUAACUCCUUUAUAUCCAUGAGCAAAACCAAGAAAUACACAUUGAGCUGACUGUAGCUCCAAUUUAUUCUUAUUGAAUGAUCUUAUCAAGAUAGAGCAGCCAUAAGAAACUCUUAACUUUGGAGGAAUAUGAAGUUUCCAAAUAAGAUUCCAUCGCCGGAAAAGCACAAGGCCUAAUGGCCCAAAAAUAAGCAGAUUUAACUGAAAAAUUACCAUCAUUUAUUCCACUUCAGAUACACUUGGCAGUCAAAGCAUCAAAACUAAUUGGAAUGCUAAGAAUUUGUUCAACCACCUCUUUAGUAAAACAAGUAAUAGUGGAUCCAAACCAUUAUUGUAACAAUAGUUAGCUACAGUAGCCUUAUAUGUAUUGUCGGCGUUACCACACAAUCCCGAUAUACGUCCAGGAUCGACAUGUGAUCUCAUCAAAUACUCAUAUCUCUAACUUACCCCACCUCCGGAAUAUGGCAAAGUGAUGAGUCAAUAUUUACCAUAUAUUUUACCCUAAUCUUAGUAUUAAUUUAUUAGUUAUUUUGGUAGAAUUUUGAUACUUUGUUAUAUAUUUCUAAUAUAGGACAUUCGACUUCAUCUGGAGAAAAAAGUAACCAAACGGAUGAUUUUUGGAGUGAUUCCAAUUGGAGGAUGUUUGUGAGUCUUCGAGAUGAUUAUAUCAAAAUUCCAAAUUUUUCUACCAAGUCGUUUGACCGUGGCAAUGAAAUUAAGGCCCUGCGCGCAGCUUUCUCAGAUUGACAUUUCGGGACAUUUUGCGUAUUUUGAAAGUCAAGAUGUAAUAUUUUGAGGAAGAUUUCUUCUGAGGAUUUGUAUGGGACGUCUCCAUCUUUCAAAAGAGACAUUUUGGGACCAAAUCGGAGUUGAUUUGGUUGGUCAGAAGUCUGAUUUUCUGAGAUCUCCGAAUUCUAGUUCAAAUAGGAAACCUUUUAUUUUCUGUUUUAUUAUUUUAUUAUGUUUCAUAGUUUUAUUGUAAGACCUUUUAGGGUUUUAUUUUGUAUUAGUAUAAAUAAGAUAUUUAGCCAUUAGGGGAAAAGGGGAGGAGAGAAUAGGAGGAGAAUGCACACAAUACUUUGGAGGAUUCAAGUUUAUUUUCAAGGUGUUUUCUAUCCAUGUUCUUAAUAAUAUUUUGUUUUAUAGUUGAUAGUAACUAGUUUCGUUUGCUAGAUCGAGGCCAUGACCCUUAGCAAGAAUACGUAGUUUCUUUUCAAUCUGCUUAUGAUAUUAUGCAUGCAAGUUUUGAAUUAUUAAUCAUCGUGCUUUAAACUAUCUAAUUGUGUUGAUGAUUGGCCGCCAUUAGGAUAUUUAGAAAAGUAAUUUGAUGCAAUUUUGGCGGAGGGCUGUCCCUAGAAUUGGUGCUGGCUUCUUGUGGUUAAUAUGUGUAACUUCUUAGGAUGGAUGACAUGUCUUAAGGGUUAUAUGGUUUUUCAAAAGGAUUUCACAAAACUUUAUGAGUCUUGCAUGUUAACUUUUGAUCUGGACACCACAGACAGGUUGCAUGUUAGAUAUAGGUUCUAUGUUGGAGGUUCCAAGUAAGGCAUACAUUAGGAAAACCUAACCAUCAAAAUAUGCAUUUGUAAUUCAUAAGUAAUUGGAAGAACUACGUAGGAUUGUUAAGGUGAUGGUGAAACCCUAGUGCUUAAAUUUAUUUUCAAAACUAUUUUCUUUGGUUUUCUUUACUUUCCCAAUUUAUAGUGGAUCCAAACCAUUAUUGUAACAAUACUUAGCUACAGUAGCGUUAAGCAUAUUAUCGGUGUCAUGCCCCGAUCCCGACAUACGUCUAGGAUCGACACGUGAUGUCACCAAAUACCCACAUCUCUAACUUACCCUGCCUCUAUGGCAAAGUGAUGAGUCAAUAUUUUACCAUAUAUUUUACCCUAAUCUUAGUAUUAAUUUGUUGGUUAUUUUGGAAGAAUUUUUAUACUUUGUUAUAUAUUUCUAAUGUAGGAUAUUCUACAUCCUCGGGAGAAAAAAGUAACCAAACAGAUGAAUUUUGGAGUGAUUCCAAUUAGAGAAUGUUCGUGAGUCUUUCAAGCUGAUUGUAUCAUAAUUCCAGAUUUUACUAUCAAGCUGUUUGACCGUGGCGAUGAAAUUAAGGCCCAGCACGCAACUUUCCCAUAUUGACGUUUCUGGACGUUUUGGGUAUUUUGAAGGUCAAGAUGUUAUGUUUGGAAGAAGAUUCCUUCUGAUGAUUUGUAUGGGACGUCUCCAGCUUUCAAAAGAGACCUUUUGGGAUGAAAUUGAAGUUGAUUUGUUUGGUCAAAAGUCUGAUUGUCUGAUAACUCCGAAUUCUAGUUCAAAUAGGAAACCUUUUAUUUUCUGUUUUAUUAUUUUAUUAUGUUUCCUAGUUUUAUUCUAAGACCUUUUAGGGUUUUAUUUUGUAUUAGUAUAAAUAAGAUGUUUAGCCAUUAGGGUAAAAGAGGAGGAGAGAAUAAGAGGAGAACACACAUAGUACUUUGGAGGAUUCAAGUUUAUUUUCAAGGUGUUUUCUAUCCAUGUUCUUAAUAAUAUUUUGUAUUAUGGUUGUUAGUAACUAGUUUCGUUUGCUAGGGCGAGGCCACGAGCCUUAGUGAGAAUAUGUAGUUUCUUUUCAAUUUGCUUAUGAUAUAUAUUAUGCAUGCAAGUUUUGAAUUAUUAAUCACUGUGCUUUAAACUAUAUAAUUGUCUUGAUGAUUGGCCACCAUUAGGAUAUUUAAAAAAGUAAUUUGAUGCAAUUUUGGUGGUGGGCUGUCCCUGGAAUUGGUGCUGGCUUCUUGUGGUUAAUAUGUGUAACUUCUUAGGAUGGACGACACGUCUUAAGGGUUAUAUGGUUGUUCAAAAGGAUUUCAUAAAACUUAAUGAGUCUUGCAUGUUCACAUUCGAUCUGGACACCACAGACAGGUUGCAUGUUAGAUAUACGUUCAAUGUUGGAGGUUCCAAGUAGGGCAUACUUUAGGAAAACCAAACCUUCAAAAUAUGCAUGUGUAAUUCAUAAGUAAUUGGAAGAACUACGUAGGAUUGUUAAGGUAACGGUGAAACCCUAGUGCUUAAAUUUAUUUUCAAAAACUAUUUUCUUUGGUUUUCUUUACUCUCCCAAUUUAUUUAAUUGUUUUCAGUUAAAUUCGUUUUUAAUAUUUUAGGUUAUAAAACCAACCUCUUCUAGACUUUAUUUUCAAAUAAUUAAUUAAGAUUUGGUUUUAACAUAAAUUAUGGCUUUUUUUAUUAGCACCCCACAAAAUGUUGAAUGCACCCCACAUUAAAAUUUAAUAUUAAAUGACUUAUUUACCCCACUAUGCAAUGACAAUUUUGACCUUAUUAGGUUUUAAAAAAAUAAAAUAAAAAUAUCUAAAUACACCCCAAAUCAAUGUUUUAGAACCUUCACAUGAGGUAAGACUAUGUUUCAUCGGUGGUUUGGUUAAUUUCAUAUUGCUUUUUUUUUUUUCUUCCGUUGGUUAUUCAUUUUCUUCUUUGCAGGUUACAAAUCCAGCCAGUGGUCCUCCUAGAGAAGGUUUGGUUAUAUCCCUUGAAAUGAACAAUGGAAAGCGACAAAAUAUUUUGGAGGUUAGACCAGAAAAUGCAUCGCAGGUUUGUUGGCAUGUACCACUCUGCCUAUUGAUAUUGAGUUGUAUGGUUCUUAACAAAUAAUUGAGGUGUAUGAUUCUUAGUAAAUAAAUGAGGAUUUGAUAAUAUUUUUUGGUGUAUUUAAAUAGGAUAGCAUACAAGGCAAUACCUCUAUAGGGGACAGUGAGGUUGCAACAACGAGCGUCGUUGAUUACACAAACGCAUUUAAAACAGACGAGGUAACUAUUUUUAGUAUAUUGAAUGUGCAUCUGUGAAUUUCAUGGAAACUCUUGCAUUCUUUUAUGCAACAUAGUGCAUUAGGUUCAUAAUAGGGACUAACAUAUGGGUUGGAAUCUUAGCAUGUCUACAAACAUUUUGUUAGUGGCAAAUGUCAAUGAUCUUGUAUGUACAGGUGUUCAAAAGUAAAAAUGAUUUCCUUGAUUGGACUCGCGCACAAGGAAAAAAGAAUAAUAUGGUUAUUGUCAUUAAGAGGUCUGAUGCGGGAAGGGUUGACCGAAUGAGGAAGAGAGCUCGAAUAACAUUUGCUUGUGAGAGACAUGGCGAGUAUCGAUCCAUAUUGAGGAAGUCUGAUAUUAAUGACCAAAAUUCUGAUGCAAAUAAUAAGAAGAAGAAAGAACCCAGGAAUACUGGUAUUAAAAAAUACGGAUGUCCAUUUAUGUUGAAAGGAGUCAACGUUGGAGAAGGAGAUGAAUGGAAAUUGGAGGUUGAGUGUGGGGUGCAUAACCAUACUUAUUCACAGUAUCUUGAAGGGCAUUCUUUUGUCGGACGAUUAACUAAAGAGCAAAAUGAACUUUUAGUUGACAUGUCUACAAGUUUAGUGAGACCCAAAGUUAUUUUGAACACCAUAAAGACAAAAGAUCCACUUAAUGUAACAACGAUGAGGACAAUAUACAAUGCAAGACACUAUCAUCGGACAAAAGAAAACGCAGGGAAAUCAGAAAUGCAACAGUUGUUAUGUAAGUUGGCUGAGUACAACUAUAUUGAGCAUCAUCAAAGUAUUGGUAUUGAUAAUGUUGUUAGUGACUUGUUUUGGACUCAACCAAUUAAUGUCGAUAUCUUACAUUGUUUCGCACAUGUACUUAUCAUGGAUUGCACGUACAAGACUAAUAGGCAUCGUUUCCACUCCUGGAGAUUGUAAGGGUAACUUCAACUAAUAUUACAUUGUCGGUUGCAUUUGCUUUCAUUGACCAUGAGAAGGAAGACAAUUACACAUGCGCAUUGACAAGAUUGAAGACUCUAAUGAAUGAUGAUUGUAUUCCUGGUGUGAUUGUCACUAGGGGUGGGUUCGGUUUAAAUCGGUUCGGUUUUUUGCCAAAACCGAAACCAAACCAAAAUUUCGGUUCGGUUCAAUUUUUUUUCUGUUUUUUUCGGUUCGGUUUUUUCCGGUUCGGUUUCGGUUCGGUUUUGGUUUUUUGUUUUUAUUUUUUUUCAAAGAAUGAAAAACAUUGAAAUUUUAAAUUUUAACAUAUCCAACACAAUCAUAACAUAAACAUUCUAACUAGAAUCAAAGACAAUGAAAAUAAACAUUUAAAGUUGAACUAAAAUCAUCAAUCAAGUCUUUCAAAGUCCAAACUAACAACCUCACAACACAAAAAUCACACAAAAAUCGUACAAAUGACUUAGAAAAGUUAAAUUGUAUGAUGUUGUUCAAAGAUCAGUGUUGUUUGCUUGUAACUGCAUGUUGACAACUUGAUUAGUAAAGGUAAUACGUGGGUGGAUUUAUUUAGUGUGUGUUGGAUUCUUUUCCAUCACAAAUUACCCAAGUAAUCUACCCGAAAUAAAUGUUUAUGGAUUAUGUUACAUGUUAUAUGAGAGUAGAUUUGGAAAAGAAAGCUGGCGUAGAAGUAGACAGUGCUAUGGAGAUGGAUGUAGGUACUUCGGGAAGAGGUUUGGUUCCGGAACCUUAUAUGGGGGAGAAAUAAUAGGUUAGGGUUUAGAGUUUUUAUAGGCCUUUUUUUUAAUAUUUUGAGCUUAAAGUUUGGCAACACAUUGGGUUAGCACAUUUUAACUUACAAAUUGGGUUUAGAAAAUAAUACCCAAAACAAAUAAUUAAAUAAAAAAUUUAAUUUAAUUAAUUCGGUUCGGUUCGGUUCGGUUUGGUUCGGUUUCUAGAUCACUAAAACUGAACCGAACCAAAAGAAUUCGGUUCGGUUCGGUUUUUUCAAUUCGGUUCGGUUUUUUUGUUCGGUUCGGUUUUUUCGGUUUCGGUUCGGUUUGGUUUUCGGUUUUUUUCGGUUUUCGGUUUUUUGAACCCACCCCUAAUUGUCACUGAUCGAGACUUAGCAAACUAAACUGAAAUAUAUUGAUUGCAAGGCAAGAGUACAAUUGUAAAAACAAGGUUUACUUUUUAAUGGAGGUUGUGUAGGAAAAAUUACAUUCAAAUUCAUUGCGGACCUCUUUUUUUUCUAAGACCAAAUCAAAGAAAAAAAUAAUUGAAUCAAUGAAUUACUAUAGCAGCUCCAUUUCUGACAAUGGCAAGAGGUCUCUGUGCUAAUCAAACUACCCCGAAAUUUUAUCCUAAAACUAUACUCGAGCUCCACCUUAUCUGCAAUCUCAAAUGCCUUCUCAAUAUCAUUUCAUGAUAAACCUGCUAUCCCUAUUUAUAAGAAAUUAAGCACAAGCUAGCUCAAGUUAUGGUCUUUAAUUAAUAUUAAUUUCGACAAAUCAGCUUCCCAUCUCUUUCAUUCAUAUGAACAUGGCGCAAUAUUUGUUUAAAUUAGCUGUUCGGGUUGAUUUCUUUGUAUAACUCUUCUGCCAAUUCUGCAACUUGUAGACGUAAUUCCCAUUUCAAAAUUUUAAAAAAUAAAAUAAAAUCCAAAACUAAUGUAAGAUAAAUAAAGACUUUUUUAUAUCAUAAAAUAAGACUUUCAAACUUGUAUACAAGACUAUAGUGACAAAAUCAAACACAUUGAUGGGUGCGCAUGUUCCUUCAACAUCUGUUAUGUGCGUUUAAACUGAGCGUCGAGUCUUUUUUAAGCACCUUUAAAAGUUUAACAAACUAACUAACUCCAAUAGCUGAUAUGGCACUUAUGAUGAUGUGUCAAUCACUAUAUAUCUUCAACAUCCCCCCGCAAUCUCAACUGGGAUUUUCCAGCUUGAGAUUGUAAAAAUGUUUGACAAAUGAAAGACUGUGAAGACCUUUGGUAAGAACAUCGGGAGUUUGCUCCUCAGUUGGGAUAUACAACACCUCCAAAUCGCCUUGCUGCACUCGUUCUCAGUUUAUAUCAAGGUGUUUAAUUCUGAAAUGAAACACCAGAUUGGCACUUAAGGCAAUAGCAGACAUAUUCUUACAGUGAAUCGUUGGUGGAGCAUCCAAAAAUACACCCAAAUCCUUCAAUAUAUUUCGAAUUCAAGCUAUAUGUGCCGCAGUAUGUGCUAAGGCUUUAUAUUCAGCCUCAGUAGAACUCCUGGAUACCGAGUUUUCUUUCUUCGAUUGCCAAGAAAUUGGAUUAUUGCCUACGUACACGACAUAACUAGUGAUAGACCGACGAGUAUUCAAGUAUGCAGCCCAAUCAGAAUCAGAAAACGCAGUAAGCUUUGAAACUGUGUUUGCAGAAAAAGUAAUACCAAUGUUCAUGGUUCCUUGAAGAUAACGAAUGAUUCGUUUAACAAUGCCAAAAUGAACAUCAGUUGGUGAGGACAUAAACUGACAUACUGUGUUUACAGCAAAGGCAAUAUCAGGCCUAGUAAAGGUUAGAUAUUGUAAAGAUCCCACAAUGCUUCUGUAGGAGGUUGGAUCUGUCAAUAAUUGUCCCUUAGAGUGUAACAUUUGAUGAUGAGGUUUACAAGGAGUGGUUGCUGGUUUACAUGAUUCCAUACCUGCUUUAUGGACGAGAUCUUUGAUACACUUAGACUGAUUAACAAAAACACUGCCAUCUGCUUUAUAUUGAACUUAUAAACGCAAAAAAUAUGUAAGUUGUCCCAUAUCCUUUAACUCGAAUACCUCAGAUAAUUAUUGAAUCACUUUUUGGAUCUUCAAGGAUUAUAACCAGUUAAGAUGAUAUCAUCAACAUAAAGUAAUAAGAUGAUGAUAUCAGAGCCAUCCUUCUUGACAAACAAACUUGUAUCAGAAGCUGAUGCAUGAAACUCCAUAACUGUCAAAUGACCAUAUACAUAAUAACUGUCAAAUAACUAUAUACAUAAUAACUCCAUAGAGUGAAGAUAGGAUAUUUAAACUCUUCUGUACUUAGAGAUAUGGUUGAUGUGGGAUAUUUCAAUACCUAUAUAUAUAUAUAUAUAUAUAUAUAUAUAGUAAAAACUACAUACAUAAUAAUACUACCAUAAUAGUUGUCACAAUCAAUUCAUCUCGCACGUCAUAUCAAAGAAAGUAAGUCAUUCAUAAAAUCAAAGUAAUAGAAUAUGAUUUUAUCAAUAUCGUAGAUGAUUCUUAUAAUCAUGUAUAUGCACGUUGGUGCGACUUAGAUUCCAAUGAUCUCUCUACUAAAUAUAUUUAUUUCAUAAACGCUAUAAUUUGUAUACAUAAUAAAUGAUUUGAUCAUAUUAAUUCUGCAUAGUCCCCUCAAGUUGGAUAGUAAAUGUCAUAAUUAAGGCUUUUUAGUCAAAAUGGAGUCCUUGAGAUUUGCCUAACUCAUUACCUUGGUCCCUGAGAUUCAAAAUCAAUAGAAGUGAUCCAUGAGAUAGUCCACCAUCAAUCAUUUUGGUCCUUCAGUGAAAAAUUGUGUUAAAUAAGAAUUAAAAUGACAAAAUUACCCUCAAUGUAAUAAACAAUAGGCCAACAUGAUUUGACAAAAAUUGAGGGUAUUUUUAAUAUUUUAUCCUUAUUUUAUGGAGAUUUUUCACUGAAUGAUGAAAAUGAUUGAUUGUGAACAAACCCAAGUACCAAUUCUAUCAAUUUCAAAUCUCAAGGACCAAAGCAAGGAGUUAUGCAAAUCUCAAUAACCAUUUUAACUAAAAAAUUAUUAUUCCUAAUUUCCUAAAGCCCUUGGGAAGGUAUCUGCCAAUUGUACCCGAGAAGAAGUGCAGCAAGGAAAAUUUUAUAAAGACAAUGGAUACAUGCCACUUCGCUGCAAAAAACGAUACUUAAAGGACAAUUUUCCCGAGUUUUUCACCGCCGUUUUUACCGUUUGCUGCAAAAAACAAAUACUCUCCCCUUGCGAGCUCCGUCGUCAAUUCCCUUCACGAACUUUGAGUCCCUCUGAAAAAAUGAUUACAUGAAAUUUGAAUUUUUCAAACUUUGUGUCUGGUUAUAUCUAACGAUCCCUAAUUCUAAAUUUAUGGUUUAGAUAUAUAAAAAAGAUAUCUCGGGUACUUCAUUGCUAUCCAUUAAGCUCCCCACUUUCAAGCAAAGCAAAAAAUUCUAAUUGAGUUGAGUUUUGAACAUGCUGAUUAGUUAGACAACUGAAUUACUAAUCUUUAUUAUUAUUGCAACAAACACACGGAUUACACUAAAAGCUAGUGAAUCAUACACUUGCAGAUGACUUAUCCAAACACAAAGAUAAGACAUGAUUUUAUUAUUAUUGCUAUAAACACACGAAUUACAACGAAAUUCAAAAACUAAAAACAAGGAAAAAAGUAGUGAUGAAAACCAAUGCCACUUCCGGGAACACGAUUGCAUUCGCACAUGCAACAAGCCUUUUAAACCCAUAGGUGACCCAAAUGGGACGAGUGAAGUCUCGUGAGGGUUUCCAGAGACGUUACCCACAAACAUCAUGCAUACGGAUCAUCAACAUCUGACUUGGGAGACUGAGUAGAUAUCCACCCCUCCAGCAUCAGGUUGUUUUUGGUUAAGGCGUAAUUCGAAUCUGUUUUCAAUGAACGGCCUGGUUAUGAGAUCGCUUUGCAAGUGACGUAAUCGGCAGCGCGUGAUUAGGUUGUUGCUGUCAGGUGGUCCGACAGGCUCGACCUUGAACAAUGUGCAAGCCCAAUUGUCUUUGGUUUCAUUUCGGUCAGCAGCUGCGGCCAGGACCAAUAGCUUGUUUUGGUCCACCCUUCUCAAGUAGUUGCCAUUGUAGGAGCAUUUGAUAUGCACGUAAUUCUUGUCGGCGUAGUCCUCAUUGUUUGGCUUCUCGGUGGUGAACUUUAUGAACCUGCUGUUUUCAUUGUCCUCGGAAAACUGGACAAUCUCAUUAAGGUCGCUUUCUGCAUCAAGUUGAUAGCGCAAAUACUUGUUGUUGAUAUCUGCUUUCAGCAGAAAAGGGCUUGGUAGUACAGGUGGAGCCAUAUCGUAUAGUGUAGUUGGGAUUGGGAUGCUCUCUCUUUUUAAUUCUCUGUUGAUGAUCUAAUUUGCUUGCUGUGAAUGUGAUGCUUAGUUUAAACCUGCUAUCCUAUUUAUAAGAAAUUAAGCACAAGCUAGCUCAAGUUAUGGUCUUUAAUUAAUAUUAAUUUCGACAAAUCAGUUUCCCAUCUCUUUCAUUGAUAUGAACAUGGCUGAUCUCAUUGGUGUGGCGCAAUAUUUGUUAAAUUAGCCGUUCGGGUUGAUUUCUUUGUACAACUCAUCUGCCAAUUCUACAACUUGUAGACCUAAUUCCCAGUACAAAAUUAAAAAAAAAUUAAAAUCCAAAACUAAUAUAAGAUAAAUAAAGACUUUUUAUAUCAUAAAAUAAGACUUUCUAACUUGUAUACAAGACUAUAGUGACAAGAUCAAACACAUUGAUGGGUGCGCAUUUUCCAUCAACAUCUGUUCUGUGUGUUUAAACUGACCGUGGAGUCUUUUUAGCAAUUAAAAGUUUUGUAUCAUGUAAUUGUCUUGGUUUGAUAAGACCUACAUCUAGAUGAGUUGCUUCUGAAGACUAAUGUAAAACUUUAUGUUGAUAUUUCUUGAGGGUGAAACAUCGUUUGAGAAACGUGUAGGGCCUCAUUACAAUGUUUUCAUUUAGUUUUUAACUUUUGGUUUAAAUAUUCUACUAUGAAUAAAUUUGUGGCUUUAAUAACUAGUAAAACCACUUUCAAAUAUCUUAGUAUCGGCUUUCAGAACAAAGGGGUUUGCUAGUACAGGUGGAGCCAUGUUGUAUAGUGUAGCUGGGAUUGGGAUGAUCUCUCUCUCUUUUUUGUUUUUUGUUUUUCCUUUAAUUUGCUUGCUUUGAAUGUGAUGCUCAGUUCAAACCUACUAUCCUAUUUCUAAGAAAUUAAGCACAAGCUAUCUCAAGUUAUGGACUUUAAUUAAUAUUAAUUUCCUCAAUCAGUUUCCCAUAUCUUUCAUUGAUACGAACAUGGCUGAUCUCAUUGGUGUGACGCAAGAUUUGUUAAAAUAGCGAUCGGAUUGAUUUUUCUUUGUAUAACUCUUCUGCCAAUUCUGAACUUGUACAUAUAAUUCCCAUUAUAAAAUAAAUAAAUAAAAUUCAAAACUCAUAUAAAAUAAAUAGAGACUUUUUAUAGCAUAUAAAAUAAGACUUUGUAACUUGUACAUAGUUACUGAUAACAUUCAUCUAAGAACUAACAGAUGAAUGUAUGCAAGCAAUAUUGAAGAAAUACAGAGAGAAAGAUCGAAAGGAAUAGAGAGAGAAAUAGAGAAAGAAAUGAGUGAAAGCUUUGUUAUUUCAUAAGAACAAAAGAUCAUCACAAAAGAACCCUGAUUCCUUCUUAUAUAGUCUGCACAUGUAGCUUAUCAGCUAAGCCACCUGUGUAACUAAUUCUUAACAAACUAACUAACUCCAAUAGCUGAUAUGGCACUUAUGAUGAUGUGUCAAUCACUAUAUAUCUUCAACAUCCCCCCGCAAUCUCAACUGGGAUUUUCUAGCUUGAGAUUGUAAAAAUGUUAGACAAAUGAAGGACUGUGAAGACCUUUGGUAAGAACAUCGGCAGUUUGCUCCUCAGUUGGGAUAUACAACACCUCCAAAUCGCCUUCAUGCACUCGUUCUCGUACAAAAUGGUAGUAUGUAUUAAGGUGUUUAAUUCUUGAAUGAAACACCAGAUUAGCACUUAAGGCAAUAGCGGACAUAUUGUCACAGUGAAUCGUUGGUGGAGCAUCCAAAAAUACACUCAAAUCCUUCAAUAUAUUUCGAAUCCAAGCUAUAUCUGCGGCAGUAUGUGCUAAGGCUUUAUAUUCAGCCUCAGUAGAACUCCUGGAUACCGAGUUUUGUUUCUUCGAUUGCCAAGAAAUUGGAUUACUACCCAAGUACACGACAUAACCAGUGAUAGACUGACGAGUAUUCAAGUCUGUAGCCCAAUAAGAAUCAGAAAACGCAGUAAGCUUUGAAACUGUGUUUGCAGAAAAAGCAAUACCAAUGUUCAUGGUUUCUUGAAGAUAACGAAUGAUUCAUUUAACAACGCCAAAAUGAACAUCAGUUGGUGAGGACAUAAACUGACAUACUGUGUUUACAGCAAAGGCAAUAUCAGGCCUAGUAAAGGUCAGAUAUUGUAAAGAUCCCACAAUACUUAUGUAAAAGGUUGGAUCUGUCAAUAAUUGUCCCUCAGAGUGUAACAUUUGAUAAUGAGGUUUACAAGGUGUGGUUGCUGGUUUACAUGAUUCCAUACCUGCUUUAUGGACGAGAUCUUUGAUAUACUUAGACUGAUUAACAAAAACACUGCCAUUUGCUUUAUAUUGAACUUGUAAACCCAAAAAAUAUGUAAGUUGUCCCAUAUCCUUUAACUCGAAUACCUCAGAUAAUUAUUGAAUCACUUUUUGGAUCUUCAAAGGAUUAGAACCAGUUAAGAUGAUAUCAUGAACAUAAAGUAAUAAGAUAAUGAUAUCAGAGUCAUCCUUCUUGACAAACAAACUUGUAUCAGAAGUUGAUGCAUGAAACUCCAUAACUGUCAAAUAACUUGUAAACUUCGAAUUCCACACUCGUGGAGCCUGUUUCAAGCCAUAUAAUGACUUGACCAAUUUGCAAACAUGAGAAAGAUAUGAUGUAUCAAUAAACCCUUAUGGUUCCUGCAUAUAAACUUCUUUUUGUAAAUCCCCGUGUAGAAAAGCGUUCUUGAUAUCUAAUUGGCGAAGAGGCCAAUGAUUCAUUGCAGCUAAAGAAAGAAUAAUCCUUACAGUAGUAUGUCCGACAACAGGACUAAAUGUGUCCAAGUAGUCAAUACCAUGUUCUUGGGAGAACCCUUGAGCUACAAGCCUUGCUUUAUACCUGGAGACACUGCCAUCAGAGUUUUUCUUCACUUUUUGUUCUGUCUUCAGGUGCAGGAACCAAUAGCCAAGUUCCUUGUGCUCGAAGUGAAUCAUAUUUCUCCUGCAUUGCCUUUUGCCACUGUGAAAUAGUAGGAGCUUUCCGAAAUGUCUUAGGUUCUGAAGCAUCAGUGAUCUCAGAAAGAAAGGAAUAGCCACCCGUGAAAGGUUCUUCAUCAGUGAUUUGGAGACAACAAAGCUCAGGACAUUGUGCUACUAAAGCAGCAUAAUUUUGUCCCUCAAUUGUUCCACUCUUCAAUCUAGGGACCAUUGAGUGAGUCAAUGGUGUAGUAUGUAAAAUGAGAUCAAAUAGAGAUAAAUCAGGAAGGAUUACCUUAAGUUGUGACUUAGAGUGGACAAGCAACAAGGAUUGUGUACCAGAGUGAUGAUGUGUAGGAGAGUGAUGAUGUGAAGAGUUUGGAGAUGCAUAUAGAAGAUUGGUUUCAGUCGAAUUUGUAUCUUGAUCACUAGGUUGAAUCACUUGUGUAUUGUCCGAACUAGAAACAUUCAAUUAACCAACCACAUAUAUACUUUCACAAUUUGCAGGAAUACUGUGAUGUGAACCAGUAUCAUUUGCUGAUAUAUGUAUAGAACUAGCUGCUUGUGAAUCAUGCUGUAUUUAUGUAUGAGGCAGGACUCUUGCACUUGGAACUUGUAACUGAAUCAAAACAGGUGUCUGAGAACACCUAUAUGUAGCUGUAGAAUCCUUAGAUGGCAAAACUUGUUUAAACGGAUAUACAUCUUCAUCAUGUAGUACAUGCCUUGACAGAAUGAACUUUCUAGUCUUGAUAUCAUAACAAAUAACUCCUUUAUAUCCAUGAGCAAAACCAAGAAAUACACAUUGAGCUGACCGUAGCUCCAAUUUAUUCUUAUUGAAUGAUCUUAUCAAGAUAGAGCAGCCAUAAGAAACUCUUAACUUUGGAGGAAUAUGAAGUUUCCAAAUGAGAUUCCAUCGCCGGAAAAGCACAAGGCCUAAUGGCCCAAAAGUAAGCAGAUUUAACUGAAAAAUUACCAUCAUUUAUUCCACUUCAGAUACACUUGGCAGUCAAAGCAUCAAAACUAAUUGGAAUGCUAAGAAUUUGUUCAACCACCUCUUUAGUAAAACAAGUAAUAGUGGAUCCAAACCAUUAUUGUAACAAUAGUUAGCUACAGUAGCCUUAUAUGUAUUGUCGGCGUUACCACACAAUCCCGAUAUACGUCCAGGAUCGACAUGUGAUCUCAUCAAAUACUCAUAUCUCUAACUUACCCCACCUCCGGAAUAUGGCAAAGUGAUGAGUCAAUAUUUACCAUAUAUUUUACCCUAAUCUUAGUAUUAAUUUAUUAAUUAUUUUGGUAGAAUUUUGAUACUUUGUUAUAUAUUUCUAACAUAGGACAUUCGACUUCAUCUGGAGAAAAAAGUAACCAAACGGAUGAUUUUUGGAGUGAUUCCAAUUGGAGGAUGUUUGUGAGUCUUUCGAGAUGAUUAUAUCAAAAUUCCAAAUUUUUCUACCUAGCCGUUUGACCGUGGCAAUGAAAUUAAGGCCCUGCGCGCAGCUUUCUCAGAUUGACAUUUCAGGACAUUUCGGGACAUUUUUUCAAUUCGGUUCGGUUUUUUUGUUCGGUUCGGUUUUUUCGGUUUCGGUUCGGUUUGGUUUUCGGUUUUUUUCGGUUUUCGGUUUUUUGAACCCACCCCUAAUUGUCACUGAUCGAGACUUAGCAAACUAAACUGAAAUAUAUUGAUUGCAAGGCAAGAGUACAAUUGUAAAAACAAGGUUUACUUUUUAAUGGAGGUUGUGUAGGAAAAAUUACAUUCAAAUUCAUUGCGGACCUCUUUUUUUUCUAAGACCAAAUCAAAGAAAAAAAUAAUUGAAUCAAUGAAUUACUAUAGCAGCUCCAUUUCUGACAAUGGCAAGAGGUCUCUGUGCUAAUCAAACUACCCGAAAUUUAUCCUAAAACUAUACUCGAGCUCCACCUUAUCUGCAAUCUCAAAUGCCUUCUCAAUAUCAUUUCAUGAUAAACCUGCUAUCCUAUUUAUAAGAAAUUAAGCACAAGCUAGCUCAAGUUAUGGUCUUUAAUUAAUAUUAAUUUCGACAAAUCAGCUUCCCAUCUCUUUCAUUCAUAUGAACAUGGCGCAAUAUUUGUUAAAUUAGCUGUUCGGGUUGAUUUCUUUGUAUAACUCUUCUGCCAAUUCUGCAACUUGUAGACGUAAUUCCCAUUUCAAAAUUUUAAAAAAUAAAAUAAAAUCCAAAACUAAUGUAAGAUAAAUAAAGACUUUUUAUAUCAUAAAAUAAGACUUUCAAACUUGUAUACAAGACUAUAGUGACAAAAUCAAACACAUUGAUGGGUGCGCAUGUUCCUUCAACAUCUGUUAUGUGCGUUUAAACUGAGCGUCGAGUCUUUUUUAGCAAUUAAAAGUUUUGUAUCAUGUAAUUGUCUUGGUUUGAUAAGACCUACAUCUGGAUAAGUUGCUUCUGAAGACUAAUGUAAAACUUUAUGUUGAUAAUUCUUGAGGGUGAAACAUCGUUUGAGAAAUGUUUUGGACCUCAUUACAAUUUUUUCAUUUAUUUUUUAACUUUUGGUUUAAAUAUUCUACUACAAAUACAUUUGUGGCUUCAAUAACUACUAAAACCACUUUCAAAUAUCUUAGUAUUGGCUUUCAGAACAAAGGGGUUUGGUAGUACAGGUUGAGCCAUGUUGUAUAGUGUAGCUGGGAUUGGGACGAUCUCUCUCUUUAUUUAUUUAUUUUUUUCCUUUAAUUUGCUUGCUUUGAAUGUGAUGCUCAGUUCAAACCUACUAUCCUAUUUCUAAGAAAUUAAGCACAAGCUAUCUCAAGUUAUGGUCUUUAAUUAAUAUUAAUUUCCUCAAUCAGUUUCCCAUUUCUUUCAUUGAUACGAACAUGGCUGAUCUCAUUGGUGUGACGCAAGAUUUGUUAAAAUAGCUGAUCGGAUUGAUUUUUUCUUUGUACCCGAGAAGAAAUGCAGGAAGGAGGAAUUUAUAAAGACAACGGAUACCUGCUCUUCGCUGCAAAAAACGACACUUAAAAGGACAAUUUUCCCGAGGUUUUCACCGCUGUUUUUACCGUUUGCUGCCAAAAACAAAUACUCUCCCCUUGCGAGCUCCGUUGUCAAUUCCCCUCGCGAACUUUGAGUCCCUCUGAAAAAAUGAUUAAGUGAAAUUUGAAUUUUUCAAACUUUGUGUUUGGUUAUAUCUAACAAUCCCUAAUUCCAAAUUUAUGGUUUAGAUAUAUAAAAAAGAUAUCUCGGGUACUUCAUUGCUAUCCAUUAAGCUCCCCACUUUCAAACAAAGCAGAAAAUUCUAAUUGAGUUGGGUUUUGAACAUGCAGAUUAGUUAGACAACUGAAUUACCAAUCCUUAUUAUUAUUGCAACAAACACACGGAUUACACUAAAAGCUAGUGAAUCAUACACUUGCAGAUGACUUAUCCAAACACAAAGAUAAGACAUGAGUUUAUUGUUAAAUUGUGGCCAAGUGGCCAUCACCUUUUGUAUUAAACAAAUAAAAAGAAAAAAAAAAGGGAGACAUCAUGAUGUUGUUUCUUACUUUGUGAUAAUGACAAAUGAUGAUGUUGGAGAAUUAUUUUUUAUUUGGCCCAUGUGGGAAGUCACGGGGUGACUUGAAGGAUUUAUUUAGCAGCAAUUGCUGCUUGUGUGGUUAAGAGAAGAAAACAGAGAGCAGAAGAAAAAGGAAAGAGAGCUGCCGAGAGCAAGAGAGUUGCAGAGAGCCCAAACAGAAAAAGAAGCUGCUGCUUCAUUUGAUUAGUAAUCAUCAACCAAAGUAGUUGUUGUUGUAAUAGUUUUGAGCUAUAUGUAUAGAGAAGAAAUUAUUCAUUAUAUUUCUUUCUCUAUUUGUUUCUUUGGUGUGUGAGAGUUAUUGGGUGUAUUGGGCUUUUGGGUUGUGAGAUUGUCAACACUUUGUAAACUCCCAUUUGGUUGAUAGUGGAUUAUUGGGUGAGCUCCUACUGCUCCGAGGACGUACUCCAGUUACACUGACUGUUGAGGAACCUCGUUAAAAUCUUGGUGUUCUUUUAUAUUUUGUUCUUGCAUUUUCAUUUGAUAAAUUUCCUGUGGGUUAGCUUGAGUUGGUUCCAACGGGUUUGGUGCUAUCCUAGCACAACAAUUGGUAUCAGAGCACUGGUUGCUCUUGGGUACUGUCUAGUUGCCAAAGAUGUCAGACGGGCAAGAUGAGAAUCCUUUUGGAAGCACCUCCGGGUUUGCAAGAACUACGGUGCAAAAUGCAAAGUUCGAAGUGGAAAAGUUUGAUGGCACAAACAACUUCGGGAUGUGGCAAUGUGAGGUCAAAGAUGUGUUGGCUCAACAAGAUCUACUUGCCGCUUUGGGAGAGAAGCCGGAAGCUAUGUCGAAGCCGGAAUGGGAGAAAUUAAAUUUGUGGGCUUGCUCUUCAAUUCGGUUGUGCCUUGCAAAAACUCAGAAGUAUUUUUUGUGAUGCGGGAGACAUUGGCAAGUGUGUGUGGCAAAAAUUGGAAGACAAGUAUAUGACGAAGAGUGCAGAGAACCGGCUACACUUGAAGAAAAAACUCUACCGCUUCCAAUACAAAGAAGGUACAAAAAUGAUUAGACACCUUGAUGCUUUUAAUAAGUUGAUUGCCGACUUGUUAAAUUUAGAUGAGGAUAUUAAGGAUGAAGAUAAGGCCUUAAUAUUGUUGAAUUCCUUGCCGGACUCUUAUGAGCAUUUUGUUACCACUAUUAUGCAUGGUAAAAAAACUGUGAAAUUUGAAGAUGUGUCAAAUGCCUUGAUGAAUUAUGAAAUGAGGCAUAGAGAUAAAAAUCAUGAUAGUACCUCUGAAGCUUUAUUUGUUAGAGGUAGAUCAUCGGAGAGGAGGUCAUCUUCUAGCAGGAAAAAAUCACAAUCUCGACCUAGAGGAAACUCUAAAGGUAGAAAACCUUUGGAAAGGGAUGAAUGUGCCUUUUGUCGUAAUAAGGGCCAUUGGAAGAAAGAUUGUCCUAAAUUGAAGAACAAAGGCAAAGAAAGUUCUGAAGCUAAUGUUGCUGAGGUUGAAACAGAUUUUUCUGAUUUUGCUUUAACCACUUCCUCAUCAUUUGAUUGUGCUACUAAGUGGGUGUUGGAUACGGGUUGUACUCAUCAUAUGACUCCUCACAAGGAUUGGUUUUCAAGCUUGAAAGAGUUUGAUGGUGGCGUUGUGUUCAUGGGAGAUGACAAUCCUUGCACAACAAAAGGGAUUGGUACAGUUCGUUUGAAGUUGCAUGAUGGCAUGGUUAAAGAGUUGACAGGUGUUCGGUAUGUACCGAAUUUGAAGAAAAAUCUUAUUUCUUUGGGUACUUUGGAAUCCAAGGGUUUCAGGUUUCAUUCAGAUGGACAGACAUUGAAAGUUACUUAUGGUGCACAUGUUGUGAUGAAAGCUCCUAGAUGUGGCCAUUUGUAUUUAUUGCAGGGAAGCACUGUGACAGGUGAAGCAUCUGUAGUCUCUGAAAAUAUGGGCACAUCUGAUUCAGAUACUACUAGAUUGUGGCAUAUGAGAUUAGGCCGUACCGGUGAGAAAGCUCUACAAGGGCUUGUGAAACAAGGUCUUCUAAAAGGUGCCAUGACUUGUAAGCUUGAUUUCUGUGAGCAUUGUGUCUUGGGGAAGCAAACUAGAGUGAAGUUUGGUACUGCUGUACAUCAGACGAAGGGCAUUCUUGAUUAUGUGCAUUCGGAUGUUUGGGGUCCUACAAAGACUCCCUCUUUGAGUGGUAGACAUUGGUUCGUGACCUUUGUUGAUGAUUAUUCAAGAAGGUCUUGGGUCUACACUAUGAAGCACAAGAGUGAGCUGUUAAGCAUUUUCUUGGGUUGGAAGAAAAUGGUUGAGAACCAGACUGGGAGAAAGAUUAAGAUUUUGAGAUCGGAUAAUGGUGGUGAAUACACAUCCGAUCCUUUCUUUAAAGUUUGCAAAGAGGAAGGAAUUGUGAGACAUUUCAGUGUUCGGGGAACUCCACAACAAAAUGGAGUUGCAGAAAGAUUGAAUCGAACCUUGCUUGAGAAGGUUAGAUGUAUGUUGUCUCAGUCGGGUUUAAGCAAGUCAUUUUGGGCAGAGGCAGUUAAUUAUGCAUGUCACAUCUCAACCGGUUACCCUCAGCUGCUGUUCAGGGUAAGACACCAAUGGAGGUAUGGACUGGAAAACCUUCUUCUGAUUAUGACUAUAUCCGUAUUUUUGGUUCACCUGCUUAUUUUCAUGUAACUGAAAAUAAACUUGAUCCAAGAGCCAAAAAGGCUAUCUUUCUUGGUUUUAGUAGUGGUGUCAAAGGUUACAGGUUGUGGUGUCCAGAGAUGAAAAAACUUGUAAUCAGCAGAGAUGUGACAUUUGAUGAAGAAAGUAUGUACAAAGUCUCUGAGAAGAAUGUGAAAGAUGUCCAACAGGUGGAGCUUGAGAAAGUUGCCUCUGAUACUUCAAAUCCUAUUUCCGCUGAUGUCGAAGCCACUACAAGUGAAGAAGUUGGAGACCAUGAGAAUGUUGAAGAAGUUGAACUUGAAGAUUCUAUUCAAGUUGAAGAGCAAGUUUCACCUCAAGAGUCUAUUGCUAAGAACAGAGGAAAAAGACAAAUUACCAAGCCAGCUCGGUACAGUGACUAUGUUGCUUUUGCUCUUCCUAUUAUCACUGAUGAGAUUCCAUCCAAUUUUGAGGAAGCUAUUGAGAGUGAGGAGAAGAAAAGGUGGUGCAAUGCCAUGGGUGAUGAAAUGAAUUCUCUCUUGAAGAACAAGACUUGGGAGUUAGCUAAAUUGCCUAAGGGCAAGAAAGCUAUCGGUUGCAAAUGGGUGUAUGCCAAGAAGGAAGAUGCUGAUGAGAAAAGCAAUGUGAGAUUUAAAGCAAGAUUAGUUGCUAAAGGGUAUGCACAAAAGGAGGGCAUUGACUACAAUGAAAUAUUUUCUCCAGUUGUGAAGCGCUCCUCAAUUCGUAUUAUGUUAGCUCUUGUUGCACAAUAUGAUCUUGAGCUUGUGCAACUUGAUGUGAAGACGGCUUUCCUACAUGGUGAUUUGAAUGAAGAGAUCUAUAUGUGUCAACCGGAUGGGUAUUGUGAAAGGGAAGGAAAAUUUGUUUUGCAAAUUGAAGAAAUCGCUUUAUGGCUUGAAGCAAUCUCCAAGGCAAUGGUAUUUGAGGUUUGAUAAAUUUAUGAGAGGCCAAAAUUAUUCUAGAAGUCAAUAUGAUCAUUGUGUGUACUUCAAGAAGUUGCAAGAUGGGUCUUUCAUUUAUUUAUUGAUAUAUGUUGAUGAUAUGUUGAUUGCCUCAAAGAAUGUUGAGGAGAUUGAGAAAUUGAAGAAACAAAUGAAGAAUGAGUUUGAGAUGAAGGAUCUUGGUGAAGCAAAUCCUUGGCAUGGAGAUCACUAGAGAUAGAGAGAAGGGUUUGGUCAGUUUGAAUCAAAGACAAUACCUUGAGAAGUUGAUUCGGAAGUUUGGAGUUCAUGAUUCAACCAAACCGGUUAGUACCCCUUUGGCUCCUCAUUUUAAAUUGAGUUCUCUACAGUGUCCUAAAACUGAUAAAGAGAAGCUGCAAAUGAAAAAUAUACCAUAUGCAAAUUUGGUUGGUAGUUUGAUGUAUGCAAUGGUAUGCUCUAGACCGGAUAUUGCUCAUGCAGUUGGCAUGGUGAGUCGAUAUAUGCAUAAUCCAGGUAAAGAGCACUGGCAAGCAGCUAAGUGGAUAUUGAGAUAUCUCCAUGGUACUCGAGAUGUUGGUUUAUGCUUUGAGAGAGAUGACUCUGGUAUUGGUCAUUUUGCAGUUGGUUAUGUUGAUUCAGAUUAUGCAGGUGAUCUGGAUGGAAGGAAGUCUACUACAGGCUAUGUGUUUACUAUGGCUAAAGGACCAGUUUGUUGGAGGUCCAUUUUGCAGUCGUCUGUUGCCUUGUCUACUACAGAGGCUGAAUAUAUGGCAGUUGCUGAAGCUAUAAAGGAGGCCAUUUGGAUACAUGGGCUGAUUAGAGAUUUGGGGGUUGAUCAGAAGCAGGUGGAGGUACAUUGUGAUAGUCAGAGUGCCAUUUAUUUGGCUAAGUAUCAGGUUCAUCAUGCGAGGACCAAGCACAUAGAUGUGCGUUAUCACUUUGUUCGUGAAAUUGUUGGUGAAGGGGAAAUCAUUCUCCAGAAGAUUCCAACUAAAGACAACCCCGCUGAUAUGUUGACUAAGGUUGUUGGUGUAGCCAAGUUUGUUCACUGUUUGAACUUGGCUCACAUUAUGCCUAUAUAAAGAAGGCGUUGAGCAGUAGGAGUUUUGGAGCAUUUGGCUCGGCAUGAGUUGUUCUCUUGCUAGUGUUCGGGAGUGAUGUUGUGUGCUAAUUGUGUUGGUUGGCUUAUCAUGGCGUUUUCGGAACUUGGCCAAGGUGGAGAUUGUUAAAUUGUGGCCAAGUGGCCAUCACCUUUUGUAUUAAACAAAUAAAAAGAAAAAAAAAAGGGGAGACAUCAUGAUGUUGUUUCUUACUUUGUGAUGAUGACAAAUGAUGAUGUUGGAGAAUUAUUUUUUCUUUGGCCCAUGUGGGAAGUCACGGGGUGACUUGAAGGAUUUAUUUAGCAGCAAUUGCUGCUUGUGUGGUUAAGAGAAGAAAACAGAGAGCAGAAGAAAAAGGAAAGAGAGCUGCCGAGAGCAAGAGAGUUGCAGAGAGCCCAAACAGAAAAAGAAGCUGCUGCUUCAUUUGAUUAGUAAUCAUCAACCAAAGUAGUUGUUGUUGUAAUAGCUUUGAGCUAUAUGUAUAGAGAAUAAAUUAUUCAUUAUAUUUCUUUCUCUAUUUGUUUCUUUGGUGUGUGAGAGUUAUUGGGUGUAUUGGGCUUUUGGGUUGUGAGAUUGUCAACACUUUGUAAACUCCCAUUUGGUUGAUAGUGGAUUAUUGGGUGAGCUCCUACUGCUCCGAGGACGUACUCCAGUUACACUGACUGUUGAGGAACCUCGUUAAAAUCUUGGUGUUCUUUUAUAUUUUGUUCUUGCAUUUUCAUUUGAUAAAAUUUCCUGUGGGUUAGCUUGAGUUGGUUCCAACGGGUUUGGUGCUAUCCUAGCACAACAUUUAUUAUUAUUGCUAUAAACACACGGAUUACAGCGAAAUUCAAAAACUAAAAAUAAGGAAAAAAGUAGUGAUGAAAACCAAUGCCACUUUCGCGGGAACACGAUUGAAUUCGCACAUGCAACAAGCCUUUUAAACCCAUAGGUGACCCAAAUGGGACGAGUGAAGUCUCGUGAGGGUUUCCAGAGACGUUACCCACAAACAUCAUGCAUACUGAUCAUCAACAUCUGCCUUGGGAGACUGAGUAGAUAUCCACCCCUCCAGCAUCAGGUUGUUUUUGGUUGAGGCGUAAUUCGAAUCUGUUUUCAAUGAACGGCCUGGUUAUGAGAUCACUUUGCAAGUGACGUAAUCGGCAGCGCGUGAUUAGGUUGUUGCUGUCAGGUGGUCCGACAGGCUCGACCUUGAACAAUGUGCAAGCCCAAUUGUCUUUGGUUUCAUUUCGGUCAGCAGCUGCGGCCAGGACCAACAGCCUGUUUUGGUCCACCCUUCUCAAGUAGUUACCAUUGUAGGAGCAUUUGAUAUGCACGUAAUUCUUGUCAGCGUAGUCCUCAUUGUUUGGCUUCUCGGUGGUGAACUUUAUGAACCUGCUGUUUUCAUUGUCCUCGGAAAACUGGACAAUCUCAUUAAGGUCGCUUUCUGCAUCAAGUUGAUAGCGCAAAUACUUGUUGUUGAUAUCUGCUUUCAGCAAAAAAGGGCUUGGUAGUACAGGUGGAGCCAUAUCGUAUAGUGUAGUUGGGAUUGGGAUGCUCUCUCUUUUUUAUUCUCUGUUGAUGAUCUAAUUUGCUUGCUGUGAAUGUGAUGCUUAGUUCAAACCUGCUAUCCUAUUUAUAAGAAAUUAAGCACAAGCUAACUCAAGUUAUGGUCUUUAAUUAAUAUUAAUUUCGACAAAUCAGUUUCCCAUCUCUUUCAUUGAUAUGAACAUGGCUGAUCUCAUUGGUGUGGCGCAAUAUUUGUUAAAUUAGCCGUUCGGGUUGAUUUCUUUGUAUAACUCAUCUGCCAAUUCUACAACUUGUAGACUUACUUCCCAUUACAAAAUAAAAAAUAAAAUAAAAUCCGAAACUAAUGUAAGAUAAAUAAAGACUUUUUAUGUCAUAAAAUAAGACUUUCUAACUUGUAUACACGACUAUAGUGACAAGAUCAAACACAUUGAUGGGUGCGCAUUUUCCAUCAACAUCUGUUCUGUGCGUUUAAACUGAGCGUGAAGUCUUUUUUAGCAAUUAAAAGUUUUGUAUGAUGUAAUUGUCUUGGUUUGAUAAGACCUACAUCUAGAUGAGUUGCUUCUGAAGACUAAUGUAAAACUUUAUGUUGAUAUUUCUUGAGGGUGAAACAUCGUUUGAGAAACGUUUUGGGCCUCAUUACAAUUUUUUCAUUUAUUUUUUAACUUUUGGUUUAAAUAUUCUACAAUAAAUACAUUUGUGGCUUUAAUAACUAGUAAAACCACUUUCAAAUAUCUUAGUAUCGGCUUCAGAACAAAGGGGUUUGGUAGUACAGGUGGAGCCAUGUUGUAUAGUGUAGCUGGGAUUGGGAUGAUCUCUCUCUUUAUUUAUUUAUUUAUUUUCUUUAAUUUGCUCGCUUUCAAUGUGAUGCUCAGUUCAAACCUACCAUCCUAUUUCUAAGAAAUUAAGCACAAGCUAUCUCAAGUUAUGGUCUUUAAUUAAUAUUAAUUUCCUCAAUCUGUUUCCCAUAUCUUUCAUUGAUACGAACAUGGCUGAUCUCAUUGGUGUGACGCAAGAUUUGUUAAAAUAGCUGAUCGGAUUGAUUUUUUCUUUGUAUAACUCUUCUGCCAAUUCUGAAAUUGUACAUAUAAUUCCCAUUAUAAAAUAAAUAAAUAAAAUCCAAAACUCAUAUAAAAUAAAUAGAGACUUUUGAUAGCAUAUAAAAUAAGACUUUGAAACUUGUACAUAGUUACGGAUAACAUUCAUCUAAGAAUUAACAGAUGAAUGUAUGCAAGCAAUAUCGAAGAAAUACAGAGAGAAAGAUCGAAAGGAAUAGAGAGAGAAAUAGAGAAAGAAAUGAGUGAAAGCUUUGUUAUUUCAUAAGAACAAAAGAUCAUCACAAAAGAACCCUGAUUCCUUCUUAUAUAGUCUGCACAUGUAGCUUAUCAGCUAAGCGUGUAACUAAUUCUUAACAAACUAACUAACUCCAAUAUCUGAUAUUUCACUUAUGAUGAUGUGUCAAUCACUAUAUAUCUUCAACAUCCCCCACAAUCUCAACUGGGAUUUUCCAGCUUGAGAUUGUAAAAAUGUUUGACAAAUGAAGGACUGUGAAGACCUUUGGUAAGAACAUCGGCAGUUUGCUCCUCAGUUGGGAUAUACAACACCUCCAAAUCGCCUUGCUGCACUCGUUCUCAGUUUAUAUCAAGGUGUUUAAUUCUGAAAUGAAACACCAGAUUGGCACUUAAGGCAAUAGCGGACAUAUUCUUACAGUGAAUCGUUGGUGGAGCAUCCAAAAAUACACCCAAAUCCUUCAAUAUAUUUCGAAUUCAAGCUAUAUGUGCCGCAGUAUGUGCUAAGGCUUUAUAUUCAGCCUCAGUAGAACUCCUGGAUACCGAGUUUUCUUUCUUCGAUUGCCAAGAAAUUGGAUUAUUGCCUAAGUACACGACAUAACUAGUGAUAGACCGACGAGUAUUCAAGUAUGCAGCCCAAUCAGAAUCAGAAAACGCAGUAAGCUUUGAAACUGUGUUUACAGAAAAAGUAAUACCAAUGUUCAUGGUUCCUUGAAGAUAACGAAUGAUUCGUUUAACAACGCCAAAAUGAACAUCAGUUGGUGAGGACAUAAACUGACAUACUGUGUUUACAGCAAAGGCAAUAUCAGGCCUAGUAAAGGUUAGAUAUUGUAAAGAUCCCACAAUGCUUCUGUAGGAGGUUGGAUCUGUCAAUAAUUGUCCCUUAGAGUGUAACAUUUGAUGAUGAGGUUUACAAGGAGUGGUUGCUGGUUUACAUGAUUCCAUACCUGCUUUAUGGACGAGAUCUUUGAUAUACUUAGACUGAUUAACAAAAACACUGCCAUCUGCUUUAUAUUGAACUUGUAAACCCAAAAAAUAUGUAAGUUGUCCCAUAUCCUUUAACUCGAAUACCUCAGAUAAUUAUUGAAUCACUUUUUGGAUCUUCAAAGGAUUAUAACCAAUUAAGAUGAUAUCAUCAACAUAAAGUAAUAAGAUGAUGAUAUCAGAGUCAUCCUUCUUGACAAACAAACUUGUAUCAGAAGUUGAUGCAUGAAACUCCAUAACUGUCAAAUAACUUGUAAACUUCGAAUUCCACGCUCGUGGAGCUUGUUUCAAGCCAUAUAAUGACUUGACCAAUUUGCAAACAUGAGAAGGAUAUGAUAGAUCAAUAAACCCUUGUGGUUGCUGCAUAUAAACUUCUUCUUGUAAAUCUCCAUGUAGAAAAGCGUUAUUGAUAUCUAAUUGGUGAAGAGUCCAAUUAUUCAUUGCAGCUAAAGAAAGAAUAAUCCUUACAGUAGUAUGUCGGACAACAGGACUAAAUGUGUCCAAGUAGUUAAUACCAUGUUCUUGGGAGAACCCCUGAGCUACAAGCCUUGCUUUAUACCUGGAGACACUGCCAUCGGGGUUUUUCUUCACUUUGUAUACCCAUUUGCUUCCUACAAUUGUUCUAUCUUCAGGUGCAGGAACCAAUAGCCAAGUUCCUUGUGCUCGAAGUGAAUCAUAUUUCUCCUGCAUUGCCUUUUGCCACUGUGAAAUUGUAGGAGCUUUCCGAAAUGUCUUAGGUUCUGAAGCAUCAGUGAUCUCAGAAAGAAAGGAAUAGCCACUUGUGAAAGGUUCUUCAUCAAUGAUUUGGAGUGAACAAAGCUCAGGACAUUGUGUUACUAAAGCAGCAUAAUUUUGUCUCUCAAUUGUUCCACUCUUCAAUCUAGUGACCAUUGAGUGAGUCGAUGGUGCAGUAUGUAAAAUGAGAUCAGAUAGAGAUAAAUCAGCAAGGAUUACCUCAAGUUGUGACUCGGAGUGGACAGGCAACAAGGAUUGUGUACCAGAGUGAUGAUGUGUAGGAGAGUGAUGAUGUGAAGAGCUUGGAGAUGCAUAUAAAUGAGUGGUAUCAGUCGAAUUUGUAUCUUGAUCACUAGGUUGAAUCACCUGUGUAUUGUUCGAACUAGAAACAUUCAAUUAACCAACCACAUUUAUACUUUCACCAUUUGCAGGAAUACUGUGAUGCGAACCAGUAUCAUUUGCUAAUAUAUGUAUAGAACUAGCUGCUUGUGAAUCAUGCUGUAUUUAUGUAUGAGGCAGGACUCUUGCACUUGGAACUUGUAAUUGAAUCAAAACAUGUGUCUGAGAACACCUAUAUGUAACUGUAGAAUCCUUAGAUGGCAGAACUUGUUUAAACGGAUAAACAUCUUCAUCAUGUAGUACAUGCCUUGACAUAAUGAACUUUCUAGUCUUGAUAUCAUAGCUAAUAACUCCUUUAUAUCCAUGAGCAAAACGAAGAAAUACACAUUGAGCUGACCGUGGCUCCAAUUUGUUCUUAUUGAAUGGUCUCAAUAGAGGAUAUAUUGCAGUACCAAAGACUUUAAGAUGUUGUACUUCAGGAACACAACCAAACACAACUUGAUAGGGAGAUUUCAUCUUCAAAUUUCUAGAUGGCAUCGUAUUGAUUAAGAAUGCAACAUGAGAACAAGCAUGAUACCAGAAAGCUGAAGGUAAUUGAGCAUCUAAUAGCAAACUAAUAGCAGUCUCAACUAAAUGUCUAUGUUUUCGUGUAGCAAGACCAUUUUGCUGUGGUGUAUGAGAGCAUGAAACUGGUGUAUAAUUCCUUUUAUCUCUAACAACUGUCUAAACACAUUACUCAUAUAUUCACCUCCACCAUUUGAUUGAAGAACUUUAACGGAAGCAUUAAACUGAUUCUCAAUAAAUGUCAGAGACUUGGUAAAGAUUGGAAAAGCAUCGGAUUUAUUAACCAUCGGAAAAAUCCAUACAAAUCAAGAGCAGUCAUCUACAAAGCUUAUGUAAUACCUAUAACCCUCUAUUAACCUCUGCAGUGAAGGACCCCAUAUAUCUGAAUGUAUCCUUUCAAAUACAACUUUUGACCUAUCGGGACUUACAGAGAAAGGCAACUUAGUCAUUUUUCCUUGAAUACAAGCAGUACAUAUAGAUGGAGACAAAUCUAUACUGGCUAAUACUUCAGACUUAUUCAACAUUGUAGUAAGCACUUCUUCAGAUGGAUGACCCAACCUUUUAUGCCAAACUGUAGUCUUUAGCUUCUUUCCAACAAAAGUUGCACAUCUUUCAAUACUUGGUACUCUGGAUCUUGACAACACUGUUAUUGGUAUCUUGAAGAGCUCCCCAUCAUCACUCUGGCCUUGGUACACAAUCCUUCGAGUUGCUUUGUCCUGUAUCAAGAAGAUCAGAUCAUCACAUACAAACCAGCAAUUAUUAUCUCUGCAUAAGUUCUUAACAGACAACAAAUUCAUUGUAAUGUGUAGAACAUGUAGCACAUUUUGCAGAAUUAAUGACUUUUGUUGAGUGUUAAGGACAGAGGAACCAAUAUUUUUAACCACCAAACCUUCUUCAUUACCAACAGUGAUCAUGGCAUCACCAUUAUAAGGAGUGAUAUAAUUUAAAACUUCGACAUUUGAUGUCAUGUGGUGAGUUGCACCUAUGUCAACUACCUAUGUAUCAGCAGCUAAAAAACCAUGGACAUUUGAGUCUUCAGUUGCAACAUUUGAGCCUUGAGCAGCCAUCCCAACAAGAGAUGUAGGUGGUGCACUGCCUUGAUAUGAGAAGUUAUUCCUAUGAAAGCAUUCCAAAGCCCGAUGACCUAUUUUCCCACAUAUCUGACAUACCAAGAUCCCUCCAGAUGAUUGAUUGUUAUCAGCUCUAAGGUAACAAUUUGGUGUUGUAUGGUCUCUUCUAGAACAAAUUUGACAUUCAGGAGAUAUAACAUUGCUGUAAUUUGUAUCACCAUUCCAAGUGUUUCCUUGUUUGCUUCCAUUACCAGAGAAAGAACUUUGAGAACCUCCAUUUGAACAUCUUUCCCAUUAUUCCCAAAAGUAGAAUAUGGCCUGUAAUUAUUAUUCCCACCAUUAUAACCACCAGAGAAUUUUCGAUUGUUCAAAUUAUUCCCAUUAUACCUCCUAUUAUUGUUACCACCAUUGUAAUUAUUCCUCCCUUGAGACCUCUAUGCAUUUGAACUCUCCCCUUGUUCAUAACUUUGAGUAUUGCCCUGAGAUUCCUGUGUAUUCGAGCCAUUGCCCUGAACAUACAUGGCAGCCAUAGAACUUGAUAAAGUUGUCAGUCUAGACUCAAUACUGCUUUCAGCCCUAAUUAGUUGAGCUCGAAAAUCUUUCAUUGAAAUCGGAGUGUCUCUUGCUAAGAUUACUGUCUUGAUCAUUUCAAAUUAUGGAGGUAAACUAGUUAAAGCAAUGACCAAAUCAUUCUCAGUGAUUUUCUCCCCUGCAGCAACCAGUUGAUCCUUGAUAAUCUUCAAUCGAAGCAAAUACUUGUCAACAUAAUCCGCACCUUUCUGUGUAGUAUGAAACUCAGUCUUGAGUUGAUUAACCCUGACAACAGAUACAGACGCAUAUCAUUCCUGUAAAGAUUUCCAAGCUUCUUGAGAAGUUUUACACCCAAUGACAUAGCCCAUAGCUUCAUCUGAAAGUGUAGCAAUCAGCAAACUCAAUAGAGAGACAUCUGUUUUAACCCAAUCUUUAUAUGCAGUAGUAAUUUCUUUAGUGACCCCAGUCUCAGUAUUGAUGACAAACUUUGGAGGACAUUGAGACUCCCCACUAAAGAAAUCAAAGAAAUCGUACCCCUUAAGCACCGACUGAAACUGAUAAUCCCAUUUGACAAAAUUAUCUUCUUUCAACUUAGCAGUGAUCAUGCCCAAAAGACUUUCAAUUUUCACAGAACUAAACACCAUAUUGUUGAUAGAAACUGAAUCAAGAAAUCAAGUACUCAAACAAUCUUCAAGAAUUAUAACAACUCCAAGAACACACACUACUGAUUAUCGGCCUUGUUCGUGUGAAAAACCCAACAAACACUCAAACAACAGCAAUGGCUAUCGGCCUUUAUGCUUUGACAGAAAACGUUUCAACAAUCAUUCAAUUAGAAAAAUGGCUAUCGGCCUUCAAUAUCAUACUCCAAACAUCAAGAAAUGGCUAUCGGCCUUCAAUAUCAUACUCCAAACAUCAAGAACUUGCUAUCGCCCUUCAACUUUCAGUCUUUCACAAAAGAUUCAUCAUUGCGACAAUUACACAAACACUUAGAGUGCAAAAAGAAAAAUAACACCUAAAAAACUCAAAGUCUAACUUCCCAAACGCCAAAAGCUCAUUAACCCACUAUACCACUUCACAGCAAUCAAGAUAAUCUUUUGGCACAGCACAGCGGAAAUACACACCACGAGAUCGAACACUUGGCGAAGAUACCAUGAUAACAUUCAUCUAAGAACUAACAGAUGAAUGUAUGCAAGCAAUAUCGAAGAAAUGCAGAGAGAAAGAUCGAAAGGAAUAGAGAGAGAAAUAGAGAAAGAAAUGAGUGAAAGUUUUGUUAUUUCAUAAGAACAAAAGAUCAUUACAAAAGAACCCUAAUUCCUUCUUAUAUAGUCUGCACAUUUAGCUUAUCAGCUAAGCCACCUGUGUAACUAAUUCUUAACAAACUAACUAACUUCAAUAGCUGAUAUGGCACUUAUGAUGAUGUGUCAAUCACUAUAUAUCUUCAACAGUUACAAGAUCGAACACAUUGAUGGGUUAUAUAUUUGGGGCUCACUACAAUUUUUUUCACUUAAUUUAGGUUUUGGCUUAAAUAUACCAUUCAAACUAAAUGUGUGGCUCAAUAAUUGGUAGAAACCUUUCCAAAUGCUUUAUAAAUGUUCUCUUAAUGAUAACGGAGAAUAUUUUGGGAAGACAACUUAUUUGAAUUUCUCACGAAAAUGUGGGUGCUCAUUAAUUUUAGUCGGCUUGGCAAUUUUGUAUAAAAAUCAUCAUUAAAUAUAGUAGUUUUCACCUUUGCCUCACCGCUAUAUUUCUAAAAGUAAUGUAAGACUUUCAGCCUUUGUUCAUUAGUGAGGAUCUUAUCAAGAUAGAGCAGCCAUAAGAAACUCUUAACUUUGGAGGAAUAUGAAGUUUCCAAAUGAGAUUCCAUCGCCAAUUAGGUAAAGCACUAGGCCUAAUGGCCCAAAAAUAUGCAGAUUUAACUGAAAAAUUACCAUCAUUUAUUCCACUUCAGAUACACUUGGCAGUCAAAGCAUCAAAACUAAUUUGAAUGCUAAGAAUUUGUUCAACCACCUCUUUAGUAAAACAAGUAAUAGUGGAUCAUGUAUUUGUCUUGGUUUGAUAAGACCUACAUCUAGAUGAGUUGCUUCUUAAGACUAAUGUAAAACUUUAUGUUGAUAUUUCUUGAGGGUGAAACAUCGUUUGAGAAACGAUUUGGGCCUCAUUACAAUUUUUUCAUUUAGUUUUUAACUUUUGGUUUAAAUAUUCUACUAUAAAUACAUUUGUGGCUUUAAUAACUAGUAAAACCACUUUCAAAUAUCUUAGUAUCGGCUUUCAGAACAAAGGGGUUUGGUAGUACAGGAGCCAUGUUGUAUAGUGUAGCUGGGAUUGGGAUGAUCUCUCUCUCUUUUUUGUUUUUUUGUUUUCCUUUAGUUUGCUUGCUUUGAAUGUGAUGCUCAGUUCAAACCUACCAUCCUAUUUCUAAGAAAUUAAGCACAAGCUAUCUCAAGUUAUGGUCUUUAAUUAAUAUUAAUUUCCUCAAUCAGUUUCCCAUAUCUUUCAUUGAUACGAACAUGGCUGAUCUCAUUGGUGUGACGCAAGAUUUGUUAAAAUAGCUGAUCGGAUUGAUUUUUUCUUUGUAUAACUCUUCUGCCAAUUCUGAACUUGUACAUAUAAUUCCCAUUAUAAGAUAAAUAAAUAAAAUCCAAAACUCAUAUAAAAAAAAUAGAGACUUUUUAUAGCAUAUAAAAUAAGACUUUGUAACUUGUACAUAGUUACAAGAUCGAACAAAUUGAUGGAUUAUAUAUUUGGGGCUCACUACAACUUUUUUUCACUUAAUUUUAGGUUGUGGCUUAAAUAUACCAUUCAAACUAAAUGUGUGGCUCAUUAAUUGGUAGAAACCUUUCCAAAUGCUUUAUAAAUGUUCUCUUAAUGCUAACGGAGAAUAUUUUGGGAAGACAAAAUAUUUGCAUUUCUUACGAAAAUGUGGGUGCUCAUUAAUUUUAAUUGGUUUUGCAAUUUUGUAUAAAAUCAUCAUUAAAUAUAGUAGUUUUCAUCUUUGCCUCACCGCUAUAUUUCUAAAAGUAGUGUAAGAUUUUCAGCCUUUGUUCAUUAGUGAGGAUCUUAUCAAGAUAGAGCAGCCAUAAGAAACUCUUAACUUUGGAGGAAUAUGAAGUUUCCAAAUGAGAUUCCAUCGCCAAUUAGGAAAAGCACAAGGCCUAAUGGCCCAAAAAUAAGCAGAUUUAACUGAAAAAUUACCUUAAUUUAUUCCACUUCAGAUACACUUGGCAGUCAAAGCAUCAAAACUAACUAAUUGGAAUGCUAAGAAUUUGUUCAACCACCUCUUUAGUAAAACAAGUAAUAGUGGAUCCAAACCAUUAUUGUAACAAUAAUUAGCUACAGUAGCCUUAUACGUAUUGUCCGUGUCACCACCCGAUCCCGAUACACGUCCAGGAUCGACAUGUGAUGUCAUCAAAUACCCAUAUCUCUAACUUACCCCGCCUCCGGGAUAUGGCAAAGUGAUGAGUCAAUAUUUUACCAUAUAUUUUACCCUAAUCUUAGUAUUAAUUUAUUGGUUAUUUUGGUAGAAUUUUGAUACUUUGUUAUAUAUUUCUAAUAUAGGACAUUCGACUUCAUCUGGACAAAAAAGUAACCAAACGGAUGAAUUUUGGAGUGAUUCCAAUUGGAGGAUGUUCGUGAGUCUUUUGAAAUGAUUAUAUCAAAAUUCCAGAUUUUUCUACCAAGCCGUUUGACCAUGGCGAUUAAGUUAAGGCCCAGCGCGCAGUUUUCUCAUAUUGACAUUUCUGGACGUUUUUUGUAUUUUGAAGAUCAAUAUGUCAUAUUUUGAGGAAGCUUUCUUCUGAGGAUUUGUAUGGGACAUCUCCAGCUUUCAAAAGAGACCUUUUGGGACCAAAUCGGAGUUGAUUUGGGUGGUCAGAAGUCUGAUUUUCUGAGAACUCCAAAUUCUUGUUCAAAUAGGAAACCUUUUAUUUUCUGUUUUAUUAUUUUAGUAUGUUUCAUAGUUUUAUUCUAAGACCUUUUAGGGUUUUAUUUUGUAUUAGUAUAAAUAAGAUAUUUAGCCAUUAGGGGAAAAGAGGAGAGAAUAGGAGGAGAACGCACACAGUACUUGGAGGAUUCAAGUUUAUUUUCAAGGUGUUUUAUAUCCAUGUUCUUAAUAAUAUUUUGUUUUAUGGUUGUUAGUAACUAGUUUCGUUUGCUAGGGCGAGGCCACGAUCCUUAGCAAGAAUAUGUAGUUUCUUUUCAAUCUGCUUAUGAUAUUAUGCAUGCAAGUUUUGAAUUAUUAAUCAUUGUGCUUUAAACUAUCUAAUUGUGUUGAUGAUUGGCCGCCAUUAGGAUAUUUAGAAAAGUAAUUUGAUGCAAUUUUGGCGGAGGGCUGUCCCUGGAAUUGGCGCUGGCUUCUUGUGGUUAAUAUGUGUAACUUCUUAGGAUGGACGACAUGUCUUAAGGGUUAUAUGGUUUUUCAAAAGGAUUUCACAAAACUUUAUGAGUUUUACAUGUUCACGUUUGAUCUGGACACCACAGAUGGGUUGCACGUUAAAUAUAGAUUCUAUGUUGGAGGUUCCAAGUAGGGCAUACUUUAGGAAAACCUAAUUAACCAUCAAAAUAUGCAUGUGUAUUUCAUAAGUAAUUGGAAGAACUAUAUAGGAUUGUUAAGGUGAUGGUGAAACCCUAGUGCUUAACUUUUUUCUUUGGUUUUCUUUACUUUCCCAAUUUAUAGUGGAUCCAAACCAUUAUUGUAACAAUACUUAGCUACAGUAGCCUUAAGUGUAUUAUCGGUGUCACGCACCGAUCCCGACAUACGUCUAGGAUCGACACGUGAUGUCACCAAAUACCCAUAUCUCCAACUUACUCUGCCUCUGGGAUAUGGCAAAGUGAUGAGUCAAUAUUUUACCAUAUAUUUUACCCUAAUCUCAGUUUGUUGGUUAUUUUGGAAGAAUUUUGAUGCUUUGUUAUAUAUUUCUAAUGUAGGAUAUUCGACAUCCUCGGGGGAAAAAAAGUAACCAAACAGAUGAAUUCUGGAGUGAUUCCAAUUGGAGAAUGUUCGUGAGUCUUUCAAGAUGAUUGUAUCAAAAUUCCAGAUUUUACUAUCAAGCUGUUUGAUCGUGGCGAUGAAAUUAAGGCCCACCGCGUAGCUUUCCCAGAUUGACGUUUCUGGACGUUUUUGGUAUUUUGAAGGUCAAGAUGUUAUAUUUAGAGGAAGAUUCCUUCUGAGGAUUUGUAUGGGACGUCUCCAGCUUUCAAAAGAGACCUUUUGGGACAAAAUCGGAGUUGAUUUGGUUGGUCAAAAGUCUGAUUGUCUGAUAACUCCGAAUUCUAGUUCAAAUAGGAAACCUUUUAUUUUCUGUUUUAUUAUUUUAUUAUGUUUCCUAGUUUUAUUCUAAGACCUUUUAGGGUUUUAUUUUGUAUUAGUAUAAAUAAGAUGUUUAGCCAUCAGGGUAAAAGAGGAGGAGAGAAAAAGAGGAGAACGCACAUAGUACUUUGGAGGAUUCAAGUUUAUUUUCAAGGUGUUUUCUUUCCAUGUUCUUAAUAAUAUUUUGUUUUAUGGUUGUUAGUAACUAGUUUCGUUUGCUAGGGCGAGGCCACGAGCCUUAGUGAGAAUAUGUAGUUUCUUUUCAAUUUGCUUAUGAUAUAUAUUAUGCAUGCAAGUUUUGAAUUAUUAAUCACUAUGCUUUAAACUAUCUAAUUGUCUUGAUGAUUGGCCACCAUUAGGAUAUUUAAAAAGGUAAUUUGAUGCAAUUUUGGUGGCGGGAUGUCCCUGGAAUUGGUGCUGGCUUCUUGUGGUUAAUAUGUGUAACUUCUUAGGAUGGACAACACGUCUUAAGGGUUAUAUGGUUUUUCAGAAGGAUUUCACAAAACUUAAUGAGUCUUGCAUGUUCACAUUCGAUCUGGACACCACAGACGGGCUGCAUGUUAGAUAUACGUUUUAUGUUGGAGGUUCCAAGUAAGGCAUACUUUAGGAAAACCAAACCUUCAAAAUAUGCAUGUGUAAUUCAUAAGUAAUUGGAAGAACUACGUAGGAUUGUUAAGGUGACGGCGAAACCCUAGUGCUUAAAUUUAUUUUCAAAAACUAUUUUCUUUGCUUUUCUUUACUUUCCCAAUUUAUUUAAUUGUUUUUAGUUCAAUUGGUUUUUAAUAUUUUAGGCCAUAAAACCAACCUCUUCUAGACUUUAUUUUCAAAUAAUUAAUUAAGAUUUGGUUUUAACAUAAAUUAUGGCUUUUUUUAUUAGCACCUCCUAAAAUGUUGAAUGCACCCCACAUUAAAAUUUAAUAUUAAAUGACUUAUUUACCCCACUAUGCAAUGACAAUUUUGACCUUAUUAGGUUUUAAAAAAAUAAAAUAAAAAUCUCUAAAUACACCCCAAAUCACUAAACCCUAUUAUUUAUCUUCUCAACUAUCAAAACCCUCUUACCCUCCAUUGUUGAACAAAACCCUAACCAAUGAAACUACAAACAUCUUGAUUGAGAAAAAUUGCUUUUGACGAAUGGAACACAAAAUCAAUGUUUCGGAGCCUUCACAUGAGGUAAGACUAUGUUUCAUCGGUGGUUUGGUUAAUUUCAUAUUCCUUUUUUUUUUCUUCCAUUGGUUAUUCAUUUUCUUCUUUGCAGGUUACAAAUCCAGCCAGUGAUCCUCUUAGAGUAGAUUUGGUUAUAUCCCUUGAAAUGAACAUUGGAGAGCGACAAAAUAUUUUGGAGGUUGGACCAGAAAAUGCAUCGCAGGUUUGUUGGCAUGUACCACUCUGCCUAUUGAUAUUGAGUUGUAUGGUUCUUAAAAUAAUUGAGGUGUAUGAUUCUUAGUAAAUAAAUGAGGAUUUGAUAAUAAUUUUUGGUGUAUUUAAAUACGAUAGCAUACAAGGCAAUACCUCUAUAGGGGACAAUGAGGUUGCAGCAACGAGCGUCGUUGAUCACACAAACGCAUUUAAAACAAACGAGGUAACUAUUUUUAGUAUAUUGAAUGUGCAUCUGUGAAUUUCAUGGAAAUUCUUGCAUUCUUUUAUUCAGCAUAGUGCAUUAGGUUCAUAAUAGGGAAUAACAUAUGGGUUGGAAUCUUAGCAUGUCUACAAACAUUUUGUUAGUGGCAAAUGGCAAUGAUCUUGUAUGUACAGGUGUUCAAAAGUAAAAAUGAUUUCCUUGAUUGGACUCGCGCACAAGGAAAAAAGAAUAAUAUGGUUAUUAUCAUUAAGAGGUAUGAUGCGGGAAAGGUUGACCGAAGGAGGAAGAGAGCUCGAAUAACAUUUGCUUGUGAGAGACAUGGCGAGUAUCGAUCCAUAUUGAGGAAGUCGGAUAUUAAUGACCAAAUUUCUGAUGCAAAUAAUAAGAAGAAUAAAGAACCCAGGAAUACUGGUACUAAAAAAUGCGGAUGUCCAUUUAUGUUGAAAAGAGUCAACGUUGGAGAAGGAGAUGAAUUGAAAUUGGAGGUUGAGUGUGGGGUGCAUAACCAUACUUAUUCACAGUAUCUUGAAGGGCAUUCUUUUGUCGGACGAUUAACUAAAGAGCAAAAUGAACUUUUAGUUGACAUGUCUACAAGUUUAGUGAGACCCAAAGUUAUUUUGAACACCAUAAAGAAAAAAGAUCCACUUAAUGUAACAACGAUGAGGACAAUAUACAAUGCAAGACACUAUCAUCGGACAAAAGAAAAAGCAGGGAGAUCAGAAAUGCAACAGUUGUUAUGUAAGUUGGUUGAGUACAACUAUAUUGAGCAUCAUCGAAGUAUUGGUGUUGAUAAUGCUGUUAGUGACUUGUUUUGGACUCACCCAAUUAAUGUCGAUACCUUACAUUGUUUCCCACAUGCACUUAUCAUGGAUUGCACGUACAAGACUAAUAGGCAUCGUUUUCCACUCCUGGAGAUUGUAGGGGUAACUUCAACUAGUAUUACAUUUUCGGUUACAUUUGCUUUCAUUGACCAUGAGAAGGAAGACAAUUACACAUGGGCAUUGACAAGAUUGAAGACUCUAAUGAAUGAUGAUUGUAUUUCUGGUGUGAUUGUCACUAAUCGAGAUCUUACAUUGUUUCCCACAUGUACUUAUCAUGGAUUGCAUGUACAAGACUAAUAGGCAUCGUAUUCCACUCCUGGAGAUUGUAGGGGUAACUUCAACUAAUAUUACAUUUUUGGUUGCAUUUGCUUUCAUUGACCAUGAGAAGGAAGACAAUUACACAUUGGCAUUGACAAGAUUGAAGACUCUAAUGAAAGAUGAUUGUAUUCCUAGUGUGAUUGUCACUGAUCGAGACUUUAGCAAACUGAACUCAAAUAUAUUGAUUGCAAGGCGAGAGUACAUUUGUAAAAACAAGGUUUACUUUUUAAUGGAGGUUGUGUAAGAAAAAUUACAUUCAAAUUCAUUGCGGAUCUCUUCUUUUUCUAAGACCAAAUCAAAGAAACAAAUAAUUGAAUCAAUGAAUUACUAUAGCAGCUCCAUUUCUGACAAUGGCAAGAGGUCUCUGUGCUAAUCAAACUACCCGAAAUUUAUCCUAAAACUAUACUCGAGCUCCACCUUAUCUUCAAUCUCAAAUGCCUUCUCAAUAUGAUUUCAUCAUAAACCUGCUAUCCUAUUUAUAAGAAAUUAAGCACAAGCUAGCUCAAGUUAUGGUCUUCAAUUAAUAUUAAUUUCGACAAAUCAGUUUCCCAUCUCUUUCAUUGAUAUGAACAUGGCUGAUCUCAUUGGUGUGGCGCAAUAUUUGUUAAAUUAGCCGUUCGGGUUGAUUUCUUUGUAUAACUCAUCUGCCAAUUCUACAACUUGUAGACUUAAUUCCCAUUACAAAAUUAAAAAUAAAAUAAAAUCCAAAACCAAUGUAAGAUAAAUAAAGACUUUUUAUAUCAUAAAAUAAGACUUUCUAACUUGUAUACAAGACUAUAGUGACAAGAUCAAACACAUUGAUGGGUGCGCAAUUUCCAUCAACAUAUGUUCUGUGCGUUUAAACUGAGCGUGGAGUCUUUUUUUAGCAAUUAAAAGUUUUGUAUCAUGUAAUUGUCUUGGUUUGACAAGACCUACAUCUAGAUGAGUUGCUUCUGAAGACUAAUGUAAAACUUUAUGUUGAUAUUUCUUGAGGGUGAAACAUCGUUUGAGAAACGUUUGGGGUCUCAUUACAAUUUUUUCAUUUAUUUUUUAACUUUUGGUUUAAAUAUUCUACUACAAAUACAUUUGUGGCUUCAAUAACUAGUAAAACCACUUUCAAAUAUCUUAGUAUUGGCUUUCAGAACAAAGGGUUUUGGUAGUACAGGUGGAGCCAUGUUGUAUAGUGUAGCUGGAAUUGGGAUGAUCUCUCUCUUUAUUUAUUUAUUUUUUUCCUUUAAUUUGCUUGCUUUGAAUGUGAUGCUCAGUUCCAACCUACUAUCCUAUUUCUAAGAAAUUAAGCACAAGCUAUCUCAAGUUAUGGUCUUUAAUUAAUAUUAAUUUCCUCAAUCUGUUUCCCAUAUCUUUCAUUGAUACUAACAUGGCUGAUCUCAUUGGUGUGACGCAAGAUUUGUUAAAAUAGCUGAUCGGAUUGAUUUUUUCUUUGUACCCGAGAAGAAAUGCAGGAAGGAGGAAUUUAUAAAGACAAUGGAUACCUGCUCUUCGCUGCAAAAAACGACACUUAAAGGACAAUUUUCCCGAGGUUUUCACCGCCGUUUUUACCGUUUGCUGCAAAAAACAAAUACUCUCCCCUUGCGAGCUCCGUCAUCAAUUCCCCUCGCGAACUUUGAGUCCCUCUGAAAAAAUGAUUAAGUGAAAUUUGAAUUUUUCAAACUUUGUGUUUGGUUAUAUCUAACGAUCCCUAAUUCCAAAUUUAUGGUUUAGAUAUAUAAAAAAGAUAUCUCGGGUACUUCAUUGCUAUCCUUUAAGCUCCCCACUUUCAAACAAAGCAAAAAAUUCUAAUUGAGUUGGGUUUUGAACAUGCAGAUUAGUUAGACAACUUAAUUACCAAUCCUUAUUAUUAUUGCAACAAACACACGGAUUACACUAAAAGCUAGUGAAUCAUACACUUGCAGAUGACUUAUCCAAACACAAAGAUAAGACAUGAGUUUAUUAUUAUUGCUAUAAACACACGGAUUACAGCGAAAUUCAAAAACUAAAAACACGGAAAAAAGUAGUGAUGAAAACCAAUGCCACUUUCGCGGGGAACACGAUUGCAUUCGCACAUGCAACAAGCCUUUUAAACCCAUAGGUGACCCAAAUGGGACGAGUGAAGUCUCGUGAGGGUUUCCAGAGACGUUACCCACAAACAUCAUGCAUACUGAUCAUCAACAUCUGACUUGGGAGACUGAGUAGAUAUCCACCCCUCCAGCAUCAGGUUGUUUUUGGUUGAGGCGUAAUUCGAAUCUGUUUUCAAUGAACGGCCUGGUUAUGAGAUCGCUUUGCAAGUGACGUAAUCGGCAGCGCGUGAUUAGGUUGUUGCUGUCAGGUGGUCCGACAGGCUCGACCUUGAACAAUGUGCAAGCCCAAUUGUCUUUGGUUUCAUUUCGGUCAGCAGCUGCGGCCAGGACCAAUAGCCUGUUUUGGUCCACCCUUCUCAAGUAGUUGCCAUUGUAGGAGCAUUUGAUAUGCACGUAAUUCUUGUCGGCGUAGUCCUCAUUGUUUGGCUUCUCUGUGGUGAACUUUAUGAACCUGCUGUUUUCAUUGUCCUCAGAAAACUGGACAAUCUCAUUAAG
RNAcentral lists this long non-coding RNA (170457 nucleotides) under Malus domestica (apple). RNAcentral describes it as "long non-coding RNA (MDOM_LNC008915)". Lineage: Eukaryota; Viridiplantae; Streptophyta; Magnoliopsida; Rosales; Rosaceae. The record is from RNAcentral.